GUGACCAUAAUGUGGUGGCUUCUCUCCCUUAGGUGGUUUGCCAACUGGGGUUGGUGGCUUGUGUUCUGGGAGUGGCUUCUCCCCCUUGGGAGGUUUUUCCAAUGGGGUUGGUUUGUGUUCAGGAGGUGGCUUCUCCACUGGAGGCUUGUGUUCAGGAGGUGGCUUCUCCACCGGAGGCUUGUGUUCAGGAGGUGGCUUCUCCACCGGAGGCUUAUGCUCUGGUGGUGGCUUCUCCACCGGAGGCUUAUGCUCUGGUGGUGGCUUCUCGAAUGGGGGAUGCUUAGGGUAAUCAGCAAGUGAGGGGGCGGUGAGAACCACCAGGCCAAGCAAGACCACUAGCAAGUAUGUAGGAGACAUCUUUGGGUUUAGACUCAGAUGGUGCAAAACUAGGAGAAUUGUCUUUUAUAGCGGAUCGCACCCAAUAAUGAAAUGACACGUGUCUUUAUGACCCAUGUGUAAUGGGGUCGAUUUGGGUCCUACAGUGUUGAAAACUUCGACAUCCACUUUUGGCCUUUUGCUUUCUCUACAGCCGCCUUGCUUUUUCCCUCUUUCCUUUUGUUUUCCUCCUGCCCCAUUCUAUCAACUAAACACAAUUAUGUAGUUGUUUAAUUCUUAAAUGAGAUAUUAUCCGUCAAUCGUAUCAUAUUUUAUCAACAGAGAACGGAGUGCAAUGUGGCAAUCCAAAGAAAGAAGAUCCAUAAUGCAGCUGUAAUUUUAUCGUUUACUUUUAUCUCUUGGACCACUGCAUUUUUGUUAAGAGGUGCAAUAAUACACGUCUUUAUCUGCCAUUCAAUGUUUACAGUAAAGAGAGGGCACAAAACUCUUCACUGCUCUGCAUGUGUCCCAAAAAUGCAAUUGGACAAAUUAUGAUUUGCAUGCUAAAAAGAGGCAAAUGAGGUUAAUUCGCACCAUAAUUAUUUUGUUUUCUGGACCCCGGGGCCCUUUGGUUGGUUUGGGGGUCAGAAAAUGAACAUCAUAGGGGGUUUUUCCCUUAUGUGCAUUUGUAUCUGAUGGCUUUAACUCGCCUUGUUACUACAAAGAAAUUGUCACAUAUAGGAACUUAUUCCAGGCUGAGUAUCUCCGCAUAGACCCUAUAAAAGAAGACAAGUCAUAAUGAACAUCUAACCUUUGUUCAAUUUGAUUCAAUGCCCCAUUGUGUCCACCUCACAAAUCUGAAUUAUUAUAUCCAUUGAAUACAUAAAUUAAUGAAGAAAAUAUGAAACCCAAGAUACAUCUCUGCACAACCUCAACCCUGGUUGCUAUGUUUCCCUUCUAUUCACAUGAGGAUAUUGAUUACGGAAUAGGGAAACCUAGCAAGGGUUUACUCGGCUCUGGUUUGAUGCUAAUUGCCAAACUUGCAACAAGCCCUGAGUUUGAAGCUCACAGAAGAUGUUAUACAGGCAGGGAAAAACCUUCAGAGUUCGCUGCCAAAGAUAAUUAUUAAGGAGAUAUCACCAAGAGAAUUCCAAGGAGUCUGAAUCAAAGACAAAUUGGUCGUUCGUGGAGGUUCUUACUUUCUUUUGGGUAUAACUCACUGAGGGCACUGUCUUUUUUAUUUUCAUUUCACAUUUAGAGUUCUGUUCUGGAAACAUAUAAAAGGAGCAUCAGUUUGUUCUUGGGUAACCCAUAGUCGUGAGUGGGUCCAUUUGCAUGCUACUUAGUUGAAAAGUUGGACCAUUUGCUCCGACGCCUACCUCCUGGAUUCCAUGCUCGGAUAAAACAAGAAUAAAAAAAUAUUUAUAAUUUACAAAUGGGGGAAAGAAAAAAAUGUCAACAACAAACUAGGAAAAAAGAGUAGUAAAAUUCAUGUCACAUGCUAGUGAGAGAAGGGGUUGUUACACUCACUCGAAGUUCUUUUCAAAAUAUCGCAUGGUAUUUUAUUUUAUGUGUGAGCGCAGUUGUGAAUGGAACGUGCAAAAGUCCAAAUUGGUGACCUUUAAUAAAUAUUUAAAACAAAAAACGAAAAAAAGGAGGGAAAAGGGAUCAGAAAAGAUAAAACAAUGUGUACAAAAGCUCAAUUAGUUUGCAAAUUACUGUUUGGAUUUUGAUAGUAUUUUAUUUGAUGUAAAAGAGAAUUUAAGAUAUUUCCGAAACAAAAGCAUUAGUUUGCUCCAUGUCAAUUUCGGCAUUUCUCAUAUGUUUCACACAUACACAGAAGAGCAUCGUUUUUUAAAGCAUGCAUUUAUGUUGGAUUAAUUUGGAUUUUGUGGGAACUGGGGCAAGGAUCACAUGGAAGAGAGGUUGACUUUUUUCAGUACUUCAAUGGUUGAGACAGGUGAAGGCCUGAUUGAUACUGAAGCCUGAAAUUGCGACUCCGUCAUUUGUCAAAACAUAUGACAGCUUCCAUGCUCUCGUUUGGUUGCAUUGUUCUGUGGUCAUGCAUACAUGCCACUUAGUGAUCAGUCUGUAACUGUCAAUCAUUGGGCUUUGACUGAACAACAUCAGCCAUGUAUAAAUACUUGCAAAUCAAACGGUCUUCUUCCUCCCAUAAGGAAUUUCGGUUUAAUUAUGAAGCAUGCAUUUGGCUGACCAUCAUAAACCACUUCUUUAAAUUGAUGAAUGAUAGUUUUUCAUUCAUUCUUUCAUUCGUUCAUAUACAGAGUAUAUAUAGAGGGUAAUCAUCAUUCUAAGAAUGGGAAAGAAUGAUACAAGGAAAUAAUGAUAUAAAGAAAUAACAACUAAUAUUCUAAUAUCUCAACUUUCCUAAUAUCUAAACAUUCCUAAUAUCUCAACACUAAAUGAUAUAAAGAAAGAAUGAUAUAAGGAAAGCAUUCCUAAUAUCUCAACACUCCUCCUCAAGUUGGUGCAUAGAUGUCAAACAUGUCCAACUUGUCUAAAAAUUUUGAGAACAGUUGACUUGAGACAUCUUUGGUGAGGAUAUCGGUCAAUUGAUCUUCUGAUCGAAUCUUAGGCAAUUCCACAAUCUUAUCAUCCAACUUUUCCUUAAUGAAAAAUCUAUCCAUCUCGACAUGCUUUGUACGAUCAUGUUGUACUAGAUUAUGAGCAAUGUCACAUGCUGCUUUAUUGUCACAAAACAAUCGGAUUGGUUGCCUAGAUAGGUAACCUAAAUCCUAUAAGAGGAGUCUUAGCCAUAAUGCCUCACAAAGUCCUAAAGUCAUACCUCUAAAUUCCGCUUCUGCACUUGAACGAGCGACGACAUUUUGCUUCUUACUUUUCCAUGUCACAAGAUUACCACCUACAAAGGUAAAGUAACCAGAUGUAGAUCGCCUAUCAUCCACUGCACCGACCCAAACAGCAUUAUACUUCUAUACUCUGAUGAUCAACAUUUUUAGCGAACAAAAUUCCCUUCCUAGGAGCAUUCUUCAAAUACCUCAAAAUACGCAUGACUACAUUCAUAUGUUGCUCUCCAGGAUUAUGCAUGUAUUGACUCACUACACUCAAUGUAUAAGCAAGAUCUAGUCUUGUAUGAGCUAAGUACAUUAAUCUCCCCACAAGUCUCUGGUAUCUUCCCUUAUCGAUUGAUACUUGAUUAGGCUCAACACACAAUUUCAGACCUUCUUCUAUUGGUGUAUUAAUAGGUUGACAUCCCGACAUUCCAGUUUCCUGUAGAAGAUCUAAGGCAUACUUUCUUUGAGACAGAAAAAUUCCUUCACUUGAUCGAGAAACUUCAAUCCCAAGAAAGUAUUUCAGACGACCAAGAUCUUUCAUUUCAAAUUCUCUAGAUAGAUACUUUUGCAAAGCUUUUCUUUCUUCAGGAUCAUUUCCUGUAACUACAUGUCAUCCACAUAUAUCAUAAGUGUCGUAAUCUUACCAUGUUGCUUUUUCAAGAACAAAGUGUGAUUUGAAUUACUUUGAUGAUAGCCAAAAGCUCUCAUUGAUUUUGUGAACCUUCCAAACCAUGCUCUCGGGGAUUGCUUCAACCCAUACAAUGACUUCUUCAAUUCGCACACCUUCUGACAUUGCUUUUCUGACACCAUGCAUCCUGGUGGAAGAUCCAUAUAUACUUCUUCAGAUAAAUCGCCAUGCAGAAAGACAUUUUUUACAUCGAACUAUUGUAAUGGCCAAUCUAGGUUUGCAGCUAAAGACAAUAAUACUCGAACUGUGUUGAUCUUAGCUACAGGUGCAAAUGUCUCUGUGUAGUCAAUUCCAUAAGUUUGAAUGUACCCACUAGUCUUGCUUUAAAUCGUUCAAUACUACCAUCUGCCUUGUACUUCACAGUAUAGAUCCAACGACACCCAACUAGCUUCUUUCCUGGUGGACAUUCUACGAGUUCCCAUGUUUCAUUUUUCUGCAAUGAUUUCAUCUCUUCAUUCAUGGUUGCUUUCCACUUUGGAUCAGCUAAAGCUUCCUGCACACUAUUAGGAAUAGCUACAGUAGAUAAUUGAUUUACAAAUGACUUAUUUGAUUCAGACAAACCAUGGUGUGGACCCGCAUUUUUCACGUGCGCCUCUACUCGAUCGGCGAGACUCGCUUUCUAUUUGUGAAAAAUUAAUUUUAGAAAAGUUGGAGUCGCCACCUAUUUUAUUUUUAUUUUGAAGGGAAAAUAAAACAAGAAAGAAAAACCCUAAAAAGUGACUCCAUAGUUUUGGAAAAAGCAUGUCUUUGGGAAACCUGAGUCUAGGUCCGGGGAUCAUGUUACUUAUUGGGAAGGUACCUCUAGGAGGUAGCACCCCUCUAAGCCUUAUGAAGGUCUCUACUAACUAAAUUAAGGGAAGUGUGGCAAUAAAUCGAUUGAUCAUAGAUACCUAAGUAGACUAGGUGAUUUUAAAGUGUGGCAUGUCAAACACAAUCAAAUUGCAAUAAAGGAGAGUUAGGGCGCGUACCUGAACCGCUUCUCAAGCGCUAUCAUAAAACAUCAAUGGUUAAUUUAAAUAAUAUAUCAUCCAGCAUGUAUUUUAUUAGAAAUAAUCAAACAAUGAAACAUGUAUAUCAGAACACUCAAGCAUUAUUAGACAUAAGCAUUAUUUCACUAUUCACAGAAUUCAGAAAGUAGGUGAUAGAGGACAUACCUGGAUAGCAUAGAUAAUUUGUAAUGUGCUUCCUCAAGUUGUAAGGGGUUAGAUAACAAAUAAUAAAAUAUAGAAAUCCUAGCAUGCUCGUUAUCUAAUUAGCAUAGCAAAAGUGAUCACAGUAUACAGAAUCAUCAAUUAUCACAUACAUCUUGUAUAUAAUUCCUAAAAAAAAUAGAUAGACAUGAUUUCAACAAGUGUCAAAUGUGGCAACAAAAAUAAAUUUUGAAAAGAUUUUCUUAUGUAGGGGUUUCACCAAUUCCCCAAAUUAAUAUACACGAAUUUAGCUUAGAAUUAUCCCAUUUAUUUGGGACUACAAGCUUUGAUUCGUGUUUUUGUUCAAAACCAAAAAUUUUUGUUGAAAAUCAAGAAGGAUGCGAACCGAACAAGAUAUGGUUGCAUAUUAUUUUUAAAUAAAUAAAUAAAUAAAUAAAGGAGAUUUUGAUCCUGAGGACUUUAAUGAGUUUUUUUUUUUAAAAUAGAUUUUUAAAAUGAUUUUUUUGAGAAAAGUAUUUUAUUUUAAAAUAAAAGGGAUUAAUUUGGGAAAAAAAUAAAAUAUAAGAAAUAAAAUACCAAACAAAACAAAAAUGAAACCUCAAAGUAAAAUUUUUUUAGUAAUUAACAAAAAUGAUAAUGGUGAUGGUAGAGGGCAAUCUUCAUGAUUUUCCAAUGGCCUCAGAAAGAAAAUCAAAUUAAAUGAAGGAUCACUAACAGGCAAGACAUUCUAAAUUAGACAAACUAACAAAGUAUCAAUUCAUGAACUAACCGCUAGGAUUUUGAAAGCAUAUAAGCUAAGAUAAGGGUGAUCAGGAACUAAUAUUAAUGAUUUUGAAAUAAAAACUAAAAAAAAGGAUCAAUUCGGGUAAGGAACUAAAAUUAUAAAAGUACCUAAACUAAUUAUGACGAGUUUGACUAAAUUAAACUAAAAACAUGAACUUUCAAACAUAGAAUUAAUUUUACUAAUGAACCAAAGCAAACUAAAAAUAUGUACUUUCAAGCAUAGAAUUAAUUUUAUUGAUGAACUAAACUAUAACAAAUAUCUAAACUAAAUAUAAUGAAUCAAAUUAAAUUAAAGCAACUUAAAAACGCAAACUUUCAAACAUAGAAUCAAUUUUAUCAAUGAAUUAAAACUAUAAAUGUAUUUGAACUAAAUAGAUGAAUCAAACUAAAUCAGAGCAAAAUUAAAAAAAAAAAAGAACUUUCUAACAUGAAAUCAAUUUUAUCAACAAAUAAAUGAAUGAAUAACAAGUAAUUAAAAGAAUAGCUACUACAUGAAUAACUGAAUGAAUAAAAUUCAAAUGUUUUCAAUCUGAAGCAAUCAAUCAAAAUUAAAUAGGGAUCAAAUCAAAAUAAUCGAAAUCGGAAAAACAAUAUGCAAUCUUUCUAAAGGUUUAACCAGACAAUUGAAUUAAAAUUAUGAAUAGAAUAAAUUAAUAAACCAAAUCGAAACCUAAAUUGUACCUAAAAAGAUUAAUUAAUUAAACUAAGAAAUCAAAAUCAAUAACAAAACUAAACUAAGGAGUAAAUUAAGACAAGACUAAUUAAAUUAAACUCACAAACACGUUUUAACUAUCAUAUGGAUUAAAACAAAAUUAGCAUGGACUUAUGAAUUACGAACAAAAAUAAUCAAAACUAUUUUAAAAAACUCACCUCUAUUAUAAGAAAAAAUCUGCCUUUGAUGCGUUGAGGUGGCUCCCCUCUCUGUGUGGAUCUCUCUGCUCCCCAGAAAAAAAAUGUCUCUUCCUCCGUUCUCUUUUGUUUCAGCAAAAUAAUAUAUCCCCUGCUGUGGAUCUCUCUACUCCCAGAAAAUAAUAUAUUCUCUCCGUGUCCUAAAGUGGACCUAGGGUGCCUAAGUGGACCUAGGGUGCCUAAAUGGGCCUAGGGUGCCUAAAUGGGCCAAGUGUAUCUAAAUAGGCUUAGGGUGCCUAAGUGGGCCUAAGUCUAAGUGAGCCUAAGUCUAAAUCAAGACUACCAAGGAUCAUAAUAAGGGGUUAGGCAAUCCCUUAACCAAAGUCUCCAAGGUGGCUAAAAAAAAGUAAGUAGUAUGAGUAGCUAUGGGUCACCAAGGAACUACUGUGGAGCAUUGAAAACGAAUUUAAAGACAUGUGCCAAAGGGACAAAAUUGAGGGUCUACAGAUGGUUAGACACAUAGUUGCUCAUGGGAUAUUUGACUUUGGUAAACAAUUCAGAUUCAUAUGUGGGUUUAGGAAUACCUUUAUUAUGACGGUGUGGUAAUCGUUUCAUGAAUGGAUCAGGUUGCAAAUUAAGAACACCCUCAGCAAACAACGAUUGGUUUGGUAUUUCAGUGAAGACAUCUUCGAACCCAAAUUGUUGACCACUCAUAUCCAACUCACCCGCUUCCUGGUUCACUAGUUCAGAUUGUCCAAAUUCAUCAUUCUCAUAGAUAUGAUAAUCAUAAUCGAGAGUCUGAAUUUCCUUAUGGUACUCCCCCUGAAGUUCAGACUUAGAUGAAAAAUACAUCGAAUAUUCAUGAAACAGCNNNNNNNNNNNNNNNNNNNNNNNNNNNNNNNNNNNNNNNNNNNNNNNNNNNNNNNNNNNNNNNNNNNNNNNNNNNNNNNNNNNNNNNNNNNNNNNNNNNNNNNNNNNNNNNNNNNNNNNNNNNNNNNNNNNNNNNNNNNNNNNNNNNNNNNNNNNNNNNNNNNNNNNNNNNNNNNNNNNNNNNNNNNNNNNNNNNNNNNNNNNNNNNNNNNNNNNNNNNNNNNNNNNNNNNNNNNNNNNNNNNNNNNNNNNNNNNNNNNNNNNNNNNNNNNNNNNNNNNNNNNNNNNNNNNNNNNNNNNNNNNNNNNNNNNNNNNNNNNNNNNNNNNNNNNNNNNNNNNNNNNNNNNNNNNNNNNNNNNNNNNNNNNNNNNNNNNNNNNNNNNNNNNNNNNNNNNNNNNNNNNNNNNNNNNNNNNNNNNNNNNNNNNNNNNNNNNNNNNNNNNNNNNNNNNNNNNNNNNNNNNNNNNNNNNNNNNNNNNNNNNNNNNNNNNNNNNNNNNNNNNNNNNNNNNNNNNNNNNNNNNNNNNNNNNNNNNNNNNNNNNNNNNNNNNNNNNNNNNNNNNNNNNNNNNNNNNNNNNNNNNNNNNNNNNNNNNNNNNNNNNNNNNNNNNNNNNNNNNNNNNNNNNNNNNNNNNNNNNNNNNNNNNNNNNNNNNNNNNNNNNNNNNNNNNNNNNNNNNNNNNNNNNNNNNNNNNNNNNNNNNNNNNNNNNNNNNNNNNNNNNNNNNNNNNNNNNNNNNNNNNNNNNNNNNNNNNNNNNNNNNNNNNNNNNNNNNNNNNNNNNNNNNNNNNNNNNNNNNNNNNNNNNNNNNNNNNNNNNNNNNNNNNNNNNNNNNNNNNNNNNNNNNNNNNNNNNNNNNNNNNNNNNNNNNNNNNNNNNNNNNNNNNNNNNNNNNNNNNNNNNNNNNNNNNNNNNNNNNNNNNNNNNNNNNNNNNNNNNNNNNNNNNNNNNNNNNNNNNNNNNNNNNNNNNNNNNNNNNNNNNNNNNNNNNNNNNNNNNNNNNNNNNNNNNNNNNNNNNNNNNNNNNNNNNNNNNNNNNNNNNNNNNNNNNNNNNNNNNNNNNNNNNNNNNNNNNNNNNNNNNNNNNNNNNNNNNNNNNNNNNNNNNNNNNNNNNNNNNNNNNNNNNNNNNNNNNNNNNNNNNNNNNNNNNNNNNNNNNNNNNNNNNNNNNNNNNNNNNNNNNNNNNNNNNNNNNNNNNNNNNNNNNNNNNNNNNNNNNNNNNNNNNNNNNNNNNNNNNNNNNNNNNNNNNNNNNNNNNNNNNNNNNNNNNNNNNNNNNNNNNNNNNNNNNNNNNNNNNNNNNNNNNNNNNNNNNNNNNNNNNNNNNNNNNNNNNNNNNNNNNNNNNNNNNNNNNNNNNNNNNNNNNNNNNNNNNNNNNNNNNNNNNNNNNNNNNNNNNNNNNNNNNNNNNNNNNNNNNNNNNNNNNNNNNNNNNNNNNNNNNNNNNNNNNNNNNNNNNNNNNNNNNNNNNNNNNNNNNNNNNNNNNNNNNNNNNNNNNNNNNNNNNNNNNNNNNNNAACCAAAGGAAGCAUGUUCCAGACGUCGAUGCCACAACCAAAUUUCAGACUUUUUCUUCUCCUCCUUAGAUCCAUCUGCCAUCAAGGCUUGUUGCAACUUAUUUGAAUCCUUUGAUUGCAAGUCCAAGUAUAGAGUUUCCCCCGCUUAAUACGACAACCAAUCGUCUGUCUUGUUUGAAUGUCCUUAAUCACACAAAAUUCAGGCCAAAAAAUGACAAUACAAGAUAAGGCUGCAGUGAUUUGAGAAACUAACAAAAGAUUGUAAUCUAAAGAUGGAACAACUAAAACAGAAUCCAAAUUCAAAGUAUCAGUAAGAGUUAAGGAUCCUUCCCCAAUGACUGGGGUUGUGUUACCAUUGGCUGUGGAAACAAUUUUUUGUGAGGAAGGUCUAAGGGGUGAAACCUGUCUAGAAUCAAAAGUCAUAUGAUCUGUAGCACCAGAAUCAAUUAUCCAUGCACUAUUAAUAACAGGUGUAAAAGUAUUUAAAAACUUACCACAAUGAUCUGUAGCGGCUACUAAUGCAGAGACUUUCUCAACAACAUUAGUCUUUGUUUUUAUUUCGGUAACAGUUGCAAUCAAGGUUUUCUUGGAAUUCUUCUUCCGUUGAUCACGAUUAUUAUCAUUAAUAACAAAGUGUUGAUAGCCUAAACAUGAUCUAAAGGUCCAUGGUGCAAACCCUCGGUUCCUCAUUGUUUUCCUGGUCAUACCAAGAGUUGUUGCUUUGAAAUUGUGGGAUAUCCAGACUGGUGGGAUCAGUUUUAUUGCAGUGAGUGCAUUUGAAUGUUGACUUAUCAAUAUUAGGGCUUGUCUUCGGAUGGUUGAUUGCUGUUGGACUACCAUAGCGACAAAAUAUCCAGGAUUUCAAUUCCAGGGCUCUGAUACCAUCUUCAAAUUGAUGAAUGAUAGUUUUUCAUUCAUUCUUUCAUGUACAGAGUAUAUAUAGAGGGUAAUCACCAUUCUAAGAAUGGGAAAGAAUGAUACGAGGAAAUAAUGAUAUAAGGAAAUAAUAACUAAUAUCCUAAUAUCUCAACUUUCCUAAUAUCUCAAUAUUCCUAAUAUCUCAACUUUCCUAAUAUCUAAACAUUCAUAAUAUCUCAACACUAAAUGAUACAAGGAAAGAAUGAUAUAAGGAAAACAUUCCUAAUAUCUCAACACCACUUCAUGAUAUAUAUAGUUUCUUACCCUUAAUCAAUGGUUUCUAAGUGAAUUUAUAUAGAAAGAAAUCCAAACUGUAGACAGCAGUAUUGGUAACACUCAAUAUUCUGUAUAUAAUAGAAUAAAUAGCGUCACAGUGAUCGUCGCCUACAAGCAAGGUACAAAUACCACAAAGAGUGACCCACAUAGACAUUCCCCAACAAGAUGUAGUAGUGACUGACACAUAGCCACAAUUAACACGUAGAAAAGGAUAAGACCGGUGCACAGUAGCUCUUAUUUUACAUACUACUUAUGCCAACCAAAGUCACUCAGUUGGGAUGGGAGGGAGAUGGAGGUUUGUGCGGUGGCUUGUGGGGCGGAGUUGAUGGCUUCUUUCCAGGAGCUUCUGGCUUUUUCAUCGGAGCUGAAGGAGGCUCAAUCUUAUGAGGCGGCUUGUACGAGUCUUCUUUGCUCUCGAAAGGAGGGUGGCCAGGGUUGUGACCAUAAUGUGGUGGUUUCUCUCCCUUGGGAGGUUUACCAAUUGGGGUUGGUGGCUUGUGUUCUGGGAGUGGUUUCUCUCCCUUGGGAGGUUUAGUGGGUGACUUGUGUUCUGGAGGUGGCUUCUCCACCGAAGGCUUGUGCUCCGGUGGUGGCUUUUUGGUUGGAGGGGGCUUGGGGUAAUCAGCAAGAGAUGGGGUGGUGAGAACCACCAGUCCAAGGAACAACACUAGCAAGUAUGUGGGAGACAUUUUUGAGUUUGGGCUGAUCAGAUGAUGCAAAACUAAAGCAUUACGUGACCUUUUAUAGCAAGUAGCUCCCAAUACCUACUUGACACGUGUUACUGUGACCCAUAAAUAUUAUGGGGUCUAUUUGUGCCCUACCGGGUUGAAAACUUGGACAAUUGGGCAAGGACCCGCCUGACUAUGGAGGACUACUGAGGUGUGAUCACAGCUUUAGGAUUUUUCUUCCUCUGCAGCCGUCUUGCCGUUGGCAUGAUUUUCUUAAUCUCAAAUAAAGGCAUAGUUAUAGAGUUGUUUAAUCUCUAAAUGGGAUUUUAUAUAUCUUCAGAUAGCCAUUAAUACAUUUGAUGAAGAAAGAAAGACAAGUGCAUACAACAUGUAUACGACUAGCUUUCAUGGAGUUCAUUUAUGAUCAGUUUUCCUGUACAUGUAAACCAAGAUCAUAUAUGUUUUUGUUCCACAACAAUUUUGGAAUCUUGUUUAUCCGUUUUUAUCAUUAUAAUGUCACAUAGGCUGCCAACUUGGGCGCUAAAUUAAAGAUCCAGUUGGGCAAGUUCGUUUCAGAAUUUCAAUGGUGGAUUCAGGAAUUGUUUUAUAAGAUAUGCAAAAUAGUAGAGGGAUGAAUAGUGUUUCAUUAAGAAAAGAGCCCUGUAAAAAUAUUGUUUAAAGGUGCCAUAGAAACUAUAAUCAAUAAAUAACUUUUUUUCCCCAUGGGUGGUGUUUCUUGUGGGGAUCAGUGACUGGUUUGAGUCAACGCCGUGUCUCUUUAGUCCAGAAAUCAACUAUUUUAUGCAUUGAAUACAUCAACAAAGAAAAUAUGAAAGCCAAAUGACACCUCCCCCGCAAAAACUAAACCCUGGUUGCUAACUUUCUAUGUUUCAGUUCCAUUCACACAAGAAUAUUAGUUCAAGUUUGAGAAAAAUGGCGACUUACCUAGUGAUAACUCGGUCUUGGUUUGCGAUUUGACUUUAACGUCAUGGGUUGAAGCCUCCUACAAUCAUCGUGUAUGCUAGUUCAAAGCUCGUGGAAGAAGUUAUACAGGGAGGGAGAAACCUCCACAGCAAGCUCCAAAAGAGAAUUAUCACAUUGAAAGCUCCAGUUGAACACUGGGUGAAAGCCAUAACAAGAUUGGUUUUCUAUCGCUCUUUUAAGUAAUGGAAGAUUAUUAUCUCUGCUUGUCACUACAACCGUGCAUGCUGCUAGAUCUUUCUAGACACUUCAAACAGUGAAACCAAGUAUGAUUCUUUUUCUCUUGAGUGGGUCCACUUGCAUGCCAAUGAACGAGUUGAAAAGUUGGACAAUUGGCCACAGCGCGCACUUACCUUCUGGAACCGAAGGUCAGUGAAGUGGGGUUCCUUUUGGCCCCUUGUGUUUCUGUUCCAACCUACUCCAGGAACCGAAGUUCAGUGAAGUGGGGCUACUUUUGGCCUCUUGUGUUUCUGUUCCAACCAAACAAAAAUGGGAGGGAAAAAUAGCAUUAUGCUUGUGCUAAAGAUCAACGCAUGAUAGCUGAAUAAGGGAGAAAAAGGCAUUGCUAUCUCAAUUUCAUAAACUUGAUAAGUAGUGACAUUAAUAGUCUUCCUCAUAGAUGGAUACAUGGUUUUAUUUUAUUUAUUUAUUUUUAUUUUUUUGUUUUAUGUCAAUGCUAAUGAAUGAAGUGCAUUAGCUUGUUUUGUGACUAGAACUACAAAUGUCCAAAUUGGAGCUUCUCCAAUAUAUUUCUCAGUGAGUUAUUGAUUAGAACUCUUGGAUUGAGUUCCAAGAUUUGAAUCAGACCCCUCUAGCAGCUUCAGGGGUACGUAGCAACCUAUAGCAUAUUAAUGAAGACUUAGGAUUUAGACUUAGGAAUACAAAUUAAUAUGUACCUCAUGCUCUGACUAGCUUCCCUGCGUAUGCACAAAAUGGAGAUGACUCCCAAAAAAAUAGCAGAAUCGCCUUAGUAUGUUUUUGUGGUUAAGAUGAUUCUCCACUUUAUAUAUCCACAUUGGUUCAUUAUGCAAAUUAAUCAACUAAGCUAUUUUUAUUUUUUCUUAAAUGUGAAAUAGGAGCUCCAAAUUAACCUAACCAUUGGCCUGAUUGAAUUGAUUUCACUUGCAUAAUGUUAUAGUAGAAGUCCGUAAUUUGAAUUUUAUUUUUGCAAAAGGUAACGUAAAUGAAGCAUUGUAAUUAAAUUUAUUUGUAAUUACAAACUAAUUUUAUUUUAUUAAGAAUUAAUUUAAUUACUCAUUUAAAAUAAAAAUCAGUUAUACUUUUACCAAGAUGAUAAUAUUCAUAUUUUUCUAGUUAACAUAUAUAAAAUAGUACACUUUUUCAUAUAAAAAAAUAAUUUAUGAUUUAUUAUAAUGUUACUAUUCACAUUUUACUAAAUUGAUGGUACAUGAUAGUGAGAGAAGGGGGUGUCACACUCAGCUAAAGUUCUUUUCAAAAUAUUGCAUGGUGUUUAAUUUUAUGUGUCGGCGCGCGUGUGAAUGGAACCUGCAAAAGUCCAAAUUGGCGUUUCUCCAUUUUCCACAUAGGAUGGUGACGUUAAUAGACAAAGAUACAAUAUCUGUAGACAUUGCUUAAAAAUCGAUGUGAAGUAUUAGAAAUUACAGGGCACUGUACUGGGGGAGCGGCUGCCCCGCCAAAGGAGGAAGAAUGUAGCAAUUUCUUCUGUUAGCCAGGCCUUAGGAUUUAUGCAUGGGAUGCCUAAUAACAAACAGAGAAAAUAUACUUUUGGGGAAGGUAUCCAACAACAGACACCAUCAUUCAGAUGGUGGGAAGGUAUCCAACAGAUGCCAUCAUUCAGAUGGUAACAUAUAUAUACAUUUAUUAGUGAGUUUUUUUAAUACCUAUAAAAAAAAAUAUACACUUUGAUAUUGUGGCUGAAUCCAUUACAUACUCAACUAACCUUGCUCAUUAGGGAUUUGACUUAACAAGGGCAACGUUGCAGUACAAGCUCAAAACUUUAUGCAGGUGACAUUACAUUUGGUAAAGAAGAGGAAAAUAACGAAAGCCAUCCAUAAAAGCAAAAUUCCACAUGGGAUGAAAUUCACAAGCUUCAUUUACGAUAGAGUCGCAUCCAGGCAAUUAAUUCCACAUUAGACCGCCUGUUGACAUGUGUACCAAUCUUUUUUCAAAAAAUAUUUAUAAAUAAUUGAUACUCACAAAAAUAAUUUAAUAUUUAUAAAGGAUAAAAAAAUAUUUUCAAAUCUAUAACAAUUUAUAAAAUAUUAAUAAAAAAUUAUCUCUUAAACUUAGUAUAGUUUUAUCAGAUUAAACUUUUAUUUUGAACAAAUAAUUUUAAUCUAAGUUUUAAAUUCUAAAAUUAUUUCCUUAAAAUAAAAUUUUAAAAUUCAACACUUCAAUUGAAAUUGUCUUUUUAAAAAAUAUCUUCUUAUUUUAAUCCUUAUAAACUAUAGUUGAUUGAAAAUACUAUUGAAGUUCUCUCUUAAAAAAAAGUCUUAUUUUAAUCUUCAUAAAUUGCCCUUGAUUUGAAAAUAAAUUUUCAGUUAUCAUAUUUUAAAUAAUAUCUAUAUUUAAAAUACUCUAUUUAAAAAAAAAUGAACUAAUUUUAAUUAUAUUAUAUUUUAUUUUUUUAUAUAUUUUUAAUGAUAAACCAAACAUAGAAAAUCAUUUUUCUAAAUAUUUUAAAAUUUCUAAGCAACCAAACAUAAUCUUCAAAAUAAAAGGAAAAUAAGGAGGGACAUUUGAGAAAUGGCGAUUAAAAAAAAGUGUACAAAAGCUCAAUUAAUUUUCUUCUAGUCUUUUAUAUAAAAAAGUAAAGGAAUUGAAAAGUAUUGAUAUGUAAAUUAAUAUUUGGAUUUUAAUAGUAUUUUAUUUGUCUUUCUCUAUCUCAUGUAAAAGAGAAUUUAAGAUAUUUCCUAAAGCAAAGCAUUAGUUAUCUGCAAUCAGUGGUGAUCAUGCCCCAUGUCAAUUUCGGACCCAUAUCUUAAAACUGUAUAAUUUGCAUUCAAACAUUACUGAUUUCUCAGAUGUUUCAUACUCCACAGAAGAGCAUUGUUUGUGAAAGCAUGCAUUUAUGUUGGAUUUUGGAUGAUGUGGGAACUGGGGCAAGGAUCAUAUGGAAGAGUGGUCGAUUUUGUUCUGUACUUUAACAUUUGAAAUAGGAGAAGCUCGGGCAUUUGUGGGGCUUAAUUGAUUUUGAAGCCUGAAAUUGCGUUUCUGUCAUUUUGUAAAAAAUAUGGCAGAUUCCAUGCUCUCAUAUGUUUGGUCUGUGGCCAUGUAUAGAUGCCCCUUAGUGACCAGUUUGUAACUGUCAAUCAUAGUGUUUUGACUCUGGCUCAACAACAUCAGCCAUUGACGGAUUUUCAUACUUGCAAAUCAAAUAGUCUUCUUCCUCCCUUAGGAAUUUCGGUUUAAAUGUUAUUAAGCAUACAUUUGGCUGACAAUUAUUAACCACUUCAUGAUAUGGUUUCUUACCCUUAAUCAAUGGUUUCUAAGUGAAUAUAUGCAGAAGGAAAUCUGAACUGUAGACAGCAGUAUUGAUAACUCUCAAUAUUCUUUAUAUAAGAGAAUAAACAACGUCAUAGUGAUCGUCGCCUACAAGAAAGGUACAUUUCCCAACAAGAUGUAGUUGUGACUGGUACAUGGACGCAAUUAACUCGUACAAAAGAAUAAGACCAGUGCACGGCAGCUCUUAUUUUACAUGCUAAUUAUGCUAACCAAAGUCACUCAGUUGGGAUGGGAGGGAGAUGGAGGUUUGUGCGGUGGCUUGUGGGGCGGAGUUGGUGGCUUCUUUUCAGGAGCUUGUGGCUUUUUCGGAGCUGAAGGAGGCUCAAUCUUAUGAGGCGGCUUGUACGAGUCUUCUUUACUCUCGACAGGAGGGUGGCCAGGGUUGUGACCAUAAUGUGGUGGCUUCUCUCCCUUAGGUGGCUUGCCAACUGGGGUUGGUGGCUUGUGUUCAGGAAGUGGUUUCUCUCCCUUGGGAGGUUUACCAAUUGGGGUUGGUGGCUUGUGUUCUGGGAGUGGUUUCUCUCCCUUGGGAGGUUUAGUGGGUGACUUGUGUUCUGGAGGUGGCUUCUCCACCGGAGGCUUGUGCUCCGGUGGUGGCUUCUCCACCGGAGGCUUGUGCUCCGGUGGUGGCUUCUUGAUUGGAGGGGGCUUGGGGUAAUCAGCAAGAGAUGGGAUGGUGAGAACCACCACUCCAAGGAACAACACUAGCAAGUAUGUGGGAGACAUUUCUGAGUUUGAGCUGAUCAGAUGAUGCAAAACUAGAAGAAUUACGGGACCUUUUAUAGCAAGUAUCUCCCAAUACCCACAUGACACGUGUUACUAUGACCAUAAAUAUUAUAGGGUCCAUUUGUGCCCUACCGGGUUGAAAACUUGGACGCUUGGCCGAGGACACACCUGACUAUGGAGGACUAUUGACGUGUGAUCACAGCUUUUGGAUUUUUCUUCCUGUGCAGCUGUCUAGCGGUUGGCAUUAUUUUCUUAAUCUUAAAUAAAGGCAUAGUUAUAGAGUUGUUUAAUCUCUAAAUGGGAUUUUAUAUAUCUUCAGAUAGCCAUUAAUAUAUUUGAUGAAGAAAGACAAGUGCAUACAACAUGUAUACGGCUUGCUUCAAUCGAGUACAUUUAUGAUCAGUUUUCCUGUGCAAGUAAACCAGUUUUUUGUUCCACAACUAUUUUGGAAUCUUGUUUAUCAGUUUCUAUCAUUAUAAUGUCACAUAGGCUGCAAACUUGGGCACCCAAAGAUCUAGGUGGGCAAAUUUGUUUCAGACUUUCAAUGGUGGAUUCAGUAAUUGUUAAAAGGUGUUUCUUCAUUAAGGAAAGAGUCCGGUAAAAAUAUUGUUAAAAGGUGUCAUAGAAACUAUAAUAAAUAAAUAACUUCUUUUCCCCAUGGGUGGUGUUUCUUCUGGGGAUCAGUGACUGGUUAGGGUCACCCAAAAUGAGUCCAGAUUAAAAUUGGUUCGAGUCAAAGCAGUCUCUUUUGUCCAGAAAUCAACUAUUUUGCGCAUUGAAUGAAUCGAUAAAGAAAAAAUGAAAGCCAAAUCACACCUCCCCUGCAAAACCUAAACCCCGGUUGCUAACUUUCUAUGUUUCAGUCCUAUUCAUAUAGGAAUAUUGGUUCAAGUUUGAGAAAAAUGGCAACUUACCUAGGGUUUACUUGGUUUUGGUUUGCGACUAUUUACGCAACCAACCAUGAGUUUGACUUUAACGUCAUGGGUUGAAGCCUCCUACAAUCAUGUAUGAUAGUUCAAAGCUCGUGGAAGAAAUUAUACAGGAAGGAAGAAACCUCCAAAGCUAGCUCCAAAAGAGAAUUAUCACAUCGAUAGCUCCAGAGAUUCCCAAGGGAACUGAAUCAAAGACAAGUUCCUCACUUUUUCUUCUUUUGAGGCCAAAUAUGAACCAAGGAUCACACGACCUCAUUCAACUUCAUAAGUUUGAUUUCAUGCAGUUGAACACUGGGUGAAGGCCAUGACAAGAAUUGAUUAAAAAAUUCUACCACUCUUUUAAGUAAUGGAAGAUUAUUAUCUCUGAUUGGCACCACAACAGCACAUGCUGCUAGAUCUUUCUAGACACUCCAUGCAAUGAAAGCACAAUGGAUCUUGUAAUGAUAGAAACUAAGCCAUGCUACAGUACUAGAUGAGGGGGUAAAACUAGUAGACAUCUUUCUAGACACUCCAUGCAAUGAAAGCACAAUGGAUCUUGUAAUGAUAGAAACUAAGCCAUGCUACAGUACUAGAUGAGGUGGUAAAACUAGUAGACAUGGCUGGCAGUUGAUUACUACUCAAAAAGUACUCUUUUAUAGCUUGAAACUAACUGUUUUAAACACUUUUGAGUAGUAGUUAAUACCUUUUAACUUAAUUGGCACAUUAAGGAACCUAGCAAGGGUUACUAAUCAACAUUUGGCAAGUUUUGAUGUUUUUGGUAGCUAUUUGAUCAUUGAAACAAGCCAAGAAUGAGGGGGAAUUUUGUGAAGUCCAUGGCAAUGCAAGUUAAAGCUCAAAUACAUGAAGAAUCCAAGCUUUGGAGCACUUCAUAGCCCUUUGCCAAGCCAAUCAAAGAUGCAAGGAAGAAAACCAAAGGAAGAAAUCCAACAAUCAGCAUUUUGGCAUGGCUAUGUGAAAUUUCGCACACCAUGCGAAACCACAAGAGGCAGCCAAAGAAUUUCGCAUGGUAUGCGAAAUCUUCUUGUGCACUGACUCUGUUAGAUUUUUAUCUUCAGAUAUUUUGUGUAAUUUCCUAGUUUCUCCUUGUAACCAACUUAGAUAUUUUCUUUUAUAUCUUUUUUUAUAUUUUUUAGGUAACAUCAUAUAUAAGAGGAGAGACAUAAGGAGGAUAUGGAUGUUUUUCAUAGAACACUUGUAAAUUUUUGGUAGUAAGAAAUAUACAAAGCUUUUUGCUCUGCCUUACCUUCUCAAGGGAUGAGUGGCUAGGUUUUCUUGGAGUGAGGGAAGCUAGGUGAAGGACCUGAAUGCAAAGGUGGGAGUUUUCCUUACUUUAAAUGAAAGUAGUUGUUAAACAUUAAUGGUUUUUAUUUUAAGGUUUAGCUUUAAAUCCCUGAAAAACACCUUGAAUGGCCAAUACUUGGUAAGCUUUUUAGAUUCUAUGGAUGCUUAUUGCUAGAUCCAUGGAUGUCUAUUAGUUAUCAUUUACGAGCCAUUGGAAGGUGAUUCAAGGUGAGGGUCUUUAGUGUUUGAAGCCAUUAAUGGGAAGCAAUUACCAUUUUUUCAUGAAUCCUUUGGAUCAAAUCUUAAUUGCUAAAUAUAAAACCGGUUUCGAGAGAUAACCACCAUCCUUUAUGUUAUUAUCCCCAACGCGAGGAGAAGAUCCGAAAUCUUCCUUUUUAUCUAAGGAACCCGAUCCUAGUGACCUAAAGCUCCAAGAUACCUUUUCUUUGUAGUUAACUUCAUUUAUUGUUUUUGCUUAACUUAAAAUCAAUCUUUGCAACCACAAUUCCAUUUUCUUUAAAAGCUAAUUUUUAUAAGGAAAAACACCAUUUUAUUUCCUUCACUAAGUCAACUGUACGAUGAAAACCCAUCCCUGUGGACGAUCCUAGAGCCACUAUACUAUGUUAGCUAUGCUACCCUAGUGUGAGGUGAUUUAGGUUUUAUAAAUUUUUUUGAUAACACCCAUCUGAGCCAGAAUCAAAUGGCACGACUGAACCAGGGACGAAUCAAAUGACGCCGCUACCAAGGAUGGUGCCAAAGUACAUUGACAUGACUUUUGGUGAACACUUGUGAUCUUCACCACAAGUUUGGUGAUUUUUCUUUUACUAAUUUUUUUUAUUUUAGCUUAUCUUUUAUUUAGUUUUUAGUUAACCUUAAAUUUUUCCUAGAAUUGUAUUUCUUUUGUUUUCUUUGUUUUUGUUUCAGUGAUCUUUAGUUGUGCAUGCCCUAUUGGAUAAGAGAUAUUGAGGGAAUACUUGUGAAGAUUGAAACUCCUCGAGAAACUGAGUUAGAAGUGUGCUUGAACAUCAUGGAUGUUCCACCUGAAGACCAGAAUAGCCAACAUGGUUAAGAGGAUAAUUUCAACACAUACCGAUCCAUGAGGAACCGCAUACAUCCACCUUGUAUGAGUGCACCGUCAGGCAUAAUGCCUCCCACUGAGCAGCUAGUAAUCUGACCUCACAUUGUGCCACUCCUACCUACUUUCCAUGGGAUGGAGAGUGAGAAUCCCUACUCGCAUAUUAAGGAAUUCGAGGAGGUUUGUAAUACAUUCCAAGAAGGAGGAGCUUCAAUUGACUUGAUGAGGCUCAAGCUAUUUCCUUUCACUUUGAAGGAUAAGGCCAAGAUUUGGCUUAAUUCUUUAAGGCCAAGAAGUAUCCAAACUUGGAUUGAUUUGUAAGCCGAGUUUCUUAAGAAGUUCUUCCCUACCCAUAGGACCAAUGGUUUGAAAAGGCAAAAUUUGAACUUCUCAGUUAAAGAGAAUGAGAAAUUCUAUGAGUGUUGGGAGAGCUACAUGGAAGCUAUUAACGUUUGUCCUCACCAUGGCUUUGACACAUGGCUCUUAGUGAGCUAUUUUUACAAUGGUAUGUCUUCUUCAAUGAAGCAACUCCUAGAAACUAUGUGUGGAGGAGACUUCAUGAGUAAGAAUCCGGAGGAAGCCAUGGACUUUUUGAGUUAUGUGGCUGAAGUUUCAAGAGGAUGGGAUGAACCAAAUGCUAGAGAGGUGGGAAGAAUGAAGUCUCAACCUAAUGCUAAGGGUGAGAUGUAUGUUUUGAAUGAAGACAUUGACAUGAAAGCAAAGGUUGCAGCUAUGGCAAGGAGAUUGGAAGAGCUAGAAAUGAAGAACAUACAAAAAGUGCAAGCCAUUUCUGAGACAUCAAUGAAAGCUAUGCCUUGUUCCAUUUGUCAAUCUUAUAAGCACCUAGUGGAGGAGUGUCCUACAAUUCCAGCAGUGAGAGAGAUGUUUGGUGAUCAAGCAAAUGUUAUUGAUCAAUUCAAGCCUAAUAACAAUGCUUCAUAUGGCAACACCUACAAUUCAAAUUGGAGGAACCAUUCAAAUUUCUCUUGGAAACGAAAGCCACCUCAAUACACACAACCUACUCAAGCACCUUAGCAAUCCUCGAAUCUUGAACAAGCUAUUGUGAACCUUAGCAAGGUUGUGGGAGACUUUGUGGGAGAUCAGAAGUCCAUCAAUGCUCAACUGAAUCGGAGAAUUGACAGUGUGGAGAGUACAUUGAACAAAAGGAUGGAUGAGAUGUAAAAUGAUCUGUCUCAAAAGAUAGACAAUGUCCAAUACGUAAUCUCAAGGCUUACCAACCUCAACACAGUGUAAGAGAAAGGAAAGUUUCCUUCUCAACCUCAUCAAAAUCCUAAGGGUAUCCAUGAAGUAGAGGCUCAAGAGGGAGAAUCUUCAAAGGUGAGGGAAGUCAAAGUAGUUAUCACCUUGAAGAGUGGUAAAGAGGUUGAUCAACCCACAUCCAAGCCAAAGCAUAAUGAAGAGAGUGUAGCAGAAAAAGAAAAGAGAGGAAAAUAAAGGAAUUAGAAUAGAGAAAAAUACAAAGAAAGAUGACCAUGAGUCUAGUGUGGAUGAAGAGCCCGAGAGGAUGGUGAUCAAGGAAGAUAUGAUGAAGAAACACAUGCCUCCACCUUUCCCCUAAGCUUUGCAUGACAAAAAAAGAACCAAUAAUACAUCAGAAAAUUUUGAAGUAUUGAGGCAAGUGAAGGUCAAUAUCCCUUUGCUAGACAUGAUCAAACAAGUGUCGACAUAUGAAAAAUUCUUGAAGGACUUGUGCACUGUAAAGAGAGGGUUGAAUGUGAACAAGAAAGCUUUAUUGACCGAGCAAGUGAGUUCCAUCAUACAGUGCAAGUCCUAGUGAAGUACAAAGAUCCGGGUUGCCGUACCAUCUCAGUGAGUAUUGGAAGGACUUGUGUGGAGAAAGCUUUGUUGGACUUGGGAGCAAGUGUGAAUUUGCUAUCCUACUCUGUCUAUAAGCAGUUGGGAUUUGGAGAGUUGAAGCCAAUAUCCAUCACUCUAUCUCUAGCGGAUAGAUCAAUGAAGAUUCCAAGAGGGAUGAUCGAAGAUGUCCUGGUUCAAGUUAACAAAUUCUACUAUCCAGUAGAUUUUGUUGUUCUUGAUAUGGAUCCGGUUGUCAAAUGAACUAAUUAUGUUCCUAUCAUACUUGGAAGACCCUUCCUAGCUACAUCAAAUGCAAUCAUCAAUUGUAGGAAUGGAGUCAUGCAACUCACAUUUGUCAACAUGACAUUAGAGCUCAACAUCUUCCAUUUGUACAAGAAGCAUAUCCAUCAGGAGGAAAAAGAAGGUCUAGAGGAAGUGUGAAUGAUUGACACUUUAGUGGAAGAGCAUUGUGAUCGAGAAUGCAAAAAGAUUUAGUUGAGAAUUUUGGGGAUCUUGAUGAAAGGUUACUUGAACCCUCAGAUUUGCUUGCUACCCUACUCCAUUGGAAGAGAAGAGAAGAAAUUCUACCCUUAUUCAAUGAGGAGGAGACGCAAAGAGCUGCAAAGGAGAAACCCCCAAAACUUAUUCUUAAGCCACUACCCACAGAGUUGAAGUAUGUAUACUUGGAAGAAGACAAGAAGUGCCCUAUUGUUAUAUCUUCAACUCUUACCAUUCAUCAGGAGGAUUGUCUACUUGAAGUCCUUAGAAGAUGUAAGAAGACAAUAAGGUGGCUAAUUUCUUAUUUGAAAGGGAUCAGCCCUUUAGUCUGCACCCAUCAUAUUUACAUGGAGGAUGAAGCUAAGCUAAUUCAUCAACCUCAGAGAAGGUUGAACCCUCACAUGCAAGAGGUGGUUCGAGCUGAAGUUCUGAAGCUACUUCAGACCAGUAUUAUUUACCCCAUAUCAAAUAGCCCAUGGGUGAGUCCUACUCAAGUUGCGCCAAAGAAGUCUGGGAUCAUGGUGGUGCAAAAUGAUAAGGGAGAAGAUGUCUCUACACGCCUCACUACAGGUUGGAGGGUGUGUAUCAAUUACAGGAGGUUGAAUGCAGUGAUAAGAAAGGACCAUUUCUCAUUGCCCUUUAUUGAUCAGGUGCUUGAGAGGGUCUCUGGGCUUUUUUUUUUAUUGUUUCUUGGAUGGCUACUCCGGGUACUUUCAGAUAGAAAUUGAUGUUGAAAACCAAGAUAAGACCAUUUUCACAUGCCCAUUUGGAACCUAUGCAUAAAGGAGAAUGCCUUUCGGCUUAUGCAAUGCACCCGCAACUUUCCAAAGAUGCAUGUUAAGCAUUUUCAGUGAUAUGGUGGAGCGUAUUAUGGAAGUCUUUAUGGAUGAUAUCACCAUUUAUGGAAGUGCAUUUGAUGAAUGCUUGGUCAACUUAGAAGCUGUUCUGAACCGAUACAUUGAGAAAGACUUAGUGCUUAACUGGGAGAAGUGCCAUUUCAUGGUACACCAAGGGAUUGUCCUUGGGCACAUUAUCUCCAAGCAAGGCAUUGAAGUUGACAAAGCAAAGGUUGAACUCAUUGUUAAGUUGCCAUCCUCAACAAAUGUCAAAGGAGUAAGGCAAUUCUUUGGCCAUGUCGGGUUCUAUAGGAGGUUUAUCAAGGAUUUCUCUAAGCUUGCAAGGCCUCUUUGUGAAAUAUUGGUGAAUGAUGUUAAAUUCAUAUGGGAUGAUGGAUUUGAAAGGAGUUUUGAAGAAUUGAAGCUAUUUUUGACAACCGUACCAAUAGUGAGGGCUCCCAACUGGCAACUGCCCUUUGAAGUAAUGUGUGAUGUCAAUGAUUUUGCUAUAGGAUUUUUUCUUGGGCAAAGAGAAAAUGGAAAACCUUAUGUGAUCUACUAUGCGAGGAAGGCAUUGAAUGAGGCACAAAGAAACUACACAACCACCGAGAAAGAAUUGUUAGCUGUAGUUUUUGCCUUGGAUAAGUUUCGCGCUUACUUGGUGGGGUCCUUCAUCAUGGUUUUUACUGAUCACUUUGCUUUGAAGUAUCUGUUGACUAAGCAAGAUGCUAAAGCAAGGCUGAUUAGAUGGAUUCUCUUACUUCAAGAGUUCAAUCUCCAUAUCAAAGAUAAGAAAGGAGUGGAGAAUGUGGUAGCAGACCACAUUUCAAGGCUAGCUAUCGCACAUAAUUCCCAUGCUUUGCCCAUUAAUGACGAUUUUCUAGAGGGGUCUCUCAUGUUGGUGGAAGUUGUCCCUUGGUACGCUCACAUUGCUAACUACCUGGUCACGGGAAAAGUUCCAAGUGAGUGGAAAGCACAAGAUAAGAAGCACUUCUUUGCAAAAAUUCAUGCCUACUAUUGGGAAGAGCCAUUUCUAUUCAAGUAUUGUAUGGAUCAGAUAAUAAGGAAGUGCGUUCCUGAAGAAGAGCAACAGGGGAUCCUUAGUCAUUACCAUGAAAAUGCAUGUGGAGGCCACUUUGCUUAUCAAAAGACAGCCAUGAGGGUGUUGCAAUCGGGUUUCUGUUGGCCAUCACUUUUCAAAGAUGCCCACACCAUGUGCAAGAGUUGUGAUCGAUGCCAGAGGCUUGGGAAGUUGACACGCAGGAACAUGAUGCCUUUGAACCCCACUUUAAUAGUUGAUAUUUUUUAUGUUUGGGGCACUAACUUCAUGGGACCUUUCCCUAUGUCUUUUGGCUACUCUUACAUCUUGGUAGGAGUAGAUUAUGUUUCUAAGUGGGUUGAGGCAGUCCCAUGCAAACACAAUGACCAUAGAGUGGUUCUCAAGUUUCUUAAAGAGAAUAUCUUCUCAAGAUUUGGGGUGCCCAAAGCCAUAAUUAGUGAUGGGGGUACUCAUUUUUGCAACAAGCCUUUUGAAACUCUCCUAGCCAAGUAUGGGGUGAAGCAUAAGGUAGCUACACCUUACCACCCUCAAACUCAUGGACAAGUUGAGUUAGCAAACAGGGAGAUUAAAAACAUAUUGAUGAAGGUGGUGAACACAAACAGAAAAGAUUGGUCAGUCAAGCUUCUUAAUUCACUAUGGGCAUAUAGAACAACUUACAAGACCAUUCUCGGGAUGUCUCCUUAUCGCCUAGUUUAUGGCAAAGCAUGCCAUCUCCCUGUGGAAUUGGAAUACAAAGCUUGGUGGGCAAUCAAGAAGCUCAACAUGGAUUUGAGCAGAGCUGGGUUGAAGAGGUUCUUAGACCUUAAUGAGAUGGAGAAAUUGAGAAAUGAUGCCUACAUCAAUUCAAAAAUUGCAAAAGAAAAAUUGAAGAGGUGGCAUGAUCAGUUGAUUUCCCGCAAGGAUUUUCAAAAUGGACAAAGAGUCUUACUUUAUGACUCUAAACUCCACAUCUUUCCGGGCAAGCUGAAAUCAAGGUGGAUAGGUCAUUUUACCAUUCACCAAGUGCAUUCAAAUGGAGUAGUGGAACUACUCAACUCCAACAAUAUCGAGAACUUCAAAGUGAAUGGCCACCGUCUCAAGCCCUUUGUGGAGUCUUUUUCUCACAACAAGGAGAAAUUCAUCCUCCUUGAUCCACAUCAAGCUUAACAAGACCAAUUUUCUUGAUGGACUUAGUCUUUCUAAAGACUAUCGAGUCCAUAACUUUUUGUUUUAUUUUUUAUUUGAGAUUUUUUCGGUAUUGUUACUUGUUUUGUUUUUUAUUUUUCGUUUUAAUUUUAUUUGGUUUGAUUUAACUUAGGUUUUUGAUGAUCAAUUACAGGGGGGAUUUCAAAUAGAGGAAAAACCAAGAUAAUUCGCACACCCUACGAAAAUUUCGCAAGGCAUGCGAAAUUUAUGGCUUAUUUUGCAUGGGGUGAAAAUUUUCGUACAUCUUACGAACCAAUUUCGAACACUUUGCGAAAAUAAACCAACCCUGCGAAAUCAUUUCGAUUACUCUACGAAAUUUUCGUAGAGCAUGCGAAAAAUUUAGCACACCAAACACCAUUUCGCAUACUAUGCAAAAACCUAAGGGGUCUGCGAAACCAUUUCGCACCUCCAAAUCCAUUUCGCACAUUGUGCGAAAACCAAGAGGCGCUGUGCGAAAAUGAAAAGUCGCCCUGUCAUCCCUUUUUAAACCCCUCGAGCCCUAAAAUCUCCAUUUCGCAAGCACCCCUGUCCUUGCGAAUCCCUCAUUUUCCUCUACUACCUUGCAACCUCGUCCCUUUCCAUUUGAUAUUGUGCCCCGCGCACAUCUCAUUUCAGAGACUCGCACUCCGCGCCCCCUCAAAGCAUGGACUCGAGACCCACCUUCCAUUUCCGACGUGGCACGGACCCAAGGAGCCCUUUCUGCCCCUUCACUAAGACACACACCAAGGCAGAAAGCCUCCUUUGCUCAAGUGCCUAGUGAUUCUCCAUCUUAGGCCUCAGAGGCCUCGGAGGCCCCGUGGAUUCCACCUUCCGAGGGUAGAGCAGCCAUUGGUCCUUCCUCUUCUACUCCUUAGCGUAGAUACGAGACGAGGAGACCACCUACUACACAAGGGGCGACUACUUCGAGCCUUGAGAAUUCAGUACGAUGCCUUCCUGCCAAGAGGGUCAAGACUUCAGGUCCAAGUGAGUCAUCCAGAGCUUCAUAGCCUAAGCCUCCUGUAGAUUCCAAGGUUCCUACUGACAUAUCACCGGAGUCUAUUAUCAGAAGCCCGAUGCUCAUAGCACCGCCCAUUGAGGGCAACUCAGAUUAUAGAGCGAGAUCUUUCCACUUGGAGCUAUAUUUUGAUCAGGAGGCCAUACGACAGCAGCCUGAGCUCCGAGACUCUUAUGGCUUACUGCAGAGGUACCAUCUUGAGGAACUUAUGACUCCUCGUGAGUUUUUUUAUCCCAGAGUAGCACUAAACUUUUACCAGUCCAUGACUACUCGUGGCGUCCCGAGUCCUACCACGAUUCACUUCACCAUUGAUAGACGUCAUGGUAUCCUCAAGGCCAGACAUAUUACAGAGGCUCUACAAAUUCCUUUCGAGCUAGAGGAUCCAUCUGUUUUUCGCUAAUGGUCCCCAGUAUCUCAGAGGGACAUGGUCCGUAUUUUAUCUAGGGGAACAUCUACAGAUUCGAUCUUUCUACGGAAGGAGCUUCGACCUGGGAUGCUCCUCUUAGAUGUGGUGCUAUGCUCCAACCUCUUUCCCUUACAACAUUCGGUACAUAGGUGAUGAGCUAUUUUGGACGCUUUAUUCCGUAUAUCAGAGGGCUUCUACUUUGGCCCGCACCACUUGAUCAUGGUCUCCCUCAUCCACUUUGAGGAGAAGGUUCAUAGGAAGAAGCUUCAGAGGGUGGACACCAUUCCAUUACUAUUCCUGAGGUUACUUUGCCAGGUCUUGGAGUACAUGGGCUUUCCUACUGAGCCUCGGCUCGAGCUUUGCCGCCUUUGUCGAGAGUGAUCCACUCUCGACAAAUGGAAUUAGUUGGCGGGCUAUUCUGCACCUCCAGGAGCCCCUCCCAUGGUAGCACCUCCAAUGUCCCCACAGGCAAAGUAGGGCGAGCUCCCGGCAAAGACUGUACCACCAAUGCCCACACUUGAGGCUAUUUCUGCUGCUCUGCCUAUGACUCCUACUGUUCCACCAGUUGGUCCUUUUACAUCCGAGCCUUCCAUCACCAUCUCGGCUUCGGAGUUUCGCGCCCUUGUGCAUACCUUUCAGACACUCACCACCACACAUACUCCUCUCUUCUAGCAAAUGGUUGAGAUGUGUGCCCAUCAGGACCGGAAGACUACUAUACUCUGCCAAAUUCAGCAGCACCUAAGACUUUUGCCUCAACCUCAACCUAACCAUCCCAUAUCAUCAGAGCCUCUAGCUCCAACUGAGGAUACUAUUCCACCUGAGAACACUACCACAGUAGAGGUCCGGUUUCCACCACCUUAAGAGGCCACCACAGCUACAUCAGAGGAUGUGUCAUCUCCACUUGAGGCUCCCACUACUUGAUCAUAGGACAUAUCUUUAUCUUAUUGUAUUUACAUAUUAUAUUACUAGAGAUUUGUCCUUGUUUUGAUACUUUAUAUUCUGGGAUUGGAUGUAUUGCCUGAUGAUAUCUCAAUUGUACUUUCUCAUAUUAAUAUAUAGACAUCAAUUUUUUUUAGUAUACUUAGCAUUUUUCUAUUUCCUCUACUCAUUACUCUUUUGUUUUUUUUUACUCAUGUGGUUUCUCUUAUACAACUCAGACUCCAUUUCACUCAGGAGGUACCACUUCCUCCCUUUAUUUUCAAUUGCUCUUGAAAUAUUGAGUGCAAUGUUGAUCUUGGUUGGGGGGAGAGUUGAGGAAGGAAGUUUUGUUAAUAAUGCUAGGUUAAUUUGUUAAUUUAGUUACUUUCUGCUUAAUUUUAAAAGUUUUCACUCUACUUUCCAUGGUUAUUAAGGAAAAAUUCUCAAAAUGAAAUGGGAGAAAUCGAAUUCUUGCAUUUUUACUUGAAUCUUAGAAUUUGUAUCAUGCUUAUUAAAGUUGAUGAAUUAUUGAAACUCCUAUUGAAUUCAACCUUAUUUUUUCCACUUUAAUCUUACCACACACGGUGCACAUUAGGUUCCAGUUAUAAGAUAAAAAACUAUCUCACCCCCUAAACUUAGAAAAAUUUACACUUGGUACCUUUGACAUCGUUUUAAUAGUGUUGGGACACCUUAUAAAAGGCCAAUGAGCCUUUAAAAAAAAAAAAAAAAAAAAAAAGAGAAAGAACAAAGUAUUGCACUUGCCUUGAAACCUGAGCAAGAUCCGAGGGGUAUACAGUGAAAGUCUUUAAAACCUGGUGCCCUAAGCCUUGAUUGGUUGGGAGUCACCGACCUCAAUGCUCGUUAUAAGGGUGAAUAGGUGGAGUUUAACAUAUUGUAGGUGCUUGGGUAUUGAAUUUCAAUCUCAAAAGUCCGGGAAAAAAUCUAAGGAGUUAGUGGUCAAAAGAUCCUUAAAGCUUGAUGCCCUAAACCUUGAUUGGUUGAGAGUCAUUGAUGGAUCCCCGCUACAUGGACAUUUUAGAAAACAAUACCUUUAGCAUUGCACGCCUACAAUGAAAAAAAAAUGUGAAAUAAAAGAGGUGCGUUCUUAGCCUAUUGGAGGUUGGUCAGUUUGCUAAAGUUUGAGAAAUCUAGGUUGGGGGGAGAGAAUAGUCCGACAUACUAUAAUAAAAAACUAAUAACCUUAACACUUAGAUUUUUGUGGAAGAGUAAGGAUUGGACCUUUAGGGGUGGAAAUUCUUUUGAUGCUUAAAUUUGCAUAAUGCCUACUCUUUAUAAAUUAUGAUUAGGCAAGAGAUUUGAUGACUCUUGUUCAAAGUUGGGUUUUUCCUCUUUGAUGUUCCAUGAGAGAGUAUAAUCCUCAUCAUGCCACUUGAAAUCUUUUUGGAGUGAUUAACAUGAUUUUGUAAAUUAUUUUACUGUCUAUUUUUCUUUAUCUCUCUUUUAUUGCUAAUGGACUAGCAAUAUGUCAGUUGGGGGGAGUGAUUACUACUCAAAAAGUACUCUUUUAUAGCUUGAAACUAACUGUUUUAAACACUUUUGAGUAGGUGUUAAUACAUUUUAACUCAAUUGGCACAUUAAGGAACCUAACAAGGGUUACUAAUAAGUUUUUGGCAAGUUUUGGUGUUUUUGGUAGCUAUUUGAUCAUUGAAACAAGCCAAGAAUGAGGGAGAAUUUUGUGAAGUCCAUAGCAAUGCAAGUUAAAGCUCAAAUACAUGAAGAAUCCAAGCUUUGAAGCACUUCAUAGCCCUUUGCGAAGCCAAUCAGAGAUGCAAGGAAGAAAACCAGAGGAAAAAAUCCAACAACCAGCAUUUUCGCAUGGCUGUGCGAAAUUUUGCACACCAUGCGAAACCACAAGAAGUAGCCAAAGAAUUUUGCACACCAUGCGAAAUUUCGCAUGGUAUACGAAAUCUUCCUAUGCACCAACUCCGUUAUAUUUUUAUCUUCAGAUAUUUUGUGUAAUUUCCUAGUUUCUCCUUGUAACCAACCUAGAUAUUUUCUUUUAUAUCUUUUUUUUAUAUUUUUUAGGUAACAUCAUAUAUAGGGGGAGAGACAUAAGGAGGAUAUGGAUGUUUUUCAUAAAACACUUUUAAUUUUCUGGUAGUAAGAAAUAUACAAAGUUUUUUGCUCUGCCUUACCUUCUCAUUUUGUUUUCACCUAUCUUUCUAGCCAAACAACCUCUGAGAAUGAUUUCUCAGGGGAUGAGUAGUUAGGUUUUACGUUUCUUGGAGUGAGAGAAGCUAGGUGAAAGACCCAAAUGCUAAGGUGGGAGUUGUCCUUGCUUUAAAUGAAAGUAGUUGUUAAAUAUUAAUGGUUUUUAUUUUAAGGUUUAGCUUUAAAUCCCUUAAAAACACCUUGAAUGGCCAAUACUUGGUAAGCUUUUCGGAUUCUAUGGAUGCUUAUUGCUAGAUCCAUGGAUGUCAUUAGUUAUCAUUUAUGAGCCAUUGGAAGGUGGUUCAAGAUGAGAGUCUUUAGUGUUUGAAGCCAUUAAUGGGAAACAAUUACCAUUUUUUCAUGAAUCCUUUGGAUAAAAUCUUAAUUGCUAAAUAUAAAACUGGUUCGGGAGAUAACCAUCCUUUAUGUUAUUAUGCCCAAUGCAAGGAGAAGAUUUCGAAUCUUCUCAUUUGUCUAAGGAACCCGAUCCUAGUGACCUAAAGCUCCUAGAGACCUUUUCUUUGUAGUUAACUUCAUUUAUUGUUUUUGCUUAACUUAAAAUCAAUCUUUGCAACCACAAUUCCAUUUUCUUUAAAAGCUAAUUUUUAUAAGGAAAAGCACCAUUUUAUUUCCUUCACUAAGUCAACUGUAUGAUGAAAACCCAUCCCUGUGGACGAUCUUAGAGCCACUAUACUAUGUUAUCUAUGCUAUCCUAGUGUGAGGUGAUUUAGGUUUUAUAAAUUUUGUUGAUAACACCCGUCUGAGCCAGAAUCAAAUGGAACCACUGAACCAGGGACAAAUCAACAGCCUAUAUGGGAGGGACACAAGUUUAAUUGAUUUGCAUUUCAGCGUUAUAGAUAAGUAUGUUUUGGAAGAUUUGUUCUGGAAAUACUGCACCAAGUACGAUUCUUUUUCUCUUGAGUGAGUCCAUUUGCAUGCCAAUUAACGAGUUGAAAAGUAGGAGCACCUACCUCGUGCUCAUGGAACCGAAUGUCAGUGAAGUGGGGCUCCUUUUAGCCUCUUGUGUUUCUGUUCCAACCAAGGCGGCGUAGGGAAAAACAACAAUAUGUCUGUGCUAAAUAUCAACGCAUGAUAGAUGUUUUUUUUUUUUUUUUUGGUAUGUCAAGGCUAACGAAUGAAAUGCAUUAGCUUGUUUUGUGACUAUAACUGCAAAUGUCCAAAUUGGAGUAUCUCCAUUUCUCACUUCGGAUGGUUAACUUUAUAAACAAGAUAUAGGAAACAUGUGAACAUCUUGAGGAACAAUUCAAAUUAUUCAUUAGAAGUCCUGGGUUAAGUUCCAAGAUUUAAAUCAGACCCUUCUAGCAGCUUCAAGGGUACUUAGCAACCUAUAACAUAUUAAUGAAGAUUUAGGAUUUAGACUCCGGAAUACAAAUAAAUAUGUAUCUCAUGCUUUGACUAGCUUCCCUACAUAUGCAUAAAAUGGAGAUGACCCAAAAAAAAUAGCAGAAUCUAGCUUCCCUACAUAUGCACAAAAUGGAGAUGACCCAAAAAAUAGCAUAAUCGCCUUAGUUUCUGUGGUUAAGGUGAUUCUCCGCUUAAUAUCCACAUUGACUCAUUAUGCAAAAUCAACUGAGCUAAUUUUAUUUAUUUAUUUAAUGUCAAAUAGGAACUCCUAAUUAACUGAUUACUGUCGAAAAGUGCUAUUUUGUAGACCUAAUUAUAAGGGUUUUAAGCACCUUUGAGUAGUAAUCAUAUUCAUUUAACCUAAUUAAUUCAUUAAGCUCCUUAGUAAUUAGUUCUAACCAUUUUUAGUGGCAAGUUUACAUGUUUUUCAUCAGCUUAUGAACCAAUUCAAGCAUGCCAAUUGAUGGAGGAGCUACUUGGGCGAGUUAAGCAAGGAUUUUGGACGUUUACAGGCUUGAAUUUCAAGUGGAAACACGAGCACAAGCAAUGGGAACACCAUUUCGCAAGGGGAGGCAAUUCACCUUGCCAAAUGACCAAUUUCGCAAGGGGAUUUUCCUCAUGGUGCAAAAUUUGGUCAUUUCGCACCAUGAAGAAACCACCUUGCAAAAUUUCGCAAGGUGGAUUUAGGCACCUUGCGAAAUGCCAAAUUUCACAAGGUGGCUUUUCACCUUGCGAAAUUUGGACCUUUCAUCUUCCCCCCUUGCGAAAUGCCUUUGAAAUCCCCUGUUUUGAGACGCUGUUGAUGAUAUUCCACUGCCGGUUCUCCAAGAUAUUUUGCUUGACUUUUAGCUUUAUAAAUACCUAUUUUACCCUUGUAAUCAACCAAUGAAAAGGUUGCUUUUGUAAUAGCUCUUGUAAUUUAGCUUUUUAUUGUCUUUAAAUAGAGGUGAAGAGCCUCAGACACGAUCAUCUUGUAACCUGUAACUUUAUAAGUUAUAAGAGCACUUUUGUUCAUACGCUUCUUUUCUCUUUUCUUUCUCAUUUUCUUAGUAGCCAAACAUCCUUGGAGGAUGAAAUCCCCAAGGAUGAGAGGCUAAAACCUUUUAGUUUCUUGAAGUAAUGGAUGCCAUGUGAAGCUCCCGUGUCAGGAUGGAGAUUUCCAAGCCAUAAAUGUAAGUAGCUGAGCGUCAUAAAUGUUUUCAUUCAAAGUAAAGCUUUUAAUCCCUCUGACUUGCUUUGAAUGGCCAAUACUUGAUAACCUUUUGGUCUCAAUGGAUUCUUAUUGUUAGAUCCACUGACGUUCAUUAGUUAUCUCCUACGAGCCAUUGUAUUGCAAGUCGAGGAGAUGACCUAUACCAAUAAAAGAGCAUUUAUGAGGUUCAACUACCCUUUUUGUAAGUUUUCAAGGACUAAAACUCAGUUGUUAAACUCAUACCGGUUCGAGAAGUAAGCAUCACCUUAGUUGCUUCCCCAACUCGAGGUGAAAAGUCCCAAAAUCUCCAUUUUUACACAGUGAGUUAAGCAUGGCUAUCCAAAGCUUUAAGAAACUUCUUUUUCCAUCUUUUAACCUAUUUUCAUGUUAGUUUAGUUUACAACACCUUCAUCUUUUUAUGUUUUCAUCUUAACCUAAUUUUUAUUAAGAAAAGUUCACUCCAUCCUCCGAACUUCACCAGUUAAAGUAAAAACCCUUCCCAGUGUUCGAUCCUAGAGCCACUAUGCUAUAGUAGCUUUGCUACUUUAGUGUAAGGACCUUAGGUAUAAAUUUUGUUGAUACCCUUACAUGCCAAGCUACCAAGAGUCGGGUUAUCAUUAACCUAACCAUUGGCCUGUGUAAAUUGAUUUCACAUGCACAAUGUUGUAGUAGAAGUCCAUAUUUUGAAUUUUAUUUUUGUAAAGGUAAGGAAAAUGAAGCAUUGUGUAAUUAUAAAAAUAACUUCAUUGGAAUUCACAAGGUUCACCCAAAAUGGAGCUACAUCUGUAUUCUAUCCUACAGUAGACUAUAUAGAUUGUACAAUAGUAAAUUGCAAAUACAAUUAAUAAGUCUUGUGCUUCCUUACUAAUAAUCCUUUGACAUGAACAUUGCAGCACUAAGGUCCUCUUGGGAAGACACCUUGCACCCAUGAGAGCACUAAGAGGAAGCAAGGCAGAGUCAUGGGUGCAAUGUCAUGACUUGUUGUUGCACCAAGAGAGGCUUGGUGAUGCCAUGGUGUUGCAGUAGCAAGAAUGUUGCCUUGGCAGGGACACGAUCUAGGGAUAGAUGCCAAGAAAGGCUUAGCACUCACAUGAGUUGCACAAAGAUGAAUGUAAUAGAGCAUCAGAGAGACGUCUUGGCAAGUAAAUGAAUGGAUCCAAGAGACAACAACAUGAGGAGUUUCAAAUGGAUAAGGAAUGACUCAAAGACAUUUGAAAGCUACAAGUUGGAUUCUAAUUACGAUUGCAAUUUGAGUUUGAGUAGGAGUUUAGAUUUUGAUUGUAAUUGUAGUAUGAGUUGGACUAGGAUUGCUUAUCCUUAGUCAAUAUAGGAGCGGUUCGUGUCACCCUAUGAAAAGAGUUUGAGUAGGGACUAGGAUUGCUUACUCCUAGUCAAAUAUGGAGUAGGUGGUGCCACACCUAUAAAAAAAAGGGACAACAUGAGAGAGAGAGAGAGAGAGAAAGAGAGAGUGAAUUCACUAAAGAUAUUGUGGGAGUUUUGCUUUGUUACGUCUUGUAUUAUUACUUAGAAUAGGAAUAAAAUACAAGUUGGGGCUAGAGCCCCAUAAUUAAUCUCGUGUGCCUUUGUGGUUAUUCUUUAUUUGUCAUCUCGUGUGGAUUGGAUUAGGUUGACUUAGAGGGCUUCUAAGCACCACCUUUGUGGGUUAUUAUUUAUUUUCCAUCUCUUGUGGAUUAGAUUAGGUUGACUUAGAGGGCUUCUGAGCACCACCUUUGUGGGUUAUUAUUUAUUUUCCAUCUAUUGUGGAUUAGAUUAGGUUGACUUAGAGGGCUUUUAAGCACCACAUUUGUGGGUUAUUCUUUAUUUUCCAUAUCGUGUGGGUUGGAUUAGGUUGACAAGGAGAAAAAUUAUGUGGGAAAUUUGUGUUGGGACACUUACCAUAACCAAGUAAAAUCUACCAAGUCCUUUGUAAUAUCUUCAACAAAUAUUUUAGACUAGUUCUUUCAGUUAGUGUAAAGGAGGAAGAAGUGGUAUUGAUUCUAGAAAUAGGGUGUGUGUAUUUGAACUACAAUCCUUAUGAUCCUUAGGUCUCUAAACCUUCGUGAUGGGCUCCCUGACAUUUCAUAGGUUGUGCUACACAUGCGUUUGAAAUUUAGAGUGCGUUUGACAGUGAUUCCGGGAAGUGUUUUUGGCCUUUCUUACACUUGAAAAUUUUUAUUUUUCAAGUAUUAGAAAUGCUACAAACACUUUUGAAAAUUACUGUCAAACACACUCUUAGGAGCGCACAUAUAUAGUAGAAAACUAGAAAUUGUGGUUUUUUUAGGAUUUACUGUAAUGUCAUUAGGAGGGUAGUAAGUUGAAAUUGAGUAUGAACAAAUAUUUCUUUCUUUGGGAUGUUCUUCUAGUAGGUGCUGAUGAAACUGUUCUUUCUACUGCCAAUGUCACAUAUCAGCCAGAAAUUGAAAAUUUCAGUCAAGGUGUCCUCUGUUUUAGUGGUGAGGAAAGCUAGAAAUUUUAAGGUGAAGUUUUGUUAAAAACCUUAAGUAGCUGGGAUAUCAGGCCUGUUUUGCUUGAAAAAAAAAGUUGCAAGAUAACUCAUAUGCCAAACAGGUUCUGAUAUUGUGAAUCUAUCGGCAGACAUCAGUAAUCUCAUCUUCUGAGAUGGAUGUUGGGGGUGCAUGUGGUGGUGGAGGGGCAAGGUUUCAUUUGGUUUAUUUUGUUGAUGGAUAUUGUCUAGCCACCUGCGCCAAGUUUGAGGGGUGGUGGGUUGUGAUGACCCUACAAUUACUAUUAAUUUCUUCAUCUUUUACCGAUUAAAGUGUCCGAACAGUCGAAGUUACCCUUAUGCAUGUCAACUUGAUCACUUACCUCUUCAAUGGAGUUUAUGCUGGUUCAUUUAGGAACUGAUUUUUAUUGUUAUGUAUUAUAUGCUGAUGUUUAGGUCUCUCCAUCAUCACUAUAUACAAAAAUUCUAGGUUGAUACUAUAGGUUGAGAUUUAUUUUUUAAAUAAAAAAUAAUAAAAAUAAAAAUUAUGGUGAUGUUUAGUUGUUUUAUGGAAAAUUUUAACAAGUAAAAGUUAUUUUUGGGCAAGUUUUCAAACAAAAAGAAAAGUAAAAGUUGUUUUGACAAAAACAUAUAGAAAAAAAAAUCAUAGAAAAUAAAUAAUUUCCCCAUAUUCUAACUUUUUUGAAUUUUUCUCAAUGGGCAAAGGAAUAUCAAAUCAAGUUUGAGUAGGAUUUCUUAAUUUUUAAAAUAACUUACAAUUAAAAAAUUUUGGUGUUUUCAUUUUUGGACAAUUUUUUAUUAAGCAAAUGGACUCUGAGUCAUGCAAGAGAUAUGGUUCAUUAACCGGUCGAACAAUUUUUUUAAAUUAAUUUAAAAGUCAAAUACAUAAUCAAUUUCACAAAAUUUAUAAACAAAAAUAGGUUUAGAGAAGAUCUACACAUAAUUUUACUUUUCUAAUUUUAUUUUAUUUUAUUUUUUGUUGGAAAAUAGUCUUCAAAUCAUGUAAGAUUUAAUAGGUUAAAUUUGUUAACAAUAAAUUUUAAAUUAUAAAAUAUAAUCUGGAACUCAAAAAUCAAUUCAAGUAAUGCUAAAAAAAAAUCAAAUUUGGUAUAGAAUGACUUUGUAAAUUUUUUUACAAAACAAAUGAAUUUUAAAUCAAGUGAGAUUUAAUGCAUUAGAUUUUUAUCAAAUAUAGUAAUUUUAAAAAUAAAUUUGGAACUCAACAAUAGACACAAUAAAUACCAAAAAAUAAUGAACCAAAAUUGGUUUGGAAUAACUCCACAACCUUUUUUUUUUUUUUUUGGUGCACACGAAUUUUCUUACUAGGUAUAUUGCUUUCAAAUUGAGAAAGAUUUACCAUUUAGAUUUUUUUUUAAUGAGUUUAAUGGUAUUUUAAAAUAAUUCAAAAUUUAAAAAAUUGACUAAUUAAUAUUAUAAAUUGAUAAACCAAGACUAUUUCAAAAUGCAUUGGGGGCUAAGGGGGUUGAAAAUAGGGACAAUGGGAUGGGUUUGGGACAUGACACUCAUAUCUCAUUUCCAUUCCAAUUACACAGUUAUCUCCCAUCCUUAUCCCAAACUUGUGUUGGAGCAAGUUGAUUUGUUCCCAUCUUUGUUGACGAAAUGACUAAUAACCUCAUCCCCUCCUUAUCUUAGAUGUACAUUUUGUCAAAUUUGAUCAGGUAUGAUUGAUCCAAGCCCUAACCCUAAUUGGUAAUGAGUGAAUACUACACCUAAUUGCAUUCUUCUUUCAUUGCAAAAUAAUGAGAUUAUAAUAAUCUAGCAAAUAAGAAAAAAUAGUAUGGAAGUUCAAAUUAACACCAUAACUAUCAAUAAUUUUAAGCUUAUAGAUGACUUAAAUGAUUAAAAACUAAUGCAAAAUCCUAAAAAAAAUAAAAAUCAUAUAAAGAAUUCACAAGAGAACAGAAUGAACAAAAACCAAAUAUGAACAUGGGUCAACAUUAGUUAUGGAUUUGGAUUCCUUUCAAGGCCAAUCUUUGAACCAAGACUUCAUCAAAUCAACUACUUCAAAGGCUUUUGUGUUCUUCUUGGGUUGUGCUCUCAAACAAAGACUUCGAGGUGAUGUUCUAGAUGAUUGAAUUACACAUAUUUAGGGUGGAGAGAUUGGAGAAGCUUGAAGAUGCCAACGAUGGGUACAAUUGAGUGGUCAAUAAGAACAAUGUAGCCUAUGACUAGUUUGAUGUCAUGGUACAAGAGUUUUAGGCAUUGAGGUUAAAGCAAGAGCAACAUGGAAUUGAUUUCGGAGUCUUUCAGUUAGUGUAAAGGAGGAAGAAGUGGUGUUGAUUCUAGAAAUAGGGUUUUAAGUGGUGCGUGAUUACUACUCAAAAAGUGCUAUUUGAUAGCCUUUAAUUAAUCCUUUUUAACACUUUUGAGUAGUAGUUUAGGCCUUUUAACUCAAUUGGCAUGUUAAGGAUCCUUUAAAGCAAUUUUGAUCACUUUGUGCAAGUUUUGGUGUUUUUGUUAGUAUUUUGAUCACCAAAGCAAGUCAAGAAUGAGGAGAACUAUGAGGAAUCAUGGGCAAAGCUUAGAAUUCAAUUGCCAAGAGUGAAUCCGGAUUGCAAGGAGAAAAAGCAAAGAGAAUCUGUCAUGAAGCCUAUUCUUGAUGACAGUCGUAGCAGCCACUUUUGGAGCACUUUCUGAAGUCCAAAUGAUGCAAGCUAUAUACCAUUUCAAAGAUCAGGAAGUCAACAAUCCAAUGCUUCAAACGGUGCGCGAUUCGGAGUUGAAACGAAGAAGUUGCAGCCAUUACAAGCCAGUCACUCUAAAGUGUUGCGGAAUCAGCCUUUUGUUGCGAGAAUUUCGCAGCACUUUUGUACAGUAAGGUGUUUCUCCUUCUGACGAUGCACGAACCAUGCCGCGAGAGGGAAGCUAGGAACUUCAAGAUGGAAGCCAACUUUGCAGCCUGGUGAAGAUAGCUUGGUCUUGCGAAAUAAUUUCGCAGCCCUCUUGGGUGUCUGCGAAAUUUCGCAGGCACCACUUUUUUCCUGCGAAAUGGCUCCGGAAGCCUCCCGAAGCUUGCUACCGACAUUGGGAGAUAUUUUCCAUUAGAUUUUUGUUGUCUAAAUUCCAAAAUACUCCUUGUAAACCACCAAUUACAUGAUUCCUUAGUUUUUAAGUUAGUAAAAAGACCAAAUAUCUAUGUAAUAAUUAGUUUUAUAUUAGUUUGCUAUAAAUACCUCUCGGGAGCAUGUUCUCAGAGAGGAGUUCCUUCUGUAACCAUUUUGGUAAGCAAGUAAAGUCUUUUCUUUCUACUGCCUUACCUUCUCACUUUGUAUUUUCAUUUUAUUUCUAAGUUAUGAAUUCUCUGAGGAGCUUUCCCCAGAGAAUGAGUAACUAAACCUCCAAUUCCUUGGAGCUAAGGUUGCCGGGGAAGGUUCCAAGUGCAAGAAUGCAAAGCUCUGUGGUUUUAGCUAGUAAUGAAGAGGAAGUGAAAUCCUUUAGUGAUUUCAAUGUUUUUAGUUAACUUAAAACACCUUGGAGUCACCUGGGCCAACACUUGGUAAGGCAAGUGAUUUCCAACCGUGGAAAUGCACUAGUUUACCCCUUGCGAGCCUCUGGUAGGUGACUUCAAGGUAGGAUUUUCUGGAAUUACCAACACUUGGUAAGCUUUUGGACUCCUAGGAGACAUCCAUUAGUUAUCUCUUGCGAGUUUGUGAAGGGGAAUCCAAGGUUAAAGAUCACCUUGAAUGGUAAGUGCUCGUGAGAGGCAUGAACCAUUGCAAGUUGUAUCAGUGAGAGAAUUAAAGUGAAAUCUAAUUGAAGGAGUCUCUGUACAUCACCGGUUAGAGAAUUGACUAUAAGUUGAAUCUCUAAUGCGAGGAAAUGAACCAUCUGACCGGAGCUAUGUCUUUUGCAUGAGGAACCACCCCAGUGAACCUAAAUCUCCAAGGAAUGCUUUUCUUCCUAAAUUAUUCCAAACUUCUGUUAAGUUAGUUAGUUUAAGUCUAAACCUUUACCAAUCAAACUUUGUGUUUUAUUUCUUAAGCUAACCGUGAAAUGAAACAAAACCAAUUCACUUGGAAUUGGUAUCCUUGAUUGCUUGCAAAUCAUUCCCAGUGAACGAUCCUUAGAGCCACUAUACUAUAGUAGCUUUGUAUUUGCUACCCUAGUGUAUGGUGUUAUAGGUAUAAAUUUUGUUGAUCACUUCCUCAAUCAAGGAACACCAGCUGAACACAAAUCAGCUGAGACACCAAUUGGGCAUGAGUCAAAUGGCGCCGUUGCCGGGGAAUGAGUGUCAAGAUCAUUGUGAUACCAUUUUUGAGCACUUGUGAUUUUCAUCACAAGUUGGUAAAGUUUCUUUCACUUUACUAAUUUUCAUUCUCUCUUUGUUUAUUUACAAUCUAAGUUUAUCUUUUUAAAAUUUAGUCUAGUUUAAUUUUGCUAUUGUAGCCUUGUUUCUCUUGUUGUCCUCUGUUCUUGUUGUCCUCUGUUUUCAUUUUAGUUGCAGCUGAAUACUAGUUGUGUAUGCCAAAGUGGAUACGAGACAUUGGAGGUAGGCUUAUUAAGUGUGAUACACCUCAGAGAGGAGAAUUGGAAGUAAUCUUGAAUAUCAUGGAGGCUGCACCUGAAGAUCAGCAUAGUCACCAAGGUCGUCAAGACAAUCUCAAUGAAUUCAGAUCAAUGAGGGACCGUAUGCAUCCACCUCGUAUGAGUGCACCAUCAUGUAUAGUGCCCCCUACAGAGCAACUAGUGAUCAGACCAUAUCUUGUUCCACUUCUACCAACUUUCCAUGGGAUGGAAAGUGAGAAUCCGUAUGCACACAUCAAGGAAUUUGAAGAUGUUUGUAAUACAUUCCAAGAGGGAGGAGCUUCAAUUGAUUUGAUGAGGCUUAAGUUAUUUCCUUUUAAUUUAAAGGAUAAGGCCAAAAUUUGGCUUAAUUCUUUAAGGCCAAGGAGUAUCCGCUCUUGGACUGAUUUACAAGCUGAAUUCCUCAAGAAAUUUUUUCCUACUCAUAGAACAAAUGGCUUGAAAAGGCAAAUUUCAAACUUCUCAGCUAAAGAGAAUGAGAAAUUCUAUGAGUGUUGGGAAAGAUACAUGGAAGCUAUAAAUGCUUGUCCUCACCAUGGCUUUGAUACUUGGCUACUGGUGAGUUAUUUUUAUGAUGGUAUGUCCUCCUCAAUGAAGCAACUCCUCGAGAAAAUGUGUGGAGAAGAUUUCAUGAGCAAAAAUCCAGAGGAAGCUAUGGAUUUCUUGAGCUAUGUAGCUGAUGUUUCAAGGGGAUGGGAUGAACCAACUAAAGGAGAAGUGGGAAAGAUGAAGUCUCAGUUGAAUGCUUACAAUGCAAAGGCUGGGAUGUAUACUUUAAAAGAGGAUGAUGACAUGAAAGCAAAGUUGGCAGCUAUGACAAGAAGAUUGGAGGAGCUGGAGCUGAAAAGAAUGCAUGAAGUGCAAGCUGUUGCUGAAGCACCAGUGCAAGUGAAGUUGUGUCCCAAUUGUCAAUCGUUUGAACAUUUGGUAGAGGAAUGCCCUGCAAUUUCAGCUGAAAGGGAAAUGUAUAGAGAUCAAGCAAAUGUUGUUGGACAAUUCAGGCCCAAUAACAAUGCUCCUUAUGGAAAUACCUACAAUUCAAGUUGGAGGAAUCAUCCAAAUUUUUCAUGGAAGGCCAGAGCAACUCAAUACCAACAGCCGGAUCCACCAUCUCAACAAUCUUCAAGUAUUGAACAAAUAAUAGCUAAUCUCAGCAAGGUAGUGGGAGAUUUUGUGGGAAAGCAAGAAGCCACCAAUGCUCGAGUGGAUCAAAGAAUGGACAGAGUGGAUCAAAGAAUGGACAGAAUGGAGAGUAUGUUGAACAAAAGAAUGGAUGGAAUGCAAAAUGAUAUGAAUCAAAAAUUUGAUAACAUCCAAUAUUCAAUUUCAAGGCUUACAAAUUUGAAUACACUGCAAGAAAAGGGAAGAUUUCCUUCUCAACCUAACCAAAAUCCCAAAGGUGUCCAUGAAGUGGAAAGCCAUGAGGGAGAAUCAUCACAGGUGAAAGAUGUGAAAGCUUUGAUCACUCUAAGGAGUGGUAAGAAAAUUGAGCAGCCAACACCCAAGCCACAUGUUGAGAAAGAAGAAGAGAUGAAGAAAGGGAAGGAAAUGGAAGAUAAAGGCAGUGAGAUCAGUGAAGAAAAGAAGGACUCUGAUGCAACAAUGAAAGUAAUUCCAGAGAAGGAGCUUCUGAAGGAAGAAAUGCUGAAGAAAUCAACUUUUCCACCUUUUCCUCAAGCAUUACAGGGGAAAAAGGGGGUUAGAAAUGCAGCUGAAAUCCUAGAAGUAUUGAGGCAAGUGAAAGUUAAUAUUCCACUGCUGGAUAUGAUCAAACAAGUUCCAACGUAUGCAAAAUUCCUAAAGGACUUGUGUACUAUCAAAAGAGGGUUGACUGUAAACAAGAAAGCCUUCUUGACUGAGCAAGUAAGUGCAAUCUUACAGUGUAAGUCUCCUUUGAAGUACAAAGACCCUGGAAGUCCUACCAUUUCAGUCAUGAUUGGAGGAAAGGUAGUGGAGAAAGCCUUGCUAGACUUGGGAGCAAGUGUGAAUUUGCUUCCAUAUUCUGUCUACAAGCAACUGGGACUUGGAGAGUUGAAGCCAACAGCAAUCACUUUGUCUCUGGCAGAUAGAUCAGUGAAAAUUCCAAGAGGGGUAAUUGAGGAUGUAUUGGUUCAAGUAGAUAAUUUCUACUAUCCUGUAGAUUUUGUUGUUCUUGAUACAGAUCCUACUGUAAAGGAAGCUAAUUUAGUUCCUAUCAUCCUUGGAAGGCCAUUUCUUGCAACUUCAAAUGCAAUCAUCAACUGUAGAAAUGGGCUUAUGCAACUCACUUUUGGUAACAUGACACUGGAUCUAAAUAUUUUCUAUAUGUCUAAAAAGCAAAUCACUCCAGAAGAAGAAGAGGGUCCAGAAGAGCUAUGUAUUAUUGAUACUUUGGUGGAGGAGCACUGCAAUCAACAUAUGCAAGAUAAGUUGAAUGAAAGUUUUGUGGAUAUUGAGGAAGGUUUUUCUGAAUCUCCUAAUGGGCUUGCUACUCUACAAAGUUGGAGAAAGAUAGAAGGAAUUCUACCUUUGUUCAAUGAAGAAGAGGAGGCAGCUGUUGAAAAAGAAAUUCCAAAACUCAAUCUGAAGCCUUUACCUAUGGAGCUGAAAUAUACAUAUCUUGAAGAAAAUAAUCAAUGUCCUGUCGUAAUAUCUUCAUCUCAAACCAAGUCUCAAGUGAAGGAUGCAAGCUUCAAAUGGGAUCCGGGCAAACUGAAUCAGGAAGGGCAAAAAGUUUUGAUGUAUGACACAAGACUCCAUAUCUUUCCUGGGAAGCUCAAGUCAAGGUGGAUUGGUCCAUUUGUUAUUCACCGAGUAUAUUCCAAUGGAGUGGUGGACUUAUUGAAUUCCAAUGGCAAGGACAGCUUUAGAGUCAAUGGAUAUCGUCUUAAGCCGUUCAUGGAGUCAUUCAAAUCAGAAAAGGAGGCAAUCAACCUCCUUGAACCUCAAAAAGCCUAAGUGAAAUGGGUUUGCUGGACGUGGUUUUACCACAGUCCAAAAAUUUUUGUAAAUUUUGUAAAUUUUCAAGUUGUUUCCAUGCUUUUAAUCUUAGUUUUUGAUUUUAAAUCAUGUUUUUAGGUGUGUUUUAAUCGUUUUAUAUGAUCCCAGGCGGAAGAAAUUUCAAGGGGAUUGAAAAGAAAAAAAUCGGGUCGAAAUUGGAGCCGAAACAGAGCAAAAACAGGGGAAAAACAGAGCUCUGCGAAAUUUCGCAGGGUGAAGGAAACUUCUGCGAAAUUGGCAUUUUGCUGCCAAACCAUUCCGCAGCACUGUAGAAGCCUCUGCGAGUGUAUUUCGCAAUUGCGAAAGUGGAUUUGGCACACGAGUGCCACUUCGCAGCACAGUGACAUCAAUUUCGCAGCUGCGAAACUCACUGCGAAGUUGCUGCGAAAAUGGCAAGUUGCUGCGAAAUUGGCGUUUUGUUGCGAAACGUAAUCUGACCCCUGGGCUUCCGUUUUUCCUAUUUAUACCUGUCAAAAGUGCUGCGAAAAAGGUUUCAAAAAUUAGAGCACCAUUCUCGCAGCCCUUUCAUCUUCUUCGCCAAGCCACGCCGUCCGUUUCUCCGGUCGUCUUCUCCGUUUAGCAGCGCCGGCCAAAGAUCGAUAGCCCAAAAAUGGCACGAACGCGAGGGGCAAAGUCUUCAUCCCCUUCGAACCGCAAAAGGAGUCUGCGAAAGGAGCCAAGUUCAGGCUCUGUUCCAGAACCUGCUCCAAAGCCUUCGCCGUCGAGACCACAACCUUCUCCAGUGAAGCCGGCGCCACCAAAGCCGCCGGCAAGGCGAUAUUUAACCAGGUCAGGUGGUCAGCCAUUGAAGAAGAAAGCCAGAGUUGAGAGCUCUGAACCAAUCGAUUUGACUGAGCAAUCCCCUGAGAAAUCACCAAAUCCUUCACCGGUACAAAUUCCAGUGCCAUCACCGGUUCCCUCGCCAAUUCCCUCACCAGAAGCAACUCCAAUUCCAUCGCCGGUACCAUCUCCGGCACCCCAAGAAAAAGCUCAGGAGCCUCAAGCGCCAAUUCCAGAGCCCCAAAUUGCAGCUGAAGCACCUCUGGAAGAAGUGAUCCGAAGGCCAAUGCUGCCUCAGCCCCCAAUCGAAGGAAACCUGGAUUGCCGAACUCGGGCAUUCCAUUCUGAGCUUUGCUUCGAUUUAACAGCAUUCAGAGUGAGGCCAGAGCUUGCCCAAUCCUUCCAACUGCUGAGGAGAUAUCAUAUGGAGCAUCUGCUAGCUCCAAGGGAUUUUUUCUAUCCCCGGGUAGUCACGGAUUUCUACCAAACCAUGACAACCAAAGAAGUAAGAAAUCCAACUCUGAUUCAUUUCAUAAUUGAUGGAAGGCAUGGUAUUUUGGGAGCAAGACAUAUUGCUGAAGCCCUGCAAAUUCCUUUUGAGCCAACUCAAUUCGACAAUUUUAAAGCUUGGACAAAUCCUACUGAGUUAGAGAUGGUUAGCACACUAACCAGAGGAGCUGCAAAUCGAUCGCAUUUGUUGAGGGGGGAGCUACCUCCAGUUAUGUUUUUGAUUGAUGCCUUUUUGAGGCAUAAUAUCUAUCCCCUGCAGCAUUGGACCCAAAGAAGGGGAAUUCUCCUAGAAGCCUUGUACAAAAUGUCUGAAGGAUUCUUCUUUGGGCCUCAUCAUCUGAUCAUGGCAGCCCUUCUAUACUUUGAGGAGAAGGUUCACAAGAAGAAGCUUCAAAGAGCAGAUUGCAUUCCACUCCUCUUCCCAAGGCUGCUAUGCCAAGUUUUGGAGCAUCUCGGAUACCCCUCUGAGCCUCAGCAGGAAAGAAAGAGAAUAUGCCGUGAGCCUUUUACCCUUGAUAAAUGGAAUAAUAUGACGGCCUACAAAAUUGAUCAGCCUGGGCAGCCUCAGCCAGCAGCAAGGAGAGUCUCCCCAAGACAUAUACCUGAAGGUAUAACACUUGCUACUCCUGCCAUCCCUCGAGCUCCACCAGCUGCACCUGCUCCAUCACAGCCAUCCACAUCAGCUGAGCCGAGGAUGGCCAUCCCUAUAUCCGAAUAUCGAGAGCUGUGCCGUGCAUUGGAGACUCUUACAGCUUCUCAGAGCAAUCUUGCUCAGGAGUUGGCAGCCAUUAAAGCAUGCCAGGAGCAGAUGUUAGCCUCUCAGACUCAACAAGCUGCCAUCCUAAGGCAGCUUCAAGUCCAUUUCGAUCUGCCACAAGCUGUAGAGCCCUCUAUUCCUACUCCACCAGAGCCACACUCUCAGCCUUCAGAGUCUCAUCCUCCAGAACCCGAAGCACCAGCUGAUCCACCUACUGAGGAGGCAGAUCCUUCUGCCUAGCACCAUCACCCCCCUCAUCAGACAUUAUAUAUAUAUUUGCUGUUUAUGUUUUUAUGCAUGUUUGUUUUGUUUUAGUUGAAAAGAAAUCCCAGUAUUUUGGUACUAUAUAUGGGAUUCCUUGUGUUACUUGUCUUUAGUAUUGUAAUCACAUGAACUCAAAGUAAUACAAGUUGACUAUUUCUUGUUAAAAGUUAGCAUUAAAGUUUCCUUAUUUCCUUUUCUCACAUAUUCUAUUCUUUUUGAAACAUGUGGUUUUCCCCAAUCAAUAUUCGAAUUUGAUAUCAGCAUGGAGGUACCACUUCCUCCCUUUUAUUACAGUCACUCAAAUCACAUUGAGGACAAUGCUCAGUUCGGUUGGGGGGUAUGAGGAAGGAAGUAUUCUAAACCUUUUUGGUAUUGCAAUUAUAUUGGUUAAUUAGUUGUAGAUUUUACUUUUUACUAGUGUUACUCUAUUCUCCAUGAAUUUUGAGGAAAAAUUUUCAAAUUAAACCAAGAGAAAUUGAACUGUUGUUUUUCACUUGACUUAGAGUAUGGAUUAUGCUUACUAAAGUGGUUCAAUUGUUGAAACUUCUACUGAAAUUGAAUUGAGUUCUUCCACUUUAAGCUAUCCACACACUGUGCACAUUAGUUUCCGAUUAUAAGAUGAAAAGCUAUUUCCCUCUUGACUUAGUAUAUUUUUGGGACUUGGUAUAUUUGACCUCAUUUGAUAAAAAUUGAAACACCCUGCAAAAGGCCAAUGAGCCUUUGAAAUAAAGAAAGUUGUUUGCUUGCCUUGAAACCCGAGCAAGGUCUGAGGGGUAUAUGGUGAAAAUCUUUAAAGCCUGGUGCCCUAAGCCUUAAUUGGUUGGGAGUCACCGACCUCAAUGCUCGUUACAAGGGUGAAUAGGUAGAGUUAGCAUAUGGUAGAUGCUUGGGUAUUAGAAAUUCAUUCUUAAAAGUCCGGGGAAAAAUCCGAGGAGUUAGUGGUUGAAAGAUCCUUAAAACUUGGUGCCCUAAACCUUAAUUGGUUGGGAGUCAUCGAUGGACCCCCAUUACAUGGACAAGUCAGAAAGAGUACCCCAUAAAGCUACCUUAAAAAAAAAAAAAAAAAAAAAAAAAAAAAAAAAGAUGAAAGUGUGUUCUUUUCUUAUUGAUUUUGGUCAGUUUGCUAAAGUGUUGAAAAGAGAUAGGUUGGGGGGUGAGAUUAGUAGCAUAUUAUUCUCGGAACCUAAGGAACCAAUACACAUAGAUUUUUGUGGAAGAUUGAAGUUUAGUUCUUAGAAAAUGAAAUGAUUUUAAAACUUCAGUUUGCAUAAUGCACUCCCUUGAUUGACAGUGUUUAGCAUAGGUGUUAUGACUCUUGUUGAGAUUUGGGUUUGUAUUUCUUUAAUGAUUCAUGUGAGAAAUAGAUCAUCAUGCCACUUGAGAAUUAUUUUCCUUUUAGCAUGAUGUUGUAAAUUUUAGAUUAGUUUGCUAUUUAUUUUUUAUUUUCUCUCCUAUAUUGCUAAGGGACUAGCAAUAUGUCGGUUGGGGGGAGUGAUUACUACUCAAAAAGUGCUAUUUGAUAGCCUUUAAUUAAUCCUUUUUAACACUUUUGAGUAGUAGUUUAGGCCUUUUAACUCAAUUGGCAUGUUAAGGAUCCUUUAAAGCAAUUUUGAUCACUUUGUGCAAGUUUUGGUGUUUUUGUUAGUAUUUUGAUCACCAAAGCAAGUCAAGAAUGAGGAGAACUAUGAGGAAUCAUGGGCAAAGCUUAGAAUUCAAUUGCCAAGAGUGAAUCCGGAUUGCAAGGAGAAAAAGCAAAGAGAAUCUGUCAUGAAGCCUAUUCUUGAUGACAGUCGUAGCAGCCACUUUUGGAGCACUUUCUGAAGUCCAAAUGAUGCAAGCUAUAUACCAUUUCAAAGCUCAGGAAGUCAACAAUCCAAUGCUUCAAACGGUGCGCGAUUCGGAGUUGAAACGAAGAAGUUGCAGCCAUUACAAGCCAGUCACUCUAAAGUGUUGCGGAAUCAGCCUUUUGUUGCGAGAAUUUCGCAGCACUUUUGUACAGUAAGGUGUUUCUCCUUCUGACGAUGCACGAACCAUGCCGCGAGAGGGAAGCUAGGAACUUCAAGAUGGAAGCCAACUUUGCAGCCUGGUGAAGAUAGCUUGGUCUUGCGAAAUAAUUUCGCAGCCCUCUUGGGUGUCUGCGAAAUUUCGCAGGCACCACUUUUUUCCUGCGAAAUGGCUCCGGAAGCCUCCCGAAGCUUGCUACCGACAUUGGGAGAUAUUUUCCAUUAGAUUUUUGUUGUCUAAAUUCCAAAAUACUCCUUGUAAACCACCAAUUACAUGAUUCCUUAGUUUUUAAGUUAGUAAAAAGACCAAAUAUCUAUGUAAUAAUUAGUUUUAUAUUAGUUUGCUAUAAAUACCUCUCGGGAGCAUGUUCUCAGAGAGGAGUUCCUUCUGUAACCAUUUUGGUAAGCAAGUAAAGUCUUUUCUUUCUACUGCCUUACCUUCUCACUUUGUAUUUUCAUUUUAUUUCUAAGUUAUGAAUUCUCUGAGGAGCUUUCCCCAGAGAAUGAGUAACUAAACCUCCAAUUCCUUGGAGCUAAGGUUGCCGGGGAAGGUUCCAAGUGCAAGAAUGCAAAGCUCUGUGGUUUUAGCUAGUAAUGAAGAGGAAGUGAAAUCCUUUAGUGAUUUCAAUGUUUUUAGUUAACUUAAAACACCUUGGAGUCACCUGGGCCAACACUUGGUAAGGCAAGUGAUUUCCAACCGUGGAAAUGCACUAGUUUACCCCUUGCGAGCCUCUGGUAGGUGACUUCAAGGUAGGAUUUUCUGGAAUUACCAACACUUGGUAAGCUUUUGGACUCCUAGGAGACAUCCAUUAGUUAUCUCUUGCGAGUUUGUGAAGGGGAAUCCAAGGUUAAAGAUCACCUUGAAUGGUAAGUGCUCGUGAGAGGCAUGAACCAUUGCAAGUUGUAUCAGUGAGAGAAUUAAAGUGAAAUCUAAUUGAAGGAGUCUCUGUACAUCACCGGUUAGAGAAUUGACUAUAAGUUGAAUCUCUAAUGCGAGGAAAUGAACCAUCUGACCGGAGCUAUGUCUUUUGCAUGAGGAACCACCCCAGUGAACCUAAAUCUCCAAGGAAUGCUUUUCUUCCUAAAUUAUUCCAAACUUCUGUUAAGUUAGUUAGUUUAAGUCUAAACCUUUACCAAUCAAACUUUGUGUUUUAUUCCUUAAGCUAACCGUGAAAUGAAACAAAACCAAUUCACUUGGAAUUGGUAUCCUUGAUUGCUUGCAAAUCAUUCCCAGUGAACGAUCCUUAGAGCCACUAUACUAUAGUAGCUUUGUAUUUGCUACCCUAGUGUAUGGUGUUAUAGGUAUAAAUUUUGUUGAUCACUUCCUCAAUCAAGGAACACCAGCUGAACACAAAUCAGCUGAGACACCAAUUGGGCAUGAGUCAGUGCGUUAGAGGAUCAAGAAGAAGAAAAAGAAGGAACUGUUGGAAUUAGUAUGAGUGUGAAGAGAAAAGUAUAUAAAUAAGGGGAAGUAAAAGCAAAGUUCAAAAAGCUAUAUUUUUUUAUUGUUGGUGUAUGGUUGCAUGAUUAUCCCUAUAAAUAAUAGGAGUUUUUUGGUAUUCUACUAGUAGUUGAAGCAUAAUUUCAUAAAUUAAUAUUUAGAGCGGGGUGGGGUGAGUUGUGACAAAAUUCAUACCCGUCCCAAACCUUGGUUCAGAUUUUUAAAAUAUUCUCAAACUUAUCAUAUACCCAACUUUUAUAUUUCAUACUUGUCCUAAUAGAGGCACGUUAGGCCGGGUUACUUGAGUAACCUACAUAAUUGUCAUCCCUAGUUGAAAUACACUUUUUGGCAGUGGCCACCAACUGAGCUAGAAGCUUGAUUGAUUGACCUACAAGAUUAGUUCUCAUCAUUUUAAAAAAAGUUCUGGCUUUGGUUGUGAGUGCAAUUGAAUCUAAACUGGCAUUUGCUUAAUGCAUCUACUUCAAUCCUAAACUUCUUACUUCUUAAGCCUCAAUUGUUGUUAGGAUUUUGGAAAACCCAUUUCCUUAAAUUGUAAAUUUAAGAUAAAAUAAAAUAAAAGUGAGACAUUUCUUGAUUGAAUAUUGUUAAAGGUCCCUUGGCAUUAAGACUUGGUUGAAGCCUUGGAAGAUUAGUGGAACUCUCAACAUGUGUUUGAAUCUUGAGGAGAGUGGAUGUAAGCCAAAAUUUUGUCAAACCAUUAUACAAAUUGAGUUUGAAUCCUCAUUUCUUGAUUUCUUAUUUAUUUGCUUUUUCUUAUUAUUACUUGAAUUGUCAUUUGCAUUCAUUAAUGUUAAAAUUGGUUAUAAUUAACCAACACUAAUUCUCUUUCCCCUUCCCUUUCUUGGGUGUAAACCUAGGUUGGAUUAACUAGAUAAAUCUAUUAAGAUGGUAAAAGAAUAAUUAUUCUUAACAUACAUAAGAUCAUCUUCAAUCAAAUGACUCAUUGGCUAAUAUGUUGAAUUUGCUUAUUACUUGCAACUCAAAAUUGUGUUCUAGUUGUGUCAAGUCCCCAGUGUAUGGACAUUAAAUUUGUAGUACGUGAUGAGUAAUUAGAUGGUCCAACUCCAAGAAAGUGAUUGAAAAGUAGUUCAAGAAAGGUGCAAAAGGGAAUUGUUUUGGUAUUUUCGUUUUUAUUCUUGAAGGUGGCAGAGCUAAAAUUUGAGAAAUCAAGCAAAACAUACUGAAAUUACAUUGAAAGAAAGAAGAUGGGAGUUAAUGUCUUGCAGUACAUGAUAAGGACUUCAUGCAUGUAGUGUGACCCAUGUCUUGGACUGAUGCCAACUCACGGUUACACUUAUACCCUUGGUUCUCUCUUUACUACCUUGGCUAACCUAGAUCAGGCUAUGAGAUAGGCUCCUCACCACACCAUUACUUGCCCAUUAAUUAGAGACAUUUUCAAGCAAUGAGGUAACAUGGUGACACCAAGAGGGUCUAUUCCUCGCCCGGAACAAGUCUAGACUUGGUCUCAAAAAAAUGGAGAAAAAUGAGGUGUCGUUAUGUAGAAAUACAACAACCAUGCCUUCCUCAUUACUUAGAUUCAGAAUGUGAAGGUGAAAUUGAGAAACAGAAACUCUUGAAACCAAAAUGAAAAUUGAUACUUUUACGAAGAAUUACAACAACAUUAGAGGAAGACUACAUUCUUCCUCUUUAUUCCUACAUUUCUACACUACUUCUACUCCACUCCAUAUUUCUACAUACAUCUUUAAUCAGUCUUCCCUCCUUUAUAUAGAGCCAUCUUCACACAAAUUUCGCAAGGUAGAAAAGAGGAAUGAAACUUGGAGCAAGGUUCGACUACUGGUUGUAGCUUGUCAAGGCUGGAAGUGAACUUUUCUUGGCUUUCUGGGCAUGGGUAGUAACUUGUGGGUUCCUGUUUGGCAUAAAAAUGGCUAGAACAUGUGGCACUAUCUUGUUGGAUGAUGUGUCAAGCAUGUGGCAGCCAUCUAGUGGCGAUUAUGUCAAUUUUGGGAUGGAGAGUUGGCAUCCAAUUGCAAAGAAAUAUGACGUCUACCAACAUGCAAUGUAAACCUAUGUAGAUCAUAUGAAGAUAGAGAGGAAAAAUAUAGAAAUGGAUAUAUACCUAGAACUAGCUUUUUAUUAAAUGAAACGGAGAGACAACAAUGAAGGAAAAUAAAAUUUUUUGGCUUAUAUCAAAGAGUUCACAUUGUGUUACCCUAGGUUUUCUUAAAACUUACUUUUAUGAUAACAAAAAAGAAAAAACCAUUAUUGUUUAAUCCUUUGUUUUAAACGCAUGUAAGGUGUAAUUAAGUUAGUUCAAUGCAUUAAUUUAAGAAACUUGACCUAUCAAAAGUACAAAAUUAGAUGAAAUCCAUUUCAAUGGUUAAAAUGAUCAAAAUCAAACUUUUUCUAAGUAUUUUUUAAAAGCAUCAAUAGUGAAAGACAAUUUUAUAUUUAGUCGGAGUUUGGACAAAACUGAAAAACACACAAAAUCCAAGCGACCAUCUCUAGCUUGGAUGGUCGCUUGAUCCCACCUAGAGAUGUGCAUGAGUAAAAGGAUUUGAAAAUGGAAAUUGACUAUGUAGUCGAUCAAUUAACUUUGCAACAUCAUAUGCAAUCCUAAUUGCUAGUCAUCUAAUCAAUUAGGUAGUCAAUCAACAGGCCAAAAAUAUGUUUAUAAUGACUAUUUUGUACAAAAACCACCUGUAUAGUUAAAUAUAAUGCAUUUCAUUUAUAAAUCUUCUAAUUCUUGAAUAACGAUCCUAUCAUCCUUUGAAAGUUUUUAUUACACUUUUUUUACUUUUGUUCUAAAACUUACACAUCACCCUUAAUUGUACCAUGAGAACCUAGCUAUUUUUUAUUUUUUUUUUUGUAAUUCAUCAAAGUUAGCUUUUGUAUUCAUUGUUGUAUUAUUUUUAGUAUAACUUAGAAAGCUAGUGUUUUCAAGUGAGUAAAAUUAACUUGUAAAUAUUGUAAAGAUUCAUCGACAUGUAUCUUAAACUAAGUGUACAAGUUAAAACAUUUGCUAGUAGAUUUUCUCAAAAUUUAGAAUAGAGCUUGAGACUAUUGAAAUAGGUGGGGUUGCACCAAACCACAUCACAUCGUUGUUUGCACCUUUUUUCACUCUCUUUUACUUAGUUGCUCUAUAUUUGUUGUCUAGUAAUAUCCUAUAGGCUUGAUGGGUUAGGGAGCAUCCCUUUGUGAAAAAAUUUUAUUCAAUCCUUAGUUGUAUCACGCAUAUAUAAAAUGCCUCAUUGUUUUAAUGGUAUUCAGUCGUGGCAUCACAGAUAUGGGCAUCUAAAUUUUAAAAGUUUGAAACUUUUAUCUAAAGAAAAUAUGGUGCUUUGCCUUUUUGUAAAGCAUGUUGAUGAAAUCCAUGAGAAUUGUGUACUUGGGAAGCAACACCGAGAUGACUUUUUUUUUUUUUUUAUAAUAUUGUUUGUCCAAAUUCCCUACAAAUUAGGCCACCAGAUGUUCAUAAUUCUCCCUUCUUGAAUUUGAAAACUCGGACAAUUGGACAAUGCGACACCUAAGUCCGGUUUCUAAAUGCUAAAGUGAAAGGGUAGGUAUGGACCAUUGAAAUGUGAUCACAACUUUUCUCUGUAGCCAUGUUGUCUCUUUUUUCUUUUGCAUGAUUUUCUUACCUUAACAGAAUCAUAGACUUGUUUAGUCUCUAAAUGGGAUUAAUUUCAUCCAGCUUUAAGCUACUAUAUUAUAUCUAGGUGGAGGACUUUUAAGAGUGCAACCGACAUAGAGCACAUGGAAGUGGGUAUAUGGGACAUGAAAUUUCUUCUUAUAAAGAUUGCAUGAUUUUUAUAUUAGAGUUGUUGAGGCGCUAUGUAUUUAGCUUGUUUUGCAGUUAAAUUAAUUGGAUAAGUAGACAUUGGCGUUUCUAAAUCUACUGUGAAGUGCUUCAUGUACGUGUGAAGUAUUAGAAAUUUCUUUCUUGGCAACUUGUUUUUCUUUGCGGUCUACUGAUAGGUUUGACUAAAAUUAUAUUCCCUGUCAUGCUAAUUAAUUUUCACGUGCAUGCUCAAAAGAAAAGUAUGACCUUAGUGCACCAAAAUCACUUUGAUUAAUUUGUGAUAGGUUUUUGUGCAUCAUGACAUUAGCCUUAUUCAUUUAGAUAAUGUUUAGUUUUUAGAAAGUAUUAAGAAAAGGAAAAUAAAUAUUAAGAAAAAUAUUCUUAUAUUUGAUUGUAUUAUGAAAAAUAUCAUAAAAAAAUCAAAUAUAAUUUAAAUUAAUUAAUAAUUUAUACAUUUUCAAAUUAUUUAAUCUUUAUAUUGAAGAUAUAAUAUAAAUGAAAUGAGUUUUAAGUAUUAUAUAAAAGUGAUUUAUUGAUCUUACAUAUAUAUAUUUCUUUUUUUUUUCCUUCUAUUUUUUCUCUUUAUUUUAUUUUCCUUAUGUUUUCCUCAACAUUUUCCGGAACCAAACAUAGCCUUAGGAAAUCCACAAUUACCUUCAACUGAGUAGAUUCUGUUGUUUUAGCAAUGUUAGGCUGCUAACUUGUGUUGGUACGAACCUAUUAAGCCUAAAGAUGUAAUUAGUUAGGAUAUUCUUUUCCCUCUAGUCUUGUAGCUCCACGUGUACAGUUGGUUAGGACCUCAUUGUAUAUAAUGCUUGCCCUGUUAUUGUAGAAGACAACAAAGAUAAAUAAUAUUAACAUUUUUCCUCUCAUCUCUCUCUGUUUCCCUCUGUUUUCAUCUCCUCUCUCAUCUUGGUAUCAGAGCCUCCAUGGCUUCUUUCAAAGAAACCUCCGAAUCACCUUCUGCUAGCAUUGUUAAUGUGCAAAACCCAUUAUCUCAAUCAAACAACCUUCCUUCACCAGUAGCCACACCCUCUUUUUCUUUCUCGUCUAUGAAUCAACCUCUCACAGUGAAGCUGGAUAAUGGGAACUACCUCAUAUGGAAGAAUUAGCUUCUAAAUGUCAUCAUUGCUAACGGACUCGAUGAUUUCAUUGACGGAUCUCGACCCUGCCCUCCUCGAUUUCUCGAUCUGCAACAACAAACCCUCAAUCCAGAGUACUCAGCUUGGCAGAGAUACAAUCGACUUCUGAUGAGUUGGCUGUACGCAUCCUUGUCCAAAGAUAUAAUGGCUCAGAUUGUUGGGUAUUCAACAGCUAUGGAGAUUUGGAAUGCCCUUAAUCAGAUUUACUCUGCCUCUUCUAUGGCGCGGUUUACUGAGCUUCGCACCAAGCUUCAAACGCUCAAGAAAGAUGGACUCUCAGUUGGUGAAUAUAUUCAAAGGCUCAAAUCCAUUUGCAAUAGUCUUGCAGCAAUAGGAGAACCAGUUUCUGAGAAAGACCAUCUUAUCUAUUUGUUCAAUGGAUUAGAUUGUGAGUAUUAUUCUUUUGUUACCUCCAUUCAAAAUCGAUCUGACCAACCAACUAUUGACAAAAUCCAUAGCCUAUUGCUUAGCUAUGACUUCCGGCUUGAACAACAAAACUCUGUUUCUCUCCAUUCUGCCCAAGUCCAUAUGGCUCAUCUGAACAAGAAACCUUAUAAAUCAACUCCUCAACCUACAUUCAAUCAUAUUCACAUUCAACCUAGAUACUCUUCUCCACCUUUUAAGCCAACCACUAGUCAAUAUCAACCCAACAUUUUGGGCAAACCACAACCACAACCAUGACAGCCUCAACCUCAAUGGAAACCACAUUUUUCAAUCUAAAAUCAAAAGCCUCAGCGCCAAAUUUGUGGUAAAUUUGGACACACUGCUCUUAUUUGCUUCCAUCACACAAAUUUGAACUAUUCACCCCAACCUUCUCCUAAAUCUUUCAAUACUGUUCUCACCACAAAUUCCCAGCUCCCUAAUCCUCCAAAAUUUUCUUACCCUACAAUGGCUCAUCCUGCUGCUACGCAUAACACGGUUCCCGAUACAAAUUGGUACAUGGACUCAGGUGCUACACAUCACUUUACUCUGGACAUCAACGUGCUUGACACUGUGACACCAUUUAGUGGUUCAGAACAGGUGACAGUUGGGAAUGGUAAGCAACUCUGUAUCUCACAUCUUGGUACUGCAAAACUACCAUCUUCGUAUUCUCCUCCUGUUCUACAUCAGGUAUAUCACACUCCAAAAAUUUCAAAUAAUCUUAUUAGUGUUAAAAAAUUGUGUUCUGAUAAUAAAGUUUUUGUUGAAUUUUAUGCCACUCAUUUUCUUGUCAAGGAUCAGGUUUCGAAGAGAGUUCUCCUUUAGGGUCAACUUGAUAAUGGCUUAUACAAAGUUCAGUCGUCAUGCUCUCCUUCUGCUGUUUCCUUUCCUCCUCAAGUUUUCAUAGCCAACAUCAAGUAUCCAAAUCUGUGGCACAAGAGACUAGGCCACCCAGCUUUAUCUGUUGUUAAUCAAAUCUUGGAUUCUUGUAACAUUGCUCGAACACAGAAAAUUUGUUUUAAUUUUUUAAAUUCUUGUCAAUUAGCAAAGAGCCACAGGCUUCCUUUUUCUCUGUCUCCAUCCAUUGCAGAAAAACCUUUUGAGUUAAUUCAUACAGACCUAUGGGGUCUUUCGCUCGUUCGCUCUAUUUCUGGUGCUCUUUAUUUUUUACUUUUCAUUGAUGAUCAUACUCGUUUUACUUGGUUUUAUUUGCUCAAAACAAAAGAUGAAGCAUAUCCUACUUUUCUCAAGUUUCAAGCUCUCAUUGAAAAUCAAUUUAAUACCAAGAUUAAGGCUGUCCAAUCUGAUUGGGGAGGUGAGUUUCGAUCUCUCUCCAUACCGUUUUCAAAUAUGGGCAUUGUCUAUUGUUUAUCGUGUCCAUACACCUCACAACAGAAUGGGCGAGUUGAGCGAAAAAAUCGCCAUGCGAUUGUCCUUUCUUGCUUGCUCUAUGCCCUUAUCUUAUUGGCCUUAUGCCUUUCAAACUGCCACUUACCUUAUUAAUCGUCUCUCUACCCCUGUGCUGCAUCAUCAAUCCUCUUACUUCGCACUCUAUCACAAACUCCCAACUUAUACUCAUCUUAAGGUCUUUGGUUCCUCUUGUUUUCCGUAUUUGCACCCUUAUAAUACCCAUAAACUCCAAUACAGGUCACUAGAGUGUGCUUUUCUUGGUUACAGUUCACACCACAAAGGUUAUCUAUGUCUUGACAUUCAUUCUAGCAGGGUGUAUAUUUCUCGCCAUGUGAUUUUUAAUGAAGAUUCUUUUCCAUUCAAGAAUUUGAAAUCUUCUCUCUCUCAGUCUAUUUCUUCUUCCUCUUCUUUAUAAGUUCCUCUGUUCAUUCUCUUGCCUCCCCUUUCCCCAUCUCCUCUUAUUUCUUCAUCUAUACCUCAUUCUUUUCCCUCUUCUUCUUCUACCUCUAGUACUUGUUCCCCUCUCGUUGCUCCUACCUCUCUUCCUUCCUCUUCACACUCUGUGUCUCCAUCUAUUCCACCUCCUUCUCCACCUUCUCCGAGUGUGGACCUGCUUGCACCUUGUGUGAAUACAAAUUUACAUACUUCUUCUCGCACUCACAAUAUUCAUCCUAUGGUGACUAGAUCUAAGGUUUGUAUCUAUAAACCUAAGUUGUUGUUGAGUGUCUCCAUAGGUUCUCUCACUAAGCCUACUUCCUUUCUUCAAGCUAUUAAAGAUCCUUCAUGGAAGCAAUCCAUGGAAUUCGAGUUUGCUACCCUUCAACACAACAAGACCUGGCAUUUGGUUCCUUCACCUUCCUCAGGCGAAGUAAUCGGUUGUAAAUGGGUCUAUAAGCUAAAGCUUCAGCCUGAUGGCUAAAUUGAGAGAUACAGCCUGCUUAGUAGCUAAGGGUAUCAUCAAAUUGAAGUAUGGACUACUUCGAAACAUUCAGCCUGAUNNNNNNNNNNNNNNNNNNNNNNNNNNNNNNNNNNNNNNNNNNNNNNNNNNNNNNNNNNNNNNNNNNNNNNNNNNNNNNNNNNNNNNNNNNNNNNNNNNNNAGCUUCAGCCUGAUGGCUAAAUUGAGAGAUACAAGGCCUGCUUAGUAGCUAAGGGUUAUCAUCAAAUUGAAGGUAUUGACUACUUCGAAACAUUCAGCCUGAUUGUCAAGCUUUCUACUAUCUGUAUUGUGCUCAGUCUUACUUUUUCCCAGAAUUGGUGUAUUAGACAGCUGGAUGUUCAUAAUGCCUUCUUACAUGGUGACUUAGCUAAAGACGUUUUCAUGGAACAACUGCCUGGAUUUGUUGAUCCUCUCUAUCCUACUCAUGUCUGCAAGUUGGAUAAGUCUCUCUACUGUCUUAAAUAGUCACCUCGGGCUUGGUAUACUAAGCUGAGUACUUCUCGCUACACUUGGGAUUUGUUACUUCUAAGAAUGACUCUUCCUUAUUUAUUUGUCAUUCGUCUCAUGGGUUACUUCUUGUUCUUGUCUAUGUGGAUGAUAUAAUCGUCAUUGGGAGCCACUCUCCUCAGGUUACUCACCUUAUCCAACAGUUGCAUCAUUAGCUUUCUUUAAAGGAUCUUGGUCCUUUACAUUAUUUUCUGGGCUUGGAGGUUCAUCACACCCCUACUGGUAUUCACCUCAGCCAAGCAAAGUAUAUCACUGAUCUCCUUACCCGGGCGGCUAUGUUGGAUGCCAAGCCAUGUCCCACUCCUAUGUCCUCCAACACAUAUCUCUCUUUUCAUGAUGGAGUGGCUCUUGAAAAUGGUUCAGAUUAUCGAAGUUUUGUUGGUGCCCUUUAGUAUUGUACCAUGACACGCCCAGAUAUAGCUUUUGCAAUAAAUAAAGUGUGUCAAUUCAUGCACCAUCCCUCUAAUGUUCACUGGCAGGCUAUAAAACGUAUUCUCCGGUACUUAAAGGGCACAUCUCAUUUUGGUCUCUUCCUACAGCCUUCCUAUGACUUCAACAUCACUUGCUAUACAAAUGCCGACUGGGCUUCCUGUCCUGAUGACAAGUGUAGCACCAGUGGCUACUGCCUCUUUCUUGCCUCUAAUCUGGUUUCUUGGUCAUCUUCCAAACAAAAAGUGGUCUCCCGCUCCAGCGCCGAAUCAGAGUACCGAGGGGUAGCAAAUGGGGCUGCUGAAAUUGCUUGGACUGAAUCUCUUCUUUGUGAACUUUCCAUUACUCCCCCUCCCCUCAUUCUCUGUGACAAUAUCAGUGCCACGUACUUAGCUGCCAAUCCUAUUUUGCAUGCCCGCACCAAACAUGUGGAAAUCGACUAUCACUUUGUCACGGAACGUGUUCUUCAAUGCUCUCUUUUUGUCCAGUUUACACCUUCUGAUGAUCAACUUGCUGAUUGCAUGACCAAGCCUCUCUCCACCCAACGUUUCAUCACUCUACGCUCCAAGCUCACUGUUCUCACUAGACCAAUGAGCUUGAGGGGGGAUGUUAAGCCUAAAGAUGUAAUUAGUUAGGAUAUUCUUUUCCCUCUAGUCUUGUAGCUCCACGUGUACAGUUGGUUAGGACCUCAUUGUAUAUAAUGCCUGCCCUGUUAUUGUAGAAGACAACAGAGAUAAAUAAUAUUAACAUUUUUCCUCUCAUCUCUCUCUCUGUUUCCCUCUGUUUUCAUCUCCUCUCUCAUCUGAACCAAAUGAUCCAUGUUAACCUUGGCUUGGUUUGAUUUGGCUCUAUCUUAGAGAGCUCAAGGAUCACGUCAACUCUGGUUUCUACUAUUCAGGUCCAUUCCCAUAUGAACUGGUUCAAAUUUGAGAAAAUGGUAACAGACCUUUAGUGAUGUUGGUUUGGAGCCAGUUGCCAAACCCGCCCUGAGCUUUACCACUAAUGUCAAGGGAGAAAGCCAUUUGAACAAAAACAAUAGCUUCAAGGGACUGAAUCGUGGAUGAAAUCUGAUCCACAUUUCUUCUCAUUUUGGAAACAAAUGAGAACUUAACUAAGAAGAUUCUACGGCCUCAUAGUGCUUUUCCUGAUCUAAGGUUGGUUCGUUUCCCAAACUGUGAGAUGCACGUGCCAGACUUCAGAACUCUCACGCUCAGGAGUGUAUCCACGUGGUGGACAUAAGAUGGUGGCUUAAGAUCUGGUGUCGGUGGCUUUACUUUACUAGGAGAGUAGUGUGUCUUCAUCUCAUUCACUGCCGGAGGGUGGCGUAAGCAGUGACGCUAAGGUGGGGCACAGUCAAUAUCAUUUGCAUUUGACCAUUAUAGUUUUCUCCCGGCUUUAAAGUAACCUUAUCGUGAUAAAGGAUUACUAGCACUAGUUCAGAUGAUAGUCAUGUUAAAUUCGGACCAUGUUUGUGUCACAUUAUCAGCAACCAUGUGUUUAUGGUUCAUGCUUUCUGCAACUAAAAUUGAUAUAUAACCAGGUGAACUUCAAUCUAAAUUCUGAAAGUACUCAUGUGAUAGAUGGUGCCCGUCUGCAGAGUCCAUCAAUUGAAAAAUGGAGUGAGUGUAUCUAUAAGAGGGAAGGCUUGGAAAAUGUUCAGUUUUCUGGGAAUUCAACAAGGAUCUAAAAUAGAUUGUUUUCUUUGCUGAUUUCAAUGGUUGAAAUUUGAGAAGAUUGUGUCCACAUAACACAACUAUUACUGGUCCUUCUGUUGCAAUUUAUCCUCUAAAGCUCUAGCAUGUCUUCCAAUUCCCACUUCCCUGUUACUCCAGGAAAGCUAUUUCUGUCAUUGUGAAGAAGAAAAGAGAAUGUACAUAUCGAUGCUUUUAAGUGACUGGAGCAUUUAUAUCAGGUGGUCUGCAGCCAUAUAUGCCACUUUGUGAAGAUUGGAACAGUCAAUCACUAGGCUAUAUAUUAGUGUGGCCCAGCCACUUUAAUCAAGGACAAGUCUUCAUACUUAAAGUCAAAUUCUGCCUUUAGUCUCAUUAUAAAUUUCUGUUUAAAUAUUAAGCAAACAUUUGUUUAAUGCGAUUAAGACAGUACUAACUCAAUACCUGUUCUAUUUUUGGAUGCAAAUGCUUGAUGGUUUCAUCAUUGGAUGGGAUAAAGGUGCAUUCAUGAUUAGGAAUACUAGUAGUUAUAUUUUAAUUCUCUUUUUUCUCAAUGAGACUUGUUGGCACAAUUUUGCUGUUGAGAAACCUACCUCUCCAUGGAAAAUAAGUUGUGAUUGAUAGUACUGGAUAUAUUCAAGAAAUCUAAAUAUAGAUAGCACAAAAUAUUAUCGACAUAAAUAGCAUUAACAGCGUACGUAUGUCUCAGUGCUCAUCAGCUAUAAGCAUGGGGCAAACACUUACUAUGAGCAACUUACGUCAAAAUUCCAGAAUAGGACAUAGAAGUGACAGAUAUAGAACAUUGCAUAUGAGUCACAAGAAAGGAAAUUACGGGUGCAUAGCAGCUCUUAUUUUACAUACUACUACUCAUACUGAUCAAAGUCACUCAGUUGGGAUGGGUGGGAGUAGGAGGUUUGUGGGGUGGCUUGUGCGGAGGAGUUGGCAGCUUCUUUCCAGGACCUGGUUGCUUCUCUGCUGGAGUUGAAGGAGGCUUAAUCUUCCGAGGUGGCUUGUAUGAGUCUUCAGCAUUCUCAGCUGGAGGGUGACCAGGGUUGUGACCAUAAUGUGGUGGCUUCUCUCCCUUAGGUGGUUUGCCAACUGGGGUUGGUGGCUUGUAUGAGUCUUCAGCAUUCUCAGCAGGAGGGUGACCAGGGUUGUGACCAUAAUGUGGUGGCUUCUCUCCCUUAGGUGGUUUGCCAACUGGGGUUGGUGGCUUGUGUUCUGGGAGUGGCUUCUCCCCCUUGGGAGGUUUUUCCAAUGGGGUUGGUUUGUGUUCAGGAGGUGGCUUCUCCACUGGAGGCUUGUGUUCAGGAGGUGGCUUCUCCACCGGAGGCUUGUGUUCAGGUGGUGGCUUCUCCACCGGAGGCUUAUGCUCUGGUGGUGGCUUCUCGAAUGGGGGAUGCUUAGGAUAAUCAGCAAGUGAGGGGGCGGUGAGAACCACCAGGCCAAGCAACACCACUAGCAAAUAUGUAGGAGACAUCUUUGGGUUUGGGCUCAGAUGGUGCAAAACUAGGAGAAUUGGCUAGCCUUUUAUAGCGGAUCGUACCCAAUAAUGAAAUGACACGUGUCAUUAUGACCCAUGUGUAAUGGGGUCGAUUUGGGUCCUACAGUGUUGAAAACUUCGACAUCCACUUUUGGCCUUUUGCUUUCUCUACAGCCGCCUUGCUUUUUCCCUCUUUCCUUUUGUUUUCCUCCUGCCCCAUUCUAUCAACUAAACACAAUUAUGUAGUUGUUUAAUUCUUAAAUGAGAUAUUAUCCGUCAAUCGUAUUAUAUUUUAUCAAGAGAGAACGGAGUGCAAUGUGGCUGUAAUUUUAUCGUUUAGUUUUAUCUCUUGGACCACUGCAUUUUUGUUAAGAGGUGCAAUAAUACACGUCUUUAUCUGCCAUUCAAUAUUUACAGUAAAGAGAGGGCACAAAACUCUUCACUUCGCACCAUAAUUAUUUUGUUUUCUGGACACCCCGGGGCCCUUUGGUUGGUUUGGGGGUCAGAAAGUGAACAUCAUAGGGGGUUUUUCCCUUAUGUGCAUUUGUAUCUGAUGGCUUUAACUCGCCUUGUUACUACAAAGAAACUGUCACAGAUAGGAACUUAUUCCAGGCUGAGUAUCUCCUCAUAGACCCUAUAAAAGAAGACAAGUCAUAAUGAACAUCUAACCUUUGUUCAAUUUGAUUCAAUGCCCCCAUUGUGUCCAUCUCACAAAUCUGAAUUAUUAUAUCCAUUGAAUACAUAAAUUAAUGAAGAAAAUAUGAAACCCAAGAUACAUCUCUGCACAACCUCAACCCUGGUUGCUAUGUUUCCCUUCUAUUCACAUGAUUUGAUGCUAAUUGCCAAACUUGCAACAAGCCCUGAGUUUGACACCUAGUAUCGAUGGGCGAAUUUAAAGUCUCCUCCAAACAUAUAUUCCACAGCUUGAAGCUCACAGAAGAUGUUACAGGCAGGGAAAAACCUUCAGAGUUCGCUACCAAAGAUAAUUAUUAAGGAGAUAUCACAAAGAGAAUUCCAAGGGGUCUGAAUCAAAGACAAAUUGGUCGUUCGUGGGGGUUCUUACUUUCUUUUGGGUAUAACUCACUGAGGGCACUGUCUUUGUUAUUUGCAUUUCACAUUUAGAGUUCUGUUCUGGAAACAUAUAAAAGGAGCAUCAUUUUGUUCUUGGGUAACCCAUAGUCGUGAGUGGGUCCAUUUGCAUGCUACUUAGUUGAAAAGUUGGACCAUUUGCUCCGACGCCUACCUCCCGGAUUCCAUGCUCGGAUAAAACAAGAAUAAAAAAAAUAUUUAUAAUUUACAAAUGGGGGAAAGAAAAAAAUGUCAACAACAAACCAGGAAAAAAGAGUAGUAAAAUUCAUGUCACAUGCUAGUGAGAGAAGGGGUUGUUACACUCACUCGAAGUUCUUUCCAAAAUAUCGCAUGGUAUUUUAUUUUAUGUGUCAGCGCAGUUGUGAAUGGAACGUGCAAAAGUCCAAAUUGGCGUUUUUCCUUUUCCCGUGUAGGAUGGCGACCUUUAAUAAAUAUUUAAAACAAAAAACGAAAAAAAGGAGGGAAAAGGGAUCAGAAAAGAUAAAACAAUGUGUACAAGAGCUCAAUUAGUUUGCAAAUUACUGUUUGGAUUUUGAUAGUAUUUUAUUUGUCCAUCUAUAUUUGAUGGAAAAGAGAAUUUAAGAUAUUUCUGAAACAAAAGCAUUAGUGUAAAACUAAAUUAAGGUAUAAUUAAGUUAGUUCAAUGCAUUAAUUUAAGAAACUUGAUCUAUCCAAAGUACAAAAUUAGAUGAAAUCCAUUUCAAUGGUUAAAAUGAUCAAAAUCAAACUUUUUCUAAGUAUUUUUUAAAAGCAUCAAUAUUAAAAGACAAUUUUAUAUUUAGUCGGAGUUUGGACAAAACCAAAAAGCACACAAAAUCCAAGCGACCAUCUCUAGCUUGGAUAGUCACUUGAUCCCACCUAGAGAUGUGCAUGAGUAAAAGGAUUUGAAAAUGGAAAUUGACUAAAUAUUUAGUUGAUCAAUUAAAUUUGCAAUGUCAUAUGCAAUCCUAAUAGCUAGUCAUCUAAUCAAUUAGGUAGUCAAUCAAGUGUUUGUAAUGACUAUUUUGUACAAAAAACCACAUGUAUAGUUAAAUAUAAUGCAUUUCAUUUAUAAAUCUUCUAAUUCUUGAAUAACGAUCCUAUCAUCCUUUGAAAAUUUUUAUUACACCUUUUUUACUUUUGUUCUAAAACUUACAUAUCACCCUUAAUUGUACCAUGAGAACCUAGCUAUUUUUUUUUUUUUUGUAAUUCAUCAAAGUUAGCUUUUGUAUUCAUUGUUGUAUUAUUUUUAGUAUAACUUAGAAAGCUAGUGUUUUCAAGUGAGUAAAAUUAACUUGUAAAUAUUGUAAAGAUUCAUUGAUAUGUAUCUUAAACUAAGUGUACAAAUUAAAACAUUUGCUAGUAGAUUUUCUCAAAAUUUAGAAUAGAGCUUGAGGCUAUUGAAAUAGGUGGGGUUACACCAAACCACAUCACAUCGUUGUUUGCACCUUUUUUCACUCUCUUUUACUUAGUUUCUCUAUAUUUGUUGUCUAGUAAUAUCCUAUAGGCUUGAUGGGUUAGGGAGCAUCCCUUUGUGAAAAAAUUUCAUUCAAUUCUUAGUUGUAUUACGCAUAUAUAAAAUGCCUCAUUGUUUUAAUGGUAUUCAGUCGUGGCAUCACAGAUAUGGGCAUCUAAAUUUUAAAAGUUUGAAACUUUUGUAAAGCAUGUUGAUAAAAUCCAUGAGAGUUGUGUACUUGGGAAGCAACAUCGAGGUGACUUUAUUUUUUUUUCCUUUUAUAAUGCCACACCUAAGUCCGGUUUCUAAAUGCUAAAGUGAAAGGGUAGGUAUGGACCAUUGAAAUGUGAUCACAACUUUUGGCCUUUUCCUUUCUCUGCAGCCAUGUUGUCUCUUUUUUCUUUUGCAUGAUUUUCUUACCAAAACAGAAUCAUAGACUUGUUUAGUCUCUAAGCUACUAUAUUAUAUCUCGGUGGACUUUUAAGAGUGCAACCGACAUAGAGCACAUGCAAGUGGGCAUAUGGGACAUGAAAUUUCUUCUUACAAAGAUUGCAUGAUUUUUAUAUUAGAGUUGUUCACGUGCAAUGUAUUUAGCUUGUUUUGCAGUUAAAUUAAUUGGAUAAGUAAACAUUGGCAUUUCUAAAUCGACUGUGAAGUGCUUCAUGUACGUGUAAAGUAUUAGAAAUUUCUUUCUUGGCAACUUGUUUUUUCCUUGCCAUCUACUGGUAGGUUUGACUAAAAUUAUAUUCCCUGUCAUGCUAAUUAAUUUUCAUGUGCAUGCUCAAAAGAAGAGUAUGACCUUAGUGCACCAAAAUCACUUUGAUUAAUUUGUGAUAGGUUUUUUUGCAUCAUUUAGAUAAUGUUUAGUUCUAAGAAAAAUUUAUAUAAAAAUGGUUUAUUUAUCUUACAUAUAUAUAUAUAUAUAUAUAUUUUUUUUUUUUUCAUUUUUUUUUCUUCUAUUUUAUUUAUUUAUUUUAUUUUCCUUAUGUUUUCCUCACAUUUUCCGGAACUAAACAUAGUCUUACGAAAUCAACAAUUGCCUUCAACUGAGUAGAUUCUGUUGUUUUAGCAAUGUUAGGCUGCUAACUUGUGGUGGUACGAACCAAAUGACCCAUGUUAAUCUUGGCUUGGUUUGAUUUGGCUCUAUCUCAGAGAGCUAAAGGAUCACGUCAACUCUGGUUUCUACUAUUCAGGUCCAUUCCCAGAUGAACUGGUUCAAAUUUGAGAAAAUGGUAACAGACCUUUAGUGAUGUUGGUUUGGAGCCAGUUGCCAAACCCGCCCUGAGCUUUACCACUAAUGUCAAGGGAGAAAGCCAUUUGAACAAAAACAAUAGCUUCAAGAGACUGAAUCGUGGAUGAAAUCUGAUCCACAUUUCUUCUCAUUUUGGGAAAAAAUGAGAACUUAACUACAAAGAUUCUACUGCCUCAUUCAUAGUGCUUUUCCUGAUCCAAGGUUGGUUCGUUUCCCAAAUUGUGAGGUGCACGUGCCACUCUCACGCUCAGGAGUGUAUCCACGUGGUGGACAUCAGAUGGUGGCUUAAUAUCUGGUGUCGGUGGCUUUACUUUACUAGGAGAGUAGUGUGUCUUCAUCUCAUUCACUGCCGGAGGGUGGCGUAAGCAGUGACGCUAAGGUGGGGCACAGUCAAUAUCAUUUGCAUUUGACCAUUAUAGUUUUCUCCCGGCUUGAAAGUAACCUUAUCGUGAUAAAGGAUUACUAGCACUAGUUCAGAUGACCGUCAUGUUAAUUCGGACCAUGUUUGUGUCACAUUAUCAGCAACCAUGUGUUUAUGGUUCAUGCUAUCUGCAACUAAACUUGAUAUAUAACCAGGUGAACUUCAAUCAAAAUUCUGGAAGUACUCUUGUGAUAGAUGGUGCCUGUCUGCAGAGUCCAUCAAUUGAAAAAUGGAGUGAGUGUAUCUAUAAGAGGGAAGGCUUGGCAAAUGUUCAGUUUUCUGGGAAUUCAACAAGGAUCUAAAAUAGAUUGUUUUCUUUGCCGACUUCAAUGGUUGAAAUUUGAGAAGAUUGUGUCCACAUAUCACAACUAUUACUGGUCCUUCUGUUGCAAUUUAUCCUGUAAGGCUCUAACAUGUCUUCCAAUUCCCACUUCCCUGUUACUCCAGGAAAGCUAUUUCUGUCAUUGUGAAGAAGAAAAGAGAAUGUACAUAUCGAUGCUUUUAAGUGACUGGAGCAUUCAUAUCAGGUGGUCUGCAGCCAUAUAUGCCACUUUGUGAAGGUUGGAACAGUCAAUCACUAGGCUAUAUAUUGGUGUGGCCCAGCCACUUCAAUCAAGGACAAGUCUUCAUACUUAAAGUCAAAUUCUGCCUUUAGUCUCAUUAUAAAUUGCUGUUUAAAUAUUAAGCAAACUUUUGUUUAAUGCGAUUAAGACAGUACUAACUCAAUACUUGUUCUAUUUUUGGAUGCAAAUGCUUGAUGGUUUCAUCAUUGGAUGGGAUAAAGGUGCAUUCAUGAUUAUGAAUACUUGUAGUUAUAUUUUCAUUCUCUUUUUUCUCAAUGAGACUUGUUGGCACAAUGUUGCUGUUCAGAAACCUACCUCUCCAUGGAAAAUAAGUUGCGAUUGAUAGUACUGGAUAUGUUCAAGAAAGCUAAAUAUAGAUAGCACAAAAUAUUAUCGAUAUAAAUAGCAUUAACAGCGUACGUAUGUCUCAAUGCUCAUCAGCUAUAAGCAUGGGACAAACACUUACUAUGAGCAACUUACGUCAAAAUUCCAGAAUAGGACAUAGAAGUGACAGAUCUAUAUAUAUAGAACACUGCAUAUGAGUCACAAGAAAGGAAAUUACGGGUGCAUAGCAGCUCUUAUUUUACAUACUACUACUCAUACUGAUCAAAGUCACUCAGUUGGGAUGGGUGGGAGUAGGAGGUUUGUGGGGUGGCUUGUGCGGAGGAGUUGGCAGCUUCUUUCCAGGACCUGGUUGCUUCUCUGCUGGAGUUGAAGGAGGCUUAAUCUUCCGAGGUGGCUUGUAUGAGUCUUCAGCAUUCUCAGCUGGAGGGUGACCAGGGUUGUGACCAUAAUGUGGUGGCUUCUCUCCCUUAGGUGGUUUGCCAACUGGGGUUGGUGGCUUGUAUGAGUCUUCAGCAUUCUCAGCAGGAGGGUGACCAGGGUUGUGACCAUAAUGUGGUGGCUUCUCUCCCUUAGGUGGUUUGCCAACUGGGGUUGGUGGCUUGUGUUCUGGGAGUGGCUUCUCCCCCUUGGGAGGUUUUUCCAAUGGGGUUGGUUUGUGUUCAGGAGGUGGCUUCUCCACUGGAGGCUUGUGUUCAGGAGGUGGCUUCUCCACCGGUGGCUUGUGUUCAGGAGGUGGCUUCUCCACCGGAGGCUUAUGCUCUGGUGGUGGCUUCUCCACCGGAGGCUUAUGCUCUGGUGGUGGCUUCUUGAAUGGGGGAUGCUGAGGGUAAUCAGCAAGUGAGGGGGCGGUGAGAACCACCAGGCCAAGCAACACCACUAGCAAAUAUGUAGGAGACAUCUUUGGGUUUGGGCUCAGAUGGUGCAAAACUAGGAGAAUUGGCUAGCCUUUUAUAGCGGAUCGUACUCAAUAAUGAAAUGACACGUGUCAUUAUGACCCAUGUGUAAUGGGGUCGAUUUGGGUCCUACAGUGUUGAAAACUUCGACAUCCAGUUUUGGCCUUUUGCUUUCUCUACAGCCGCCUUGCUUUUUCCCUCUUUCCUUUUGUUUUCCUCCUGCCCCAUUCUAUCAACUAAACACAAUUAUGUAGUUGUUUAAUUCUUAAAUGAGAUAUUAUCGGUCAAUCGUAUUAUAUUUUAUCAAGAGAGAACGGAGUGCAAUGCAGCUGUAAUUUUAUCGUUUACUUUUAUCUCUUGGACCACUGCAUUUUUGUUAAGAGGUGCAAUAAUACACGUCUUUAUCUGCCAUUCAAUGUUUACAGUAAAGAGAGGGCACAAAACUCUUCACUGCUCUGCAUGUGUCCCAAAAAUGCGAUUGGACAAAUUAUGAUUUGCAUGCUAAAAAGAGGCAAAUGAGGUUAAUUCGCACCAUAAUUAUUUGGUUUUCUGGACACCAUAAAAAGAUGUUAUACAGGCAGGGAAAAACCUUCAGAGUUAGCUACCAAAGAUAAUUAUCAAGCAGAUAUCACCAAGAGAAUUCCAUAGAGUCUGAAUCAAAGACAGAUUGCUCGCUCGUGGGGGUUCUUACUUUCUUUUGGGUAUAACUCACUGAGGUCACUGUCUUUUUUAUUUGCAUUUCACAGUUAGAGUUCUGCUCUGGAAGGUUUGUUCUGGAAACAUAUAAAAGGAGCAUCAUUUUGUUCUUGGGUAACCCAUAGUCGUGAGUGGGUCCAUUUGCAUGCUACUUAGUUGAAAAGUUGGACAAUUUGCUCCGACGCCUACCUCCUGGAUUCCAUGCUCGGUAAAACAAGAAUAAAAAAAAAUAUAUAAUUUACAAAUGGGGGAAAGAAAAAAUGUCGGAAAAAAUAGUAAAAUUCAUGUCACAUGCUAGUGAGAGAAGGGGUUGUUACACUCACUCGAAGUUCUUUUCAAAAUAUCGAAUGGUAUUUUACUUUAUGUGUCAGCGCAGUUGUGAAUGGAACGUGCAAAAGUCCAAAUUGGCGUUUUUAUUUUUCCCAUGUAGGAUGGUGACCUUUAAUAAAUAUUUAAAACAAAAGACGAAAAAAAAAAGGAGGGAAAAGGGAUCACAAAAGAUAAAAUAAUGUUUACAAAAGCUCAAUUAGUUUGCAAAUUACUGUUUGGAUUUUGAUAGUAUUUUAUUUGUCGUUCUAUAUUUGAUGUAAAAGAGAAUUUAAGAUAUUUCCGAAGCAAAAGCAUUAGUUUGCUCUGUGAUGUCCCACAUCGAAUAGGGGAGAAAGUUUCUGGCGCUAUAUAUGUAGAGGCUCCUCUUAACCAAGUAGAUGCGUUUUAAAACCAUGAGGGCCCCCUUAGGUCCAAAGCGGACAAUAUCUACAUGAUUGGGUGUAAGUCAUUACAAAUGGUAUCAGAGCCGAUCCCCGACCCCGGUGUGGGGGUUUGUUUGGCCCUGUAAGGGGUGUUUGUCUGUUUGACCCCACAAUCCCAUGGGACACAACGAGGACGUUGUGUCUGCAUGGGGGGGCGUUUGUGAUGUCCCACAUCGGAUAGGGGAGAAAGUUCCUAGUGCUAUAUAUGUAGAUGUUUCUCUUAACCAAGUAGAUGCAUUUUAAAAUUGUGAGGGCCUCUUUGGGCCCAAAGCGGACAAUAUCUACAUGGUUGAGUGUAAGUCAUUACAUGCUCCAUGUCAAUUUCAGCAUUUCUCAUAUGUUUCACACAUACACAGAAGAGCAUCGUUUUUUAAAGCAUGCAUUUAUGUUGGAUUAAUUUGGAUUUUGUGGGAACUGGGGCAAGGAUCACAUGGAAGAGAGGUUGACUUUUUUCAGUACUUCAAUGGUUGAAAUAUGUGAAGGCUUGAUUGAUACUAAAGCUUGAAAUUGCGACUCUGUCAUUUGUAAAAAAAUAUGACAGCUUCCAUGCUCUCGUUUGGUUGCAUUGUCCGGUCGAGAGGUGCAAAAAGCAUUCUCUCUCUUCUAAUAGUCUUUUCGUUUAAAUCAAGGGAUUUGCCUUCCCGGUCGAGGUCCAAUAGAGGGUAACGGUCACCUACUAAACAUUAAAUGCUCCAACAACUAGUGAACUGAUCGACCCCAGCUCGACUAGUUGAGGUUACUUUUUGGUUUUCUUGUCUCCCGAGGUUAGAAACCUAUAAAUAGAGAGCUUCACUUCAUUUAUGAGUAAGAGAACACCUAAAUUUAUUUGUUUACCUACUUGUUUUUGCCAUAAAAGCUCUCAUUUCUUUUCUUGGUGUAUUAAAUCUCCAUUUGCAUAUCCUUUAGUGCACCUUUGUGAUUCAUUCUAGCCUUGAGUUGUAUUUAAGCCUUUGUUGAGCUAGGUUGAGAGUUUCAUACUUGUUUAUUGAGUGUUAAAGCCUUCAAGUGAGUUAAAACUUGAAGAGAUUGUGUAAGAGCCCAUUGGAGUCGGAAUCCAAGUGUAAAGGUGAUUAAAAGCUUGGUUGAAGCUUCAAGUUAGUGGAACUCUCACUCGGUUAUGAGCUUGAGAAGAGUGGACAUAGACAAGGCAGUGUCGAACCACUAUAAAAUCUGAGUUUGAUUUCUCUAACCUUAUCUCUUUAUAUUUGCUUCUCUUGUGCUUAAAUUUUUUGUGUUUAAAAAGAAUUUUUAAAAACUCAAUUCACCCCCUUCUUGGGAGUUUUUCUCUUUUAAGAUCAGCUUUUAUUUUCUCAAUUGGUAUCAGAACUAUGCCUCUUGUUUAAGACUUAAUCGUCUAAGAGGAAAUGGCUAAUCCAUCAAGUUCAUCUCACAUUGAAAGUUUUGCAACCAAUAGACUUCUUUUUUUUUUUUUGCGGGAACUGAUUAUCCCUAUUGGAAAACUAAAAUGACUUGGUUUUUACAAUCAAUUGAUUUAGAUGUAUGAGAUGCCAUUGAAGAUGACCUAACUUUUCCUUCAAAACUAGUUGAUGGAGUCAUGGUUCCAAAACCUAAGCAAGAAUGGGAUGAGCGUGAUUGAAGAAAUUUUCAAUUAAAUGCUAAAGUCGUUUAUACUUUGCAAUGCUCUAUGGACAGAAAUGAAUAUAAUAGAAUAUGUCAAUGCAAAUCGGUUAAAGAAAUUUGGAGAUUGCUUGAAAUAACUCAUAAAGGAACAAAUCAAGUUAAAGAGUCAAAAAUCAAUUUACUUGUUCAUAGAUAUGAAUUGUUUUUUAUGAAAGAUAAUGAAACUAUUGUUAAGAUGAUCACUAGGUUCACCAACAUUGUUAAUGGUCUUAAAGCCUUGGGAAAGACCUACAAGGAAUCCGAAAACGUGAUGAAGAUCUUGAGGUCACUUCCAUCAAAGUGGCAUACCAAGGUCACCGCAAUUUAAGAAGCAAAAGACUUGAUCAAGCUACCUUUGGAGGAGUUCAUAGGGUCAUUGAUGACAUAUGAAAUCAAUUUGGCAAAGAAGUAACAAAAAGGUGAAGACAAAAAGAAGAAGAACAUAACUCUCAAAGCUACAACUAAGGAAGAAGAAGUUGAAGAAGAAAAACAAAUUGAAGAAGAUGAAGAUUUAGCCCUCAUCACAAGAAAGUUCAACAAAUUCAUGAGGGGUGAAAGGUUUAGAAGAAGAAGGUUCACUUCUAGAAGAGACUUUUCUAAAAAGGAAUCUUCAUCUAAUGGUGACAAAAAGAGAUGGGAAGAGAAAAGAGACUUGGUGUGUUUCAAGUGCAAGAAACCGGGACACAUUAAAUAUGAUUGUCCUCUCUACAAAAGUGAAGUCAAGAGGAAAAAGAAUAAGGCAAUGAUGGCCACUUAGAGUGAAAGUGAAGAUGAAUCAUCCGAAGAAGAAAAUGAGAAAGAAGUGGCAAACAUGUGUUUCAUGGCAAUAGAUGAACUUGAUGAGGUAAAAUCUAACCUUAGUGAUUAAGAUAUACAUGAUGCAUUUGAAGAAUUGUAUGAGGAUUUUUAAAAACUUAGUUUGAAAAAUAUUUCUCUUAAAAAGAAAGUUCAACAACUUGACAAAGAACUUAGAGAAGUAAAAGAAAAAUUUUCAAAUGUUAAAGUUUCUAAAACUCAUCUUGAAAAAGAAAAUGAGAUUCUAAGAAAGAAAAAUGAAUAGUUGAACUCCUCUCUUUCAAUCUUUUCUUCUAGACAAAAAUCUUUUGAAAUGAUUCUAACUAGCUAAAAAUGUGUUUUUGACAAACAAGGGUUAAGAUUUAAAUCUUCAAAAAAUCAAAAGUAUUUUAAAAACUAUUUUGUAAAGGAAUCCACAAGUGCAAGUCCUUCCACUACUUGCAACUUUUGUGGAAGAGAAUGGCACAUUAGUAGUACGCCCUUUAAGAAAUGGUUCUCAAAAGAAUUUAAAUGCAAAAACUAAAAAAGAUUUGGAUUGAGAAAUCCAAGGUCACUAACCCUCAAGGACCCAAAAAGAUAUAGGUACCUAAAUCAACUUGAGUUUUAUGUUGUAAGGUUCAAAGAAUGAUAAGUGGUUCUUAGAUAAUGGUUGCUCAAGACACAUGACCGGAGAUGAAUCCAAGUUUGCUUUUCUUAAAAAGAAAAAUGGAGGAUAUGUUACCUUUGGAGACAAUGCAAAAGAAAGGAUGAUUGGUCAAGGCAACAUUGGUAAUGGCACAUCCUCUCUCAUUGAAAGUGUUUUAUUAGUAGAUGGUUUCAAACAUAACCUUUUAAGCAUUAGUCAAUUUUGCGACAAAGGUUUUUAAGUGAUUUUUUAAGCAUCUCAUUGCAUCAUCAAGGAUAUUCAAAAUGAUAAAACCAUUUUCAUGGGCCAUAGAUGUGAUAAUGUUUAUGCUAUAAAUAUUUCAAAAUAUGAUGGCCAUGAUAGAUGUUUUUCAAGCAUGCAUGAUCAAAGUUGGUUGUGCCAUAGGAGAUUGAGACAUGCUAACAUAGACCUCAUUUCCCAACUCAACAAAGAUGAACUUGUUAGAGGCCUUCCCAAAAUAAUUUUUUAAAAAGAUAAAGUUUGUGAAGCUUGUCAAGUGGGAAAGUAAAUCAAAAACUCUUUUAAAAACAAAAACUUCAUUUCCACAUCUAGGCCACUUGAGUUGUUGCAUAUGGAUUUAUUUGGUCCCUCUAGGACACCAAGUCUUAGAGGAAAUUCUUAUGCAUAUGCUAUUGUGGACGACUUCUCUAGAUACACAUGAGUCUUGUUUUUUAGUCAAAAGAAUAAAGUUUUUUAUGAGUUUUCAAAGUUUUGCAAUAAGAUUCAAAAUGAAAAAGGUUUUUCAAUUACUUAUAUAAGAAGUGAUCAUGGGAGAGAAUUCGAAAAUAUUGAUUUUGAAGAGUAUUGCAAUGAGCAUGGAAUUGACCACAAUUUUUUGGCUCUUAGAACUCCUCAACAAAAUGGGGUAGUUGAAAGGAAAAAUAGAACUCUUCAAAAAAUGACAAGAACCAUACUAAAUGAAAACAACUUACCAAAAUAUUUUUAGGCCAAAACGGUUAACACUUCUUGUUAUGUUUUAAAUAGAGUAUUAUUGAGGCUCAUACUUAAGAAAACUCCCUAUGAGCUUUGGAAAAACAAAAAACCCAACAUUAGUUAUUCCAAAGUCUUUGGAUGCAAUAUUUUAUAAUAAACACCAAAGACAAUCUUGGAAAAUUUGAUGCAAAAUUGGAUGUUGGAAUUUUCCUUGGUUACUCAACUUCAAGUAAAGCUUUUCGAGUUUUAACAAAAGAACCAUGGUUGUAGAGGAGUCCAUCCAUGUUAUUUUUUAUGAAUCUCCAAGAAAGAGAGAGGAUUGAUGAUGAUUUAGGUUUGAAGACCUCUAUAGGAAGAUUGCAAAUCGAAGAUAGAAGACAACAAGAAGAAAAUGGAGAGAAUCCAAAGAAAGAAGGAUCACCAUUGGCACUACCCCCUCAUCAACAAGCGCAAGGUGAAUCAAGUCAAGAGCUUCCUAAAGAAUGGAAGUUUGUCAUCAAUCACCCACAAGAUCAAAUUAUAGGCAAUCCAUCUAGUGGGGUAAGAACUAGAUCCUCUCUUAGAAAUAUUUGCAAUAAUCUAGCUUUUAUCUCUCAAAUUGAGCCUAAAAAUAUAAAUGAUGUUUUAGAUGAUGAAAAUUGGAUAAUUGCAAUGCAAGAAGAGUUAAAUCCAUUUGAAAGAAGUGGAGUAUGGGAAUUAGUACCAAGACCUUCAAAUCAAAGUGUUAUUGGAACUAGAUGGAUCUUUAGAAAUAAAAUGGAUGAAAAUAGCAUAAUUGUUAGAAAUAAAGCAAGAUUGGUAGCCCAAGGUUUUAAUCAAGAAGAAAUGAUAGAUUAUGAAGAAACCUUUGCCCCCGUAGCUAGGUUGGAAGCCAUUAGGAUGCUACUUGCCUUUGCAUGUUUUAAAGACUUUGUUUUAUAUCAAAUGGAUGUGAAAAGUGCUUUUUUAAAUGGUUUUAUAAAUGAAGAAGUAUAUGUUGAACAACCACCCGGUUUUCAAAGUUUCAACUUUCCUAACCAUGUUUUUAAACUUAAAAAGACACUUUAUGGUUUGAAACAAGCACCUAGAUCAUGGUAUGAAAAAUUGAGUAAAUUUCUUUUGAAAAAAAUGUUUUAAAAUGGGAAAAAUUGACACAACUCUUUUUAUAAAAACCAAAGAAAAUGAUAUGCUCUUAGUUCAAAUAUAUAUUGAUGAUAUCAUUUUUGGUGCUACUAAUGUCUCUCUUUAUGAAGAAUUUUCUAAGUGCAUGCAUAGUGAGUUUGAAAUGAGCAUGAUAGGAGAACUCAACUUCUUCCUUGGACUUCAAAUCAAGCAACUAAAGGAAUGAACCUUCAUCAAUCAAGCAAAGUAUAUAAGAGAUCUUCUCAAAAGGUUCAACAUGGAAGAAGCCAAAACAAUGAAGACUCUAAUGAGCUCAUCCAUUAAGCUUGAUAAGGAUGAGAAAGGUAAAUCCAUUGACUCUAUUAUGUAUAGAGGCAUGAUAGGUUCUUUGCUCUAUUUGACCACUAGUAGACCUUACAUUAUGUAUAGUGUGUGUUUGUGUACUAGAUUUCAAUCUUGUCUUAAAAAAUCUCACUUAAGUGUCGUGAAAAGAAUCCUCAAAUAUUUGAAAGGGACAAUGGACAUAGGCUUAUGGUAUCCUAAGAGUGAUAACUUUGAAUUAAUUGGUUUUUUGGAUGCUGAUUUUGUCAGUUGUAGGGUUGAAAAAUAAAACACUAGUGGCACUUUUCAUUUCUUAAGACACUUACUUGUCUCAUGGCAUAAUAAGAAGCAAAAUUUGGUAGCUUUGUCAACAGCAGAAGCUAAAUACAUAGCAACUGGUUUAUGUUGUGCACAAAUCCUUUGGAUGAAAUAAACACUUAGUGAUUUUGAUUUAUCUUUUGAGCAUAUUCCUAUUAAAUGUGAUAAUAGUAGUGCCAUAAGUAUAUCAAAAAAUCUCGUGCAACACUCUAGGACUAAGCAUAUAGAGAUUAGACAUAAUUUUCUUAGAUAUCAUACACAAAAGGAUGAUAUAACACUUGAAUUUGUAAGCAUAAAAGACCAACUUGCCGAUAUCUUUACAAAACCUCUAAGAACAUUUUGUUGAUAUUAGAGGACAAUUAGGAGUGAUUUCUUUAUGAUCUAAUGUGAUGAAUUCUUGAUGAAUAUACUUUUUGAUUGCAUGAAUUUCAUGUCAUAUAUGCAUCAUAUAGAAAUAUACUUAGAUAAUGGUCAAAUUUCGACCAAAAAUCAAAAUUCCCAUGGCAUUAGGCAUAAAAAUUUUGGAAUUUCAACUGAAAAUGGUAGGAGGAGGAUCACAAAAUGAGAAAGUAUGCAAAAAUUGAAAAAUCAAAACGUUGACCAAGCGGUCAAUCGGACUAGACCGAUCGACUAGUUUGUCGAGAUUUAGGAUUUUUAAGAGACUCCAACGCUUCAAUUUUUGCACCGUUCUCCUCUAUUUCUUCACGGUUUCUCUGAUUUUGUCUUUUAGAGACUAAUUUGAGUGCGUUUUGGAUCAAUUGAAGCAUUUUGGAUUGGAUUUUAGGAAGAUUGAAAGUUAAGGUUUCGGAUUUGGGUCGCCUUCUCUUCCUCUCGCGUGUCACAAUCAGCUUUAGCAUUGUUCUCUUUCCAUUUUCACACACCUAGGGUUUCAGUUGUGAGCAUCUCUCUCUCUUUACCAACCACUACUCCCUUGCUUCUUCCAUAUGGCUCCUAGGCGAGAGUCCGCUACUUCUAGGGCACAAGGCAAGCACCCAACUGAGUCGUCUCAGUCAAAGGCACGUCGAAAAGUGAGAUUUGACAUUGCCUUGUUCAGUUCCAUGGAGGACUACCAACUAUACAAGCAACACUUUGCUUAGAGACGAGUAGUUCCCAAGAGAAAUAUUAAUUUUCCUCAACUUCAGCAUUUCGAAUUUAAGGGUCUAUUUACUAGGAUGGUUGGUUGUCUAUUGUCACAAUUUCGGAGCCGGUUUUCCUGACCUUAGUGCGAGUUUUUUACUCGAGGGCGACUUAUGGCAUGGGUGGCAUGAUCAUUUCUACUGUUGGAGGAGUUGAGAUCUGUCUGGACCCAGAGAGCAUCUGCCAUAUUUUCGAUAUUGCUCUGGUUGGACUCAAAGUAUACAAGUCCAAAAUGUGGCCCAUUGUGCCAGGAUUUGAGCUUAGAGAGGUCAUUCAGAGGAUUUGUGAACUUCCAGACGCCCAGGAGAUGGGCAAACCAUUGCCACACAGUUUGACGGUCAUCAACAGGGUGCUACACCAUAUAUUGUGCUCUAUCUUUCUACCACGAAGUGGACAUUGAGAUGAGGUCUCUUAUUAUGAGGCAUUCCUUAUUGACUCCAUUCUAACGGAGAGACGAAUUCAUCUACUAUGUCAUCAUUCACUAAGCCUCCUCACAGUGACAUACCACCUCAUCAGGCACCUCUUGCUCCUGACCAUGCUCCAUUGAUGGAUUUAUUUACUCAUAUUAGCUCUCUAGGCACUCGCAUGAAGGAGUUUGUUGUAGUUAGUGAUACAUGGUUCUACUCCAUAGAGGAUCGCAUGGAUCAGUAUCAGACUGGCUUCACGUCACAGUUUGAGUAUCUCCAAUAGAGGAUUGAGCAUAUUGAGGAUCACUUGAGCAUGAGAAGAUGAUGGCUUUUCUAUGCUCUGUGUUUCCACCUCCACCUCGUCAACCUUGAUUUCUUAGAGACCCAUUGUUUUCAUUUUGUAAUGUUGCCAAAAGGGGGAGAUAUUUAGGAUCUAGGACUCUAUAGGAGACUUACAUGCAUAUCAUUUUCAUAUCAUUGUUUGGAUCGUACAUAUUGGAUAGUGAUACUUUUUACUUAUAUAUGAUAUGCCUAUAUGUUUCAUGUCUUACAUUGUUUCUUAUUGCAAAUUAUCUCUAACAUGUCUUGAUUAUCUUUUUUUUAACUUCAUAAAUUUUGAUUGUUAACCCAUGAUUGGUUUGAGGGGAAGAUUCUUCUUCUCCUAGAUAACCAAGGUUUGUCAUCAUAAAAAAAUUGGAGAUUGUUAGCCCAAGGGUUCUCCUAAUCAUGUUUUGAUGAUAACAAACCAUGCUUAAGUUACUAAUUGGUUUGAAUUAUAAAGAAUUUCAAGUGUUAAUUUGAAAAUUCAUCAAAGAACCUAAUGGAUGCAAGAUCAAGAUUUUUGGAAGACCUUUAAUCAUAAGAAACAUAUGUAAGAUGAAUGCAUGGGUGCACUUAAGAUUUGCAUAUCAUUUCAUGCAUAUUUGGAAAACACGGUUUAUGCUUUAAAGUUACAUUUCCAUCAAAAUUUGAGAUCCAUCAAAUGAACCUUAGGAAAAAUGUUUUAAAAUUGGCAUAUAAUUUUACCUAAAGACCUUGCCUAAGUGUUAGAAGCAAAAGGACAAAAAAAAUAUAGGUUUUCUGGUCAAAAAUGGUGAACCAGUCAAGGCAUUGUCUAAAUCAGCUCAAUCGGCCAAGGUACCGGUCGAUCGGUUUCCCUUUCCCUGUCGAGAUCUAGUCAAGAGGUACAAAAAUCACAAUCUCUGUCUCUUUCUCUCUUUGUCUAUCUUCCAGUAGUCUUUCCUUCCCGGUCGAGGGAUUUGCCUUCCCGAUUGAGGUCCGAUUGAGAGUAAUAGUCACUUGCCAAAUAUUAAAUGCUCCAACAGUUAGUGAACUGGUCGACCCCCACCUUGCCCAGUUGAGGUUACUUUUUGGUUUUCUUGGCUCCCGAUGUUAGAAACCUAUAAAUAGAGAGUUCCACUUCAUUUAUGAGCAAGAGAACACUUGCAUUUAUUUGUUUACCUACUUGUUCUUGCCUUAAAAGCUCUCAUUUCUUUUCUUGGUGCAUUAAAUCUCCAUUUUGAUAUCCUUUAGUGCACCUUUGUGAUUCAUCUUAGCCUUGAGUUGUAUUUGAGCCCUUUUUUUAGCUAGGUUGAGAGUUUCAUACUUGUUAAUUGAGUGUUAAAGCCUUCAAGUGAGUUGAAACUUGUAGAGAUUAUGUGAGAGUCGAUUGGAGCCGAAAUCCAAGUGUAAAGGUGAUUAGAAGCUUGGUUGAAGCUUCAAGUUAGUGGAAUCCUCACUCAAUUAGGAGCUUGAGGAGAGUGGACGUAGCCAAGGAAGUGUCGAACCACUAUAAAAUUUGAGUUUGAUUUCUCUAACAUUGUCUCUUUAUAUUUGUUUAUCUUGUGCUUAAAUUUAUUGUGUUUAAAAAGAAUUUUUAAAUACCCAAUUCACCCCCCUCUUGGGUGUUUUUCUCUUUUAAAAUUAGCCUUUAUUUUCUCACAAACUAUUGUAGUAUAGUGGUUUUUAGGUGUCAUCCAUUAGGAUGAAUUGUUCUCGGUAAUUAAGGCGUGAAUGAGAGGAGAAUUAAUGAUUGUGAUUAAGUAAAAUUGAUUUGAAAAUUCAUGGUGAAAAAUCAAUUUAACAAUGGUUUCUAAUUGAGAAAAACAAUGAAAUGUGAAAUAAAAUAAAAUUAAUAGGAAAUGAAAUUCUCGAAGUUAGAAUUUUCUAAAAAACAAAUUCCAUGGUGAAUGGAUGUUGAGAUCUAAUUUUCAUCAAGUUAGAUUGAAAACCGAAAUUUUCAUAUAAACUGAUUUUUUAUUUAGUUUUAGGUCUAGAUUUAAUUUCCCUUAAAAUUAGGUUAUUUAAUCCAAGAAAUCAAUUCAAAUCAUAUAUUCAAUUCAUCUUAAAUUAUCUUCCAAUUAUUCACACAAUGCAACUAUUCAAUCUCAUCAAAUCUAGCUUUUAAGAAUUUAAUGAAUCUACCUAGUUUGCAUUGUAAUAGUCAUCCAUGACAAUUUGAAGAGAAAAAUAAUUCAAUUAAUCAAUCACUUGGAUCAAAUUACCUUUGCAAUUAAAGUUCAUUUCUCUAAUUCACCACAGAUUUUGUCUCUAGAUCCUCCUUUCUCAAAGAAAAAUGAGAUUUAGCCACACAUGAUUGGAGAUUUGGUCUCAUAAGGCAUGUUUAGCUAGUGAUAAAAUGAGAGAAAAUAAAGAAAAAUAGAGAAUUCGAUUAAGAAAGAAAAUCUAAAAAAUUCUACAAUUAGAAAUGUCCAAAAAGCUUUUUCAUGAGAAAAUCAAGUUUCUAUUUAUAGGCCAAGGUCAAGUGGACACUUGACAUCAUCUAAGAGGUCUUCCGGAAGCUUCUUCAUCAAGAAAUCUGGAGUUUAAUAAUAAAAUGGUCAUUUCACAAGAGCUCAAACAAUUUCGCAUGAUUAUGUGAAAUAAAAAAUGCAACAACAGCAAUUUACAUCUUCUUGGAGCAUUUCGCAUGACUGUGUGAAAUUUUCACAUGAUCAUGUGGAAUCGACUUGACAACUCUCAUUUAGCCUACAACAUAAUUCCACCUUUUGGUCCAUUUUUCAUAGUCAUGCGAAAUGGAAAUAUUUGAUUUUUAAGUUUUCUUUUGUCAUUUCUUUCAUUUCCUUCUCUUGAUUCCACUUCAACUACCUCCGAAUCCUGGUCCAAACCAAUUGCAUUACUUCUUUCAUUAUGCAUUUGGAUCAUCAUCAACAUUAUUUGUUCUCUUCAAUUUGAUUCAUCUCUUUUGUCACCAAUUUAUCAAAAUCAUACCUUGAAAUGACUCCAAAACUUCAUAAAACUUGUUAGUAACUCUUGCAAGGGCAACAACAUAUUAAUUAAGUGUUUUAGGCAUAGUUACUACUCAAAAGAUGCGAAACUCAUGAUAAUUAUUAUAUAAAAUAUGCUCUUUUUGAGUAGUAAUCAACUUUCUUGCAUAAGCAGACCUUUUAGGGUGGAGUACUAAAGACCAAUAUGCUUGUCCUUGUUGUAAUAAAGAAACUUGCUCUUAUUGAUUGCACCAUGGGAGAAAAUUUUGCUACAUGAGUUAUCAUCAAUUUCUUCCCACCAAUCAUAGAUUUAGACGUGACAAGAGGCCUCUUAAUGGCAAGGAGGAACUGACACUCACACUUAUACAAUUAUCGGGCAUUGAUGUGUUGCAACAAUUAGAAUAACUUACACCAAUUAUGUUGGGGAAGUCACAAAAGGCAAACAUGAAAACUAAAAGGAAAAAAGAAAAAUGUUACAUAUCACCACAACUGGAAAGAAAAAAGUAUUUACUUUCAUUUGCCAUAUUGGAAAGCACUUAUUUUACAUCAUAAUAAUUUAGACAUAAUGCAUAUUGAGAAAAAUGUGUGACAAUAUAAUUGAGACAUUGUUCAGUAUUGACGAAGAAACAAGGACAACCUAAAUAGUCAUCUCGAUUUACAAGCUCUAACUAUUAGAAAUGAGAUUCACCCAAUAGAAAGCAGGACCAAAUUUAUUUUGCUUGCAACAUGCUACUCACUCACCCCAAAUGAGAUUAAGGAAUUUUGCAAGUUUUUGAAAUCAAUAAAGGUCCCCAAUGGCUAUUCUUUCAAUAUCUCUCGUUAUGUGCAACUCAAUGAAAGGAAGAUAUAUGAGCUCAAAUUGUAUGAUUGUCAUGUCCUAAUGCAACAACUUCUCUCACUUGUAGUUCGUGGAGUUCUACAUAAGAAUGUUUGUGGAGUUAUCAUAGAAUUGCGUAAUUUUUUCAAGCAAUUGUGCUCAAAGGUGUUAGAAACAAAUCACUUACACCAACUUGAGAACAAUAUUAUUGUCAUACUAUGUAAAAUGGAGCAAAUAUUUCUUCCAUCAUUCUUUGAUAUUAUGGUGCAUUUACUUGUGCAUCUAGUAAGGCAAAGGUUGCAAGACUUGUGCAAUAUUGUUGGAUGUACCUAAUUGAACGAUAUUGUUAUAAUUUCAUAUGAAUCAUUUAAUUUUAUUUUAUAUUAUGUUCAGUUCAUUAACAUGUACAUUGGUCUACAUAUGGAUGAUGAUAGGUACCUAAGCACUUUAAAGUCAUAUGUGCGUAAUAGAACUUUUCUAGAAGGUUCUAUUGUAGAAAGGUACCUUGCAAAAGAAUGUACAACAUUUUAUUCUAGGUACUUGAAUGAUGUGGAAAUAAAGUAUAAUCACAAUGAUAGAAACUUUGUUGGUUUCAACACUAGAGGAGAUGAAAGGGGUUAUCUUUAAACAUAUUGGACAUGCAUUGGGAAAGCCCAUAUUUCAUUAACUUAGUUCAAAAGAGUGGUCACAAGCACAUUUAUAUGUGUUGACAAAUUGCGAAGAUGUCAUACCAUUCAUUGAGUAAAAAAUUUAUUUGAAUUUUAAUUAAAGCUCUAGUUUAUAUCCUUAAUCAAUGUUUUUUAAAUUCACAAGGAGCACAAGCAAACCAUCAAGGCUAGACCACAUAUACGUGUUUGAGACGUAGAUUUAAUUCAUAACAAGGAAUUUAUCAAGUGGUUUGAAAGACAUGUAAGUAUAUUCCUUAUUAUAAGGGAUUUAUUUCACAUUAUGUUUAUAUUGAAUCCAAACCUAUUAUUGAAUUGUAGGUUGAACAAUUACAUAAUGAAGGUCAUAUAUCUGAACACCUUCUCACAUUAUCAUGUGUUCCAAAUUCAUUAGUUACAUGCUUCAAAUGAUAUAUUGUCAAUGGAUUUAGAUCCCACAUUAAAGAACGUGAUAAAAAAGUUUUUAAAAAAAGACUCAGAAUAAUGGAAUUGUUGUAGUUGCAAAAACGUCAAGCUUUACAAGUGCAUGUGAUAUGAGUCCAAUUAUUAGUGAUGCUCUCUACUAUGGUGUUCUAACUAAAGUUGUUGAGUUACAUUAUCUUGGUGAAAAUAAGGUUGUUUUAUUCGAGUUUGAUUGGUGGGAUGUUACAAAUAUUGGAAAAUUGAUAAAAGAUGAUGAGUACAAUUACACAUUUGUUAACUUUGCAUGAAUUCUAACCACGAACGAACGAUUUGUACUUGCAUCUCCAGCAAAGUAAGUGUUCUAUGUGAAGAAUGCGAAUGAAUCAGAUUGGCAUACUAUCAUGGAGAUGCAACCUCAAGACCUCUAUAAGAUGAACGGGAUAGGAUCCAAUGGUGAUUUUGAACCAUUUCAACAAAGUGAACUACAUGAUCACUAAUAUAUCUCAGAUUUAGUUGAUGAAGAUAUAAUCAAGUGGAACAAAAGUGAUGUUUUAGGACUAAUCAUCCUAAAAAAUAUUGUAGUUUCUUAAAAAAAAAAUGAAAAUGAAGAAGAUAAUUGAACCUUUGUCAUACUUUAAAAAGCAACUAUGCAUUGUUCAUUUUGUAUGUUUUGGUUUUCUUCAUUUAAUUUCCUGAUUUUUGUGAUUCAAUGUCAUAUUAUUGAUCUUGAAAUAUUUUUCUAAUUUUUCAUUCUACGAUGGUUUCAACAAGGAUGACAUCAAGUCAAAAAAGGAAAUGUGGUCCCACACACAAUAUUGCAUUACAGGGAUUAAGGUCAGGGAAGAAGGUAAAAGUUGCAUUUAAUGAGUACAAUCAAUUGGUUAAACAGAAAAAUGGAAAACACUUAUCGAGCUACAUAGGGACACUUGUAUCUAACCAACACAAUGUACCUCUCCAAGCUAGUGAUUGGAAAAAUGUUCCAAAUGAUGCAAAAGAGAAAGUAUGGCCUUUGUUUUGGUAUGUUGUAUUUCUCACUAUAUGAUGUCAUUUCACUGUUAUUCUAUUUUGUGACUAACGUUUGAAUCAUAUGUAAGAAAAAUUUGAAGUAGAUAAAGACUGAAAAGAUUACAUGUUGGGUAUAGCCUCAAAUAAAUAUAGAAGCUAUAAAAAUAUGAUGAAUGCAAAAUACUAUGACCCUUGGCAUAAGGAUGCAUGAGGAGAGGUUAAUACAUAAAUCACCAUUUGUCUCUGAUGUUGAUUGGAAGUGGCUUGUCUCUGAUGCAUAAACCAAAUCCCCCACUGAAUGUUUGAUAUUUGAUAGCAGGAAAAACACACCCGCAGCUAUACACCUCCAUCAUUCAGAUAAUUAUAGUGGGGGAGAUGAUUCAUGGUUGCCCUUAUACCCUUUAUUUGCACCAUCUAUUGAGAUUCUUUAUCAUGGCCAGGUUUUACUGCAGCAAUAAGAUAUGGUGGCAACAAUUUUAUCUAUAGGUGCGGUUCCAGACCGCCUCCAUAGGUGCGGUUCCUGACUGCCUCCAUAGGUGCCUCUUCUUGUAAUGUUUGUUCUGGGAAUUACACUUGAAAGCCUUAUCGUGAUAAGGGAUUACAAACACUAGUUCAGAGGACAGCCAUGUUAAACUUCCACUAUGUUUGUGUCACAUUAUCAGCAGCCUAGUGUUUAUUGGUCAUGCUAUCUGCAACUAAUAUAACCCGGUGAACUUCAAUCUAAAUUCUGAAAGUACUCAUGUGACAGAUGGUGCCUUUCAGCAGAUAUCAUCAAUUUAAAAGUAGUGUGUGUGCCUAUAGGUGGGAAGGCCUUGGCAAAUGUUCAGUAUUCCGGUAAUUCAAGAAGGAUAUAUCUAAAAUAGAUUUUCUUCUUGCCCAUUUCAAUAGUUAAAAUUUGAGAAGAUUGUGUCCACAUCACACAAAUAUUAUUGGUCCUUCUGUUGCAAUUUACCUCUGAACAUGUCUUCCAAUUCCCACGGUCCUGUUACUCCAGGAAAACUAUUUCGGUCAUAUUGAAAAAAAAAAUAUUAAAGAAGGUACACAUGCUUUUAAGUGGACUGGGGCAUUCAUAUCAGGUGGUCUGUAUCCACAUAUGCCACUUCGUGAAAGGUGGAACAGCCUAAUCACUAGGCUAUUUAGUGUGGCCCAGCCACGUUAAUCAAGCACAAGUCUUCAUACUUAAAGUCAAAUGGUGUCUUUAGUCUCAUUACACAUCGCUAUUUGAAGAUUAACUCAUCACUAGUGUAAUGCGAUUAAGACAGUCCUAACUCAAUAUUUGUUCUAGUUUUGGAUGCAAAUGCUUGCUGGUUUCAUCAUUGGAUGGGAUAAAGGUGCAAUCAGGACUAUGAAUACGUGCAGUAAUACUUCAUUCUCUUUUUUCUCAAUGAGACUUCUUGGCACAAUUUUGCUGCUCAGCAACCUACCUUUCCAUGGAAAAUCAGUUGUGACUGAUAGUAAUGGAUAUAUUCUAGAAAGCUAAACAUAGAUAGCAUUCAAUAUUAUCGAUAUAACAUUAACAGCGUAUGUCUCAAUGCUCAUCAGCUACAAGCAAUGGACAAACACUUUGAGUAACUCACAGCAGUCAAAAUUCCUAAACAGGACAGACGUGACAGAUCUAUAUAUAGAACACUGCAUAUGAGUCACAGGAAAAGAUAAUACGGGUACAUAGAAGCUCUUAUUUUACAUAUUACUCAUACUGAUCAAAGUCGCUCAGUUGGGAUGGAUGGGAGAAGGAGGUUUGAGGGGUGGCUUGUGCGGGGAAGUUGGCAGCUUCUUUCCGGGAGCUGGUUGCUUCUUUGCUGGAGUUGAAGGAGGCUUAAUCUUCCGAGGUGGCUUGUAUGAGUCUUCAGCAUUCUCAGCAGGAGGGUGACCAGGGUUGUGACCAUAAUGUGGUGGCUUCUCUCCCUUAGGUGGUUUGCCAACUGGGGUUGGUGGCUUGUUUUCUGGGAGUGGCUUCUCUCCCUUGGGUGGUUUGCCAACUGGGGUUGGUGGCUUGUGUUCUGGGAGUGGCUUCUCCCCCUUGGGAGGUUUUUCGAAUGGGGUGGGUUUGUGUCCUGGUGGUGGCUUCUCUCCCUUGGGAGGUUUACCAAUUGGGGUCGGUGGCUUGUGUUCUGGGAGGGGCUUCUCUCCCUGGGGAGGUUUAGUGGGUGGCUUGUGUUCUGGAGGUGGCUUCUCCACCGGAGGCUUAUGCUCUGGUGGUGGCUUCUCGAAGGGGGGAUGCUCAGGGUAAUCACCAAGUGAGGGGGUGGUGAGAACCACCAUGCCAAGCAACAACACUAGCAAGUAUGUAGUAGACAUCUUUGGGUUUGGACUCAGACAGUGCAAAACUACGAGAAAUCGCUAGCCCUUUAUAGCGGCUCGGACCUAAUACUGACAUAAUAUAAAAUAAAUAUUAUAUUUUAUCAAGAGAGAACAGAGUGUAAUUUUAUCAUUAAUACCGAUCGAGGCCAAAGAAAGAAGACCCAUAAUCCAUUUCCCACAAGCAUACACAAUGCAGCUGUAAUUUUAUCAUUUACUUUUAUCCCUUGGACCACUGCAUUUUUGUUGAGAGACACAAUAACACAUUUUUAUCUGUCAUUCAACAUUUACAGUAAAGAGAGGGCACAAAACGCAAUUAGAUAAAUUAUGUUUUGCCUGCUAAAAAGAGGCAAAUAACUUUAUUUGCAACAUAAUUAUUUUGGUUUCUAGUGACCCCGGGGCCUUUCGGUUGGUUUGGGAUCGGAAAAUGAACAUCAUAGGGGGGGUUGUGCCCUUAUGGGCAUAUAUAUCUGAUAGCUUCAACUGGCCUUGUUCCUAGAAAGAAAUUGCCAAAGAUAUAAACUUAUUCCAGGCUGAAAGUAGAUGAGAGUCAUAAUGAACAUCAACCUUUGUUCAGUUUGAUUCAAUGCCCCCAUAGUGUUCAUUUCACAGAUCUGAAUGAUUAUAUCCGUUGAAUACAUAAAUUAAUGAAGACAAAUAUGAAACCCAAGAUACAUCUCUGCAUAACAACCCCAACCCUGGUUGCUAUGUUUCCCUUCUUCUAUUCACAUGAGGAUACUGGUUAUAAUUGUCAAACUUGCAACAAGCCCUUUGACACCUAACGUCAAUGGACGAAUUAAAAGUCUCCUUCAAACGUCUAUUUCACAGCAUGAAGCUUAUAAAGGAUGCUGACAACCUUCAGAGUUAGCGACAAAAGAUAAUUAUCAAGGAGAGAUAGUUCCAUGAGAAUUCCAAGGAGUCUGAAUCAAAGACAAAUUGCUCACUCAAGGGUUCUUAUUUUCUUUUAGGUACAAAUCUCUUGAGUGUUGUUAAAGAAACACGUCACUGUCAUUUUGAUUUGCAUUUAACAUUUCACUUUUGUUCUGGAAGGUUUGUUCCGGAAACAUAUCAAAUGAGCAUCAUUUUCUUCUUCGGUGACACAUGGUCGCGAGUACGUGGGUCCAUUUUCAUGCCACUUAGUUGAAAAGUUGGAAAGAAAAAACAUGCCAACAAGAAGAUAGUGAGAGAAGGGGCACUUCAAGCCUUUAACAUGAACAAACAGUAAAUAAAAGAUGUUUCUCCACUCAUAAAAGUGUGUUAGAUAGCAAUAUAACGAAUCACAUCCAAAAUCUUUACUAGGCUCAAACAUAAAGAAGACUCAUUUUUAAGAAAAGAUAAAAAUGGCAUUGUCUGAUAGUAUCCAAUACACGAGAUGGCACUUAAUUUGUACAAGAUCUGUCAAUGCUGACGCACAUUUUCUGAUUAAAAAAAAACUGAUCAGUCAAAAGCAAUGAAGAGAAGUGAUGACAAUGAAUGAUGCUUCCAAUAUUUUCACCCCUUAUAGUGUUCUUCAUGAUUCAGAUAUAUAAUUGGAAAUAGAACAACCCUAUGCCAUACAUUCGUCUAAGUAUGGUGUCUAAUUUUUUGUGUCAGCGGUUGCGAAUGGAGCGUGCAAAAGUCCAAAUUGGCGUCUCUCCAUUUCCACAUAGGAAGGUGACCUUUAUUGACAAAUACCCAAUAUUUGUAGACAUUCCUUAAAUAUCAUAACUUCUUGUUGAUUUGAAAAUCAUUUUUCAACUACCAUGUUUUAAUAAAUAUUUUUUAAAAUGUAUUUUUAUCAAAGUCCACCAUGAUGGAUAAUAUUCACCAUGCAAUAAUUAAUAAAGUACAAACUAAGCGAAAUGAAAAGCAUUUUCUUUGCUUUGAGUUGAUUUUGGUUGCAUUGAGUUGAUUUUGGUUUCAUGGUUUUUUCAACUCUUAUUUUGAUUGGAAGAUGUCAAGAAAAGAAAACAUAAAGAAAAAUUAAAAGGGAAAAAAGAAGAAAAAUAAAAAAAAAUAGAUUUAAAAGUUAAUAAAUUAUUUUUUAUAUUUAUUUUAAUUCAUUUCACUUAUUUUUCUUUUACUAUAUAAAAUUUAAAUAAUUUAAAUUUUAUAAUUAAUUUAAUUACAUUUCAUUUUCUUCUAUAUUUAAAUAUUGGAAAAAUAUUUUACUUAAUAUUUUUUUCUUUAAUUUCUUUGGCAUUUUGGGAACCAAACUUAGCCUUUAAAAUAAAAAACAAAAAAAAAAUGAAAAUAAGGAGGGAAAAGUGAGAAAAGAUAAAAACAAUAUGUAAAGGAUUUGAAAAGUAUUAGUUUGUAAUUACUAUUUGGAUUUCAAUAGUAUUUUAUUUGUCUUUCUAUAUUUCAUGUAAGAGAGAAUUUAAGAUAUUCCCCAAGGCAAAGCAUUAGUUACCUGCAAUCAGUGGUGAUAAGGCUCCAAGCCAAUUUUGGGCCCCAUAUCUUAAGACAGUACAAUUUCCAUUUCAACAUUUCUGAUUUCUCAGAUGUUUCACAUACCACAGAAGAACAUUGUUUGUGAAAAUAUGCAUUUAUGUUGGAUUUUGUAUGCUGUGGGGACUGGGGCAAGGAUCAUAUGGAAGAGUGGUUGACUUUUUCUGUACUUUAACGGUUGAAAUAGGAUAAGCACGGGCAUUUGUGAGGCUUAAUUGAUUUUGAAGCCUGAAAUUGCGUUUCUGUCAUUUUGUCAAAAAAAUGGCAGAUUCCAUACUCAUAUGUUUGGCCUGUGGCCAUGUACAGAUGCCAUUUAGUGACCAGUUUGUAACUGUCAAUCGUUGCGUUUUGACUCUGCCUCAACAACAUCUGCCAUUGACGGGUUUUCAUACUUGCAAAUCAAAUAGUCUUUCGUCCCAUCAGGAAUUUCGGUUUAAAUAUUAUUAAGCAUACGUUUGGCUGACAAUCAUUAUCCAGUUCAUGAUUUGGUUUCUUACCCUUAAUCAAUGGUUUCUAAGUGAAUAUAUGUAGAAGGAAAUCCGAAGUGUAGACAGUAGUAUCGAUAACUCUCAAUAUUCUCUAUAUAAUAGAAUAAACAGCGUCAUAGUGAUCGUCGCCUACAAGCAAGGUACAAAUACCAAAACGAGUGACUCACAUAGACAUCUCCCAACAAGAUGUAGUAGUGACUGACACAUGGACACAAUUAACUCGUAGAAAAGGAUAAGACCAUUGCACAGCAGCUCUUAUUUUACAUACUACUUAUGCUAACCAAAGUCAAUUAGUUGGGAUGGGUGGGAGAUGGAGGUUUGUGCGGUGGCUUGUGGGGCGGAGUUGAUGGCUUCUUUCCAGGAGCUUCUGGCUUUUUCAUCGGAGCUGAAGGAGGCUCAAUCUUAUGAGGCGGCUUGUAUGAGUCUUCUUUACUCUCGACAGGAGGGUGGCCAGGGUUGUGAUCAUAAUGUGGUGGCUUCUCUCCCUUAGGUGGCUUGCCAACUGGGGUUGGUGGCUUGUGUUCAGGAAGUGGUUUCUCUCCCAUGGGAGGUUUAGCAAUUGGGGUUGGUGGCUUGUGUUCUGGGAGUGGCUUCUCUCCCUUGGGAGGUUUAGUAGGUGACUUGUGUUCUGGAGGUGGCUUCUCCACCGGAGGCUUGUGCUCCGGUGGUGGCUUCUUGGUUGGAGGGGGCUUGGGGUAAUCAGCAAGAGAUGGGGUGGUGAGAACCACCAGUCCAAGGAACAACACUAGCAAGUAUGUGGGAGACAUUUUUGAGUUUGGGCUGAUCAGAUGAUGCAAAACUAAAGCAUUACGUGACCUUUUAUAGCAUGUAGCUCCCAAUACCCACUAAGUAUUGUGGGGUCCAUUUGUGCCCUACGGGGUUGAAAACUUAGACAAUUGGGCAAGGACCCACCUGACUAUGGAGGACUAGUGAGGUGUGAUCAUAGCUUUAGGAUUUUUCUUCCUCUGCAGCCGUCGUGCCGUUGGCAUGAUUUUCUUAAUCUUAAAUAAAGGCAUAGUUAUAGAGUUGUUUAAUCUCUAAAUGGGAUUUUAUAUAUAUCUUCAGAUAGCCAUUAAUAUAUUUGAUGAAGAAAGAAAGACAAGUGCAUACAACAUGUAUACGACUAGCUUUCAUGGAGUUCAUUUAUGAUCAGUUUUCCUGUACAUGUAAACCAGGAUCAUAUAUAUGUUUCUGUUCCACAACUAUUUUGGAAUCUUGUUUAUCAGUUUUUAUCAUUAUAAUGUCACAUAGGCUGCCAACUUGGGCGCUAAAAGAACCAGUUGGGCUAGUUCGUUUCAGAAUUUCAAUGUGGAUUCAGGAAUUGUUUUGUAAGAUAUGCGAAAUAGUAGAGGGAUGAAUAGUGUUUCAUUAAUAAAAGUGUCCUGUAAAUUAGAAGGUGUCAUAGAAACUAUAAUCAAUAAAUAACUUUUUUUCCCCACGGGUGGUGUUUCUUGUGGGGAUCAGUGACUGGUUUAGGUUCACCCAAAAUGAGUUCAGACUAAAAUUGGUUUGAGUCAAUGCCGUGUCUCUUUUUUCCAGAAAUCAACUAUUUUAUGCAUUGAAUAAAUCAUACAAAGAAAAUAUGAACGCCCGCAAAACCUAAACCCUGGUUGCUAACUUUCUAUGUUUCAGUUCUAUUCACGCAAGAAUAUUAGUUUAAGUUUGGGAAAAAUGGCAACUUACCUAGUGAUUACUUGGUUUUGGUUUGCGACUAUUUACGCAACCAACCAUGAGUUUGACUUUAACGUCAUGGGUUGAAGCCUCCUACAGGAAGGGAGAAAGCUCCACAGCUAGCUCCAAAAGAGAAUUAUCACAUUGAUAGCUCCAGAGAUUCCCAAGGGGACUGAAUCAAAGACAAGUUCCUCACUUUUUCUUCUUUUGAGGCCAAAUAUGAACCAAGGAUCACACAACCUCAUUCAACUUCAUAAGUUUGAUUUCAUGCAGUUGAACACUGGGUGAAGGCCAUGACAAGAAUUGAUUCAAAAAUUCUAUCACUCUUUUAAGUAAUGGAAGAUUAUUAUCUCUGAUUGGCAUCACAACAGCACAUGCUCCUAGAUCUUUCUAGACACUCCAUGCAAUGAAAGCACAAUGGAUCUUGUAACGAUAGAAACUAAGCCAUGCUACAGUACUAGAUGAUGAGGUAAAACUAGUAGACACGGGUGGCAGCCUAUAUGGGAGGGACACAAGUCUAAUUGAUUUGCAUUUCAGCAUUAUAGAUAGGUAUGUUUUGGAAGAUUUGUUCUGGAAAUACCGCACCAAGUAGGAUUCUUUUUCUCUUUAGUGGGUCCACUUGCAUGCCAAUUAACGAGUUGAAAAGUAUGAGCACCUACCUCGUGCUCGUGGAACCGAAGGUCAGUGAAGUGGGGCUCCUUUUGGCCUCGUGUAAACUUGAUUCAGAAGUGAAGUUAAUAGUCUUCCAUUCAGAUGGAUACAUGGGAAUUUUUCUCUUUUAUUUAUUUAUUUAUUUUUUUUUUGUGUGUGUAUGUCAAAGGAUAAUGAAUGAAGCGCGUUAGCUUGUUUUCUGACUGGAACCGCAGAUGUCCAAAUUGGAGUUCCUUCAUUUCUUACUUAGGAUUGUUACAUGUAUAAACAAGGUAUAAGAAAUAUGCCAACGUGUCUUGAGGAGUUAUUGAUUAGAAAUAACAAGUCACCCGACUGUAGAGUUCCAAGAUUUGAAUCUUCAGACCCUAUAGCAGCCUCUGGGGUACGUGGCAUCCUAUAGCAUAUUAAUGAAGGCUUUUUCGAUUUAGACUUCACAAUACCAAUUAAUAUGUAUGCACAAAAUGGAGAUGACCCCAAAAAAAACAGAAUCGCCAUAGUUUAUGAGGUUAAGGUGAUUCUCCACUUAAUAUCUACAUUAGCUAAUUAUGUAAAUCAAAUGAACUUCUAUUUUUCCUUUUUUUUUUUGGUUUAUGUCAAAUAGUAGCCCAUAAUUAACCCAACCAUUAGCCUGUUUGAAUUGAUUUCACAUGCACAAUGUUGUAGUAGUUCAUAUUUUGAAUUUUAUUUUUACAAAGGUAGUUAAGGAAAAUGAAGUAUAAUAAUUAUAAAAGCAGACUAUAUACACUACAAUAAUUGUUAGAAUGGUAUCUCAAAUUCUAAUUUAAAAUAUUAUUUUUUGUAAAAGAAAUAUUAUAUAGAAUAUUUCCUAAUUUUAUAAAUGAUUAUAAUUAGAUCUUUAUAAAAUAAGGAAAGUUGGUAAGAAUAUCUUUAUAAAUAUUUUAGGUCAUGAGAGAAAGAAAUGGGAUAAAAAUGUGAUGAAGAGGUGAAAUAAGAGAGUUGAUUAGGAUAUAGAUGUGAAGAAGAAAGGGAUUCAAUAUAUAUAUAUCUUUCAAUUACCACAUUAAAACCCUGUGAACCUUUUAUAUGGUUUACUUUAUUUUUAUAUUCCUCCUUUAAUAUAUUUACAUUAAUGCUUCCAUUGGCACAACAAUAACGAAUUACAAAUACAAGCAACAAGUCCCAUGUUUUAUUACCAAAAGCAGGUAAAAUCCACCUAAUAUAUUACAAUAUAUUCAUCCAAUAUUUUAGACCAAUUCUUCACCAUAAAUAUCAUAAUGUGGCUUUUGUUCUUUCUUAAAUUUAAAUUGAAUUGUCUUAUAUCAAUUUGUUUGUGAUUUUUUCAUUAACUUCACUUUCAUUUGGUUAUCUUUGGUUUUUGAAAAGUAUUAAGGAAUUAAUUAACAAAAUAAUGUUAAGAAAAAUAAUUUUCUCUCUUUUGAUUUUGAUUUUGUAGUAGAAAAAUAUAAUUAAAAUUAUUUAAAAAGUAUGUAAUUUUAAAUUAUUUAAUAUUUAGAUAAAAAAAAUAAGUCUAAUGAGUUUAAAAUAACAUAUAAAAAUAAUUUAUUUAUUUUAAAUUUAUUUUUUAUUUUCCAUUAUGUUCUCUUUCUCUUUUACUUUUUCAUAUUUUUUCUUACGAAGAAUCAAACACAACCUCAUAUUAUAUGUCAAGUGUUUGUCUAUAUUUGAGCAAUGUUAGAUACGGCCAUGGAUUCAUCAAACUAAACUGAUUUUAAUAGAUACUUCACAAAUUGAUUUAUACACUAAAUCAUUGGAUAGCAAUGAUGCAUUGGAAUUAAACGUAGGAUGAAGCUCGAAGAACACUGUUUGUGUAACAACAUAUUUAUGAAAUUAUGCAAAGGAUGAGCUUCGGGGUAGUAGUACAAGGUCAUUAAUGGAGAGCCGUGUUAAACCUUGAUUGUGAUUGGAUUCCGUUAUCAGCAACAGCAACCUUGUUUGUAACCUUGAAAGUCAUUCUGUCCACAUCGAAACUCCAAUUUGACGUUUGUAAUUACCAUUCCUGGAGUGUUCCUUGAUUGAAAUUUAAAUAAUAAUUGCGGCCCACAAGGAAUAUUUUCGAUUCUGUGGGAAUUUGACAAGGUUUGUUAGAGAAGACUGGUGACAUGUUGACUUCAAUGGUUCAAAUAGGAGACGUAUGUGGAUUUGGGGGGUUUAAUUGAAACUGAGUCCCUAUGGCUUUUUAAUAUUUGCAUUGAGCAGUCUCCAUGUGACUUCCUAAUUCCCACCAACCCUCCUGUCCAUGCUGUGAAACUAAAUUGUAAUUUAUCAGCCUUUGUCAAUGGUUUCUAAAUUAAAGAUAUAGACCAUGCAUGUACUUUAAUAAAAGCAAAUCUAAAGUGUAGAUAGCAGCAAUGGUGACACCCAAUAUUCUCCAUAAAAUAGAAUUAGAAUAAGCAGUGUUACAUUGUUCAUGAUCACCUACAAGCAUACAAGAACUUCCAUGAAUAACUCAUAGCAAUUGCCAACAGGGCGUCGUAGAGACUCAUACAUAGAACACUAUCCACCCAGAGGAAAGGACAAGACCAGUGCGCUGCAGCUCUUAUUUUUCACAUGUAUACCACCACUCGUAAUAACCAAAUUCACUCAGUUGGGAUAGGUGGGAGAUGGUGGUUUGUGGGGUGGCUUGUGGGGAGGAGUUGGAGGAGGCUUUAUUUUCUGAGGCGGCUUGUAUGAGUGUGCAGGAGGAUGCCCGGGAGUGUGACCAUAAUGUGGUGGCUUCUCUCCCGUAGGUGGUUUGCCAAAUGGGCUUGGUGGCUUCUCUCCCUUAGGAGGUUUACCAAUUGGGGUUGGUGGCUUGUGUUCUGGGAGUGGUUUCUCUCCCUUGGUAGGUUUGCCAAUUGGGGUUGGCGGCUUAUGUUCUGGGAGUGGCUUCUCUCCCUUGGGAGGUUUGCUAAUUGGGGUUGGCGGCUUAUGUUCUGGGGGCGGCUUCUCUCCCUUGGGAGGUUUGCCAAUUGGAGUUGGCGGCUUAUGUUCUGGGAGUGGCUUUUCUCCCUUGGGAGGCUUGCCAAUUGGGGUUGGCGGCUUAUGUUCUGGGGGUGGCUUCUCUCCUUUAGGAGGUUUGCCAAUUGGAGUCGGCGGCUUAUGUUCUGGAAGUGGCUUUUUUCCCUUGGGAGGUUUGCCAAUUGGGGUUGGCGGCUUAUGUUCUGGGGGUGGCUUCUCUCCCUUGGGAGGUUUGCCAAUUGGAGUCGGCGGCUUAUGUUCUGGGAGUGGCUUCUCUCCCUUGGGAGGUUUUGUUGGUGGCUUGUGUUCUGGAGAUGGCUUCUCCCCUGGAGGCUUGUGCUCCGGAGGUGGCUUCUGAAAUGGCGGGGGCUUGGGGUAAUGAGCAAGAGAUGGAGUACUGGUGAGAACCACCAUUCCAAGCAACAAUACUAGCAA
This 91029-nucleotide long non-coding RNA is filed under the name Vitis vinifera (wine grape). RNAcentral describes it as "long non-coding RNA (VVIN_LNC001392)". Lineage: Eukaryota; Viridiplantae; Streptophyta; Magnoliopsida; Vitales; Vitaceae. The record is from RNAcentral.